UCCUCCCUCCUGAGCUGACCACAUACAUUACACUCCAUUAUAUCAGAAGGAGCAUCAUCCGACCACAGAGGCAGAGGAGCCAAUGUCCCGCCGCAGUUUUUCCUGUUGCACAUAUACCUGACGAAGAAAUAUGCAUGGGGGAAGUCCGUCUCUUUCUCCUCUGCAAUACCCACCUCUGACCCGCUCAUUUGUUCAUCGGCAUCCUCAUCCAUCCCUUCACCGUCACCAUCAUCGUCUUCGCCGAUAUCAUCGUGCUCGUUCUCAUCAUCGGACCAAUUGGCCUCGACCUUGCACCGAUCGCAGUCACAGGCGAACCGGUAGUCUUCCAUCAACCUCUUCUGCCUAUUCGCAUAAUUCAAGUUGACAGGAAGAUAACUCAGGCAGAUCUCCCUCCCUUGAGGGACAUCAUGGAUCAUCCGCACGAUUAUAUCAGUAUUGCCAUCAGAAGCAGAGUCCACAUAGUCAAAUCUACAAGCAUUUGGAUUGCAAUCGUGGUUGAAGAAAGAAGGUCUUGGAUAAAUACCGUAAGCUCUCACCGAUCUCUCCCCAUCCACCUCGCCCCCACCCCGCGACGAAACCGGCUCCAUCAAACCGAAAGCGUUGAGCUUGUCCUUCGACAGCAAGGCCACGAUCAAUUCAAGAGAAAACCCCUGAGGAAAAGGCGAACCCGGAGGAGGGGCAGGACAAACCGAGGCGAGCAGCGAAUGCAGGAACCGGGCGGCCGAGACGGUGUCGUCGGCGUGCGCCUCUCGGCCCUCCUUUUUCUGAGGUCAAAGACAAACUUUUUCCUUUUCAUUUUAUCACUUUGUUUUUUUUUACCUAAAUUCCGUUUUUCUUAAGUUAAUUUGAAGUUUGACGCAAAAGUAAAUUUCAACAUAUAAAAACAAAUUUUAUUAGAGAUAACAAAAAAAUCGAAGCUCACUUGCGUCAAUUCUAUAUACUCCCACUACUCUCCUUCCUAAAAAAAAAAAAAAAAAAGACCCACCCUCCUUUCAUCUUAUUUUAUAGACUUAUGAAACAAAAUUUCAUUGAAACCUAAGAAAACUAUUGCUUUAGCAAAUGAAUAAAAGUUUAUUGUUUGAUUAACGGAGUUACUCCUGUCUCUUUGUAUGGUUUGACAUUCAAUCAUAGAAAAAUAGAGAUAACAUACCCAAAAUACUCUUUUACACACUCUCUCAAUUUCUAAUAAGUAACUACACAAAAACACCUUCCGGUUGUGACGGCCAUAAGUUAUAAUCACGACUAAACUAAUCAGAUUACUGAUGAUUGAUGAUUAUUAUAUUAAUCUCUAUUGUAAGCAAUAUGACUAUUAAUAUGAUACAUAAUUAGUGGUGUCGUUAUAUGAUUCUUGCAAUAUACGAAUUGCGGUGAAUAUACUCACCAUUCUAAUAAAUAAUAAUUCCCAUAAUUAUUAUUAAGCAUGAUGUAUAUAAAGGGAUGAGAUUUGAGUUUCCGAGUUAUGGAAUAUCACCCAAAAAAUUUGAGAAGACAUAAUACACAAGGCAACUCCAUUUAUUAGCUCAUGCUGACUCCUUGAAGCGUGUAGCUGUUUCAGUAUCAUUUUUGACGGAUGGAAGGAUGAUGUUCCUGUUGGUAAAAUAUGUCUUCGAAAUGGGUUGAACAAUGAAAUCGGAUCGAAUAAAAACAACUCGGACUUUGAGGCGUGAUAUCACUUUCUUUAAGGAUUUAUUUGCCCCACAACGUUGCUAAUGGUCACCGGCAAAAAUCCUCCAGGAUACAACAAAGUCUCGGAUGAGAAUACCAAAUAGCAAUUCUAGUAUUUCUACAGGGUCUCUCUAAGAAACAAUCGAAAAAUUGGCUGCAGUUUUUUUCAGAAAGAAGACUCGAAAAUGACCACACUUUUCUUUCCGAAAAUGACAAGUAUUUAUAUGAAACAGUCUUGCAACUCUUCGUGAAAAUUGCGAACAAACACGUCUUUAGAAAAUUGUUCGGAUAAACAAAUGCGACUCUUCGGAAGAAGUCGAAAACCGAACAAUUGCAAUCCUUCGGAAAAAUUAAAACCGAAUAAGUAAUUUUCCAAAGGUUGUCUUGAAAAGACACAAAUAAAAUUCGGAAUAAUUAUUAUUAUUUUUUAAAAAGAAUUUCGAAUUUUCAUUUAUAUUUCAUUUCCGAAAUUCUCAAAUUAAAAGGCAACCUUUGAACUAAAAUAUAAAAUAAAAUAAAAUAAAAAUAAAUAAAUAAAAAGCAAGGGAUUAAUGCUAAUUAAACCGCGCAAUUAUCCGCGCACCCGCACGCGGGUAUGGUGGGUCUAGCCCCACCUAAUUACUCCUUUAACUACAAAAGGAAAUUCCUCAUUAAUAAACUAAUCCUCCUGCUCCCACCUUUUCUAUGUGGGACAAAGUAAAAGGCACUUAUUUUGUUUUAACAAACAAAAUUCCAACAAUCCCCCACUUUGUUUGUAAAACAAAAUUUCAAAAUAAAAAUUUUAAAAACCAUACAGCCAAAGUUUCAGUAAGAUUAAUAUACAUACAUAAAGGUCUCUUUCGAGUUAAACCUUUACUUAGUGCAAGUAUAUCAAAGCUCUAUCAAAGUGACAAGUAGCUCGGCUUUAAACUUGUACUUUUAUGUAAUAGAACCGGACAUACCACACAUACACUAACCUCUUGUUUCAGCGAGAAUUUCUAUAUUACUCCGCACUAUUAUGGCCUUGUGCUUGAUCCUCCUGCUCCCACCUUUUCUAUGUGGGACAAAGUAAAAGGCACUUAUUUUGUUUUAACAAACAAAAUUCCAACAGUUCCUUAUGUUCUGUCUCACCUCGUCGUCUUGCUGUUGAGAAACAUACCGAGAAAUAUAUAACUGGGGACCAAACUCAGUCUCUACACAGGCUCGAGACGAUGAAAACACGAAAACAAGAUACGCGAAUAGGAUGCCAUUCGAUGUCUCCUUAUAUGGGUGAGAUUAGGGACAUGAGGGAAGAUCGCUGAGCUCGGAUUGGAGAAACUAGCAUCAUACACCGGACGUAUCCUUGGCAGUCAAACUAGUGAGGGAAGAAGCAAUGGAAACUCACCAGUUCACAAGUCCAAACACAACCAGGCUAGUAUGGCCCCAAGGAUUCCGAAGAGAAAGAAAAAGACCUGUCCCUUAAGAUCCACAAACAACCUUCCAAUUGAAUCAAAGCGUAUAUGGCAAGUUUUUCCACCUCCCAACAUCAUAGGUGGGGAAAUCAUAUCCUCAGAUCAAAUCUCUUAUCAAUAGAUUCGAUCACCAUUUCUAAUGCCAAAGAGCUGCAAAAUCUGAGGAUUGACAAAUACGAGCAACUUAGUUAACUUAAAGGAUCCACAAAACAUUCUAGUUAAUCAAUACACAUACUCAAUGAUUCCAAGAAAGAACUCAUGGUAAAUCUUCCCGGAACUUCAACUUAUUAGAUUUCAAAUGAUAUCUUGAAGUAAAUAAAGAAAGAAAAUUCACCUCCAGAGAAUUGCAGCUACACCAUCGUCACAGACAGAGCACAUGGCAUUCGGCAUCACAAGAUCAAUUUUUUCCCACCAAAUGGCUGAAAUUAGGAACUCAGUACUCGCAACCCACAACUUUCACCACAAGAGGAUUGGAUUGUAAAGCAAAGUUCUACAAGCUAGCCAACUAGGUCCCUCUACUGUUAAGCAUUGACUAACAGCCGAUUCGUUUGAAGUGCAAGGCCAAAGGAUGGUCUAGAAAAAAAAAAACAAAAUUCCCAGAAGUGAGUCCAUAAGGAGAAGAGCUUCUUACAACAUCGCAUCUCCGUCGGCUUCCGCCUCUUCAUCCUCCCUCCUGAGCUGACCGCAUACAUUAUUACAUUCCAUUAUAUCAGAGGGACAGCCAUCCGACGGAGGCAAAGGAGCCACUAUCCUGCCACAGUUUUUCCUGUUGCGCAUAUACGUGACGAAGACAUACGCAUGGGGGAAGUCGGUCUCUUUCUCCUCCGUGAUACCCACCUCUGACCUGCCCAUUUGUUCAUCGGGUGUCCUCAUCCAUCCCUUCAUUGUCACCAUUGUCGUCUUCGUUGCUAUCAUGGUUCUCAUUUUGGUCAUCGGACCAAUUGGCCCCGACCUUGUGCUGAUGUGGCUAGACUCGAGCUCACUGAGCGUUGCUGACCUCCGGUGAGGCUUGAGCUCACUGGAAUCUAGUGAGAUUAACCUUGCCUGUUGCAGGCGAUCGGCCAAAGAAGAGGCAAAAAAGAAAAACAAAAAAAAAAAGUAAUUGAAAAUUCGAUUUUAAAAGUAAAUAAAAUUAAAAAUUAAAAAUAAAACAAUAUCAAAGGAGUGGACGAAGGUUGGUACCAAGCGGUUGAAAAUAUUUUCUAAUUCAUUAUCUCAUUUCAGUUAAACACCUAAAAUAUUAUUAUUCUCCUAGAAAAACUAUUUACUGGAAAAAAAAUUUGGAUGCAUCACAUUUUUAUUAUUUUAUUAUUUUUUUUAAGUUUAUUUUUGGGUUUCAGCCAAAUGGGGCCAAUGUAACAUUGAACAUGAUCUAGUACAGUAGGUAGGUAAUCACUUCUUCAUCUGUUCAACAUUUAAAUAGUCUCACAAUUAUAACUCAUGAGUGGUAGAUACACUUAACAUAGACAAAUUCACCAUGCAUUCGAUUCAUGCUCCUAAAUUUUAUCUUUUUUCCUCCCCUUCUUGCACACGAUGCGUGUGCCCUAACGGUAGUGAAUUUAUUUUGUAAGGAUUCUUCUCAAAGCAAAAGUAGUGAAAUGCCUUUAAUCAGUUCUUUUUUUUUAAUCAAUCUUUGAGCAAGAAAGGAAUGUCCCCCAGUUGGCUUAUUUGGGAAAAAAAAACCAAAUGUGUUGCCCGCACGAAAGGGACCUGGAAUGAGGUCAUCAAUAUGCGUAAUUAGGGCUUAACCAAUUUAUCAAAAUGACGUACUAAUCUGAUCGGGUGAGGGUCUGGCAAUAUAUUUGUGUUCAGAGUUUACUAAUGAUAGCAGUUAUAAUGGAUCCAAGUGCUUCUCGAUUGGAGCUCAAAAGCAAUUAUAAUGGGUUGGAGCUCUUCUUGAUUAGAGGUUAUAAAUGCUUGUAGCCGAUUCCGUAUGAAACAGGUGGAAGUAUUUGAGUUUCACACAAGAUAGUUAUUACUAGUCUUAUGUGCCAUCUAAGUUAUUUAACAUGAAGUUAUAUGAUUGUCGUGAACAAACCCUGCACACAUAAUAUCAUUACAUCACUAUUUGUGGCAACGUUUUUUUCUUUUAUAUAUGUGCAGCGUAUGCAUGAAAAAAGUGCAUUGAAUACUAAAUUUGAGACUUGAAAGAGACCUAGAAUAUCACAAAUAUAUAAUGAAAAAAUGACAACAAAAAAGAAGUAUAAUUUUAAAUCUAGUGUCACGUCAAAUACGUAAAGUUGGUGUCCAAAUUGGCACUGCAAGUAUUCAAUCCAUAGGAGCCCUUUGAUUGAGAGGGACACACGGGAGAUUCAUCGAAUUCACAGGCUAAUGCACGAUCCGGGGAUUACGGGCGUUGCGUGCAUGAAAUUCGAAUCCUGGUGCAGGAGAAGUGAAUCACAUGUACAUGGCUUGUCCCGUAACUCAUAUUGAAGUAUUAGUUGGGCCUGGGCACCCCCAAAGUUUCAUCCCCCAGCCCUCUUCACUCUUCCAUUCUCUCCCUCUCCCCAUAUAUUCACCUCUUCUCUCACUCCUUACAGCUUGAAGAAAAAAAAACAAAAAAACAUAAAACAAGAGCAAAAGACCCUCCAGAACAGAAACUUGUGGAACCUGUGAAACUUGUGGAACUACGUCUCCUAUGGAACCGCACAAGUUCGACUCGAUUGCCCCACUUGAUGAGAGCCUCCAGUUCAUUACCUCCGAUGACGAGGAGCAACGACACUGGAAGAUGCAGUCCAUCUACAGGGUCCCCGCACGUAUCACCACCCUCAACGGCGAGGCCUACCAGCCACAAGUUGUCUCCAUCGGCCCCUACCACCACGGGGAGGCCCACCUCCUCCCCAUGGAAGAACACAAGCUUUGCGCGGUCCGCCACUUCCUUAAGCGGUCCAAGAAGCCUAUGGAGAGCUUCUUCGAGUCCCUGAGGGAGGUGGCGUGGGACCUCGAGGAGAGCUACGACGCUCUGGACCCGAAGUGGAAGGCAGGCAGCGGCGAGGGCGUGUUACCCCAGUUCCUGAAGCUGAUGAUAACUGACGGCUGCUUCAUGCUGGAGCUCCUGACGACUACGUGUUGAACGACCCCAUCUUCAGCUACCACGGGUUUCUCUACAUGAUGAAUGACAUUUGGAAGGAUAUGUCGAUGCUGGAGAAUCAGCUUCCGAUGCUAGUGCUGGAGCGGCUGGUGGCUGUGGAGAGCGAUGGCAAGGAGGUUACUUUCUUAGAUUUCAGUCGGUCGUAAGAUAAGAAAAUAUUGCAAGCACGCAAACCACUAUACUAUGUGCACCUAACAGUACAUCUUUGUGAUAUCACAUGAACCCUACGAUGGAUCCACCGAAUCUAAUGCUCCAGAUGCAUUGAUUACACAGUUCACAAUCAACCGAUAAUUUGAUUGAAACUUCAUUUUUUUCCCUUUAUCGCAAGUAGUAUCAAUACGACCACAAUCUCAGAUUCAAUGUGCUGACUUCACUCCAACAACACAGGACGACCAAUUCGUCAGCAUGCUCAUCCUCAAGUUGUGGUACUCCAAAAAAGGCCAUCAAAAGGAUGGGCAAAUGCCUGCACUUCCUGGACGUUAUCAGGAAGGGCACGCUGAUGGAGCGCAAGAAGGACGAGGAGGAGGUUACUUUCUUAGAUUUCACUCUGUCGGAAGAUGUUAUUGCAAGUAUGCUAGCCACCGUACUAUAGGCACCAAACAGUACAUCUUGGUCAACUCACCCUACGAAGGAUUUACUGAAUCUAAUGCUCCAAAUGCACUGGAUGCACGAUUCCAGAUCAACUGACAAUUUGAUGAUUAAAUCUAUCACCGCCAUAGGAAACUUUAUUUCUUCCCCCUUUUACUCAAGUUGUAUCGAUCCCACCACAAUCUUGGAUUCAAUGUACUGACUUUACUUCAACAACACAAGGGGACAAAUCCGUCAACAGGCUCAUCCUCAACUUCUGCUCCCCCAGUAAGGGCAUCGCGAGGAUGGGCAAAUACCUGCACGUCCCAGACUUCUUCAGGAAGUGCAUGCUGUUGGACCCCAAGAAGAAGGACGACGUGGACAGGCUGAACUUUCUGACGACUAUCCAAUUGGCCACCGAGCUCGACGAGCAUGGGAUCUGGUUCAAGAUUAACAAGACCGACAGCAUCAAGGACAUUUCCUUUGCAGACGGCGUCCUGAUGCUCCCCUACAUCCAAAUGAUGGAGGUCACCAUGUCCUGCAUCCUCAACAUCAUGGCGUUCGAGCGCCUCCAUGUCAGGGCUGGGAACGAGGUCACAUCCUGCAUCUACUGCAUGGGGCACAUAAUUACCAAGGGGUGGGACGUCACACUGCUCCGCGCCCAGGGCAUCAUCGUGCAUUUCCUGGCAAGCGAUGAAGCAGUAGCCAAGACGUUCAACUUGCUGACGUGCUCGAGGAGGUCAACAAGUACUACGAUAAGCGCUGGAACAUGUGGAAGGCUAAUCUCAUCCACACCUACUUCAGGAAUCCUUGGGUUGCAUUGUCUCUCAUUGCUGCCGUCUUCGUCUUUGCGCUCACCAUAAUUCAGACUGUAUAUUCCGUGCUCGACUUCCACAAAUGAACCCUUCGCCUCUCAGAACAAUAAUAUACUCUCUUUCUUCCAUUUUUCUUGGUUUUUCUUCUGUUGAAGGAUGCUUGAUCAUCAUCUCGUGAUCGGUUUGUCGAAUGUUGUUAUGAAUGAUCUUCCUCCUGUUUUUCAGUCACGUUUAUAUCCCUCUUUAAAUGUUUUGAAUAAUGAACAUUUUUACUUAACAUUGUCAAAUGAUAAUUCUCUUGUUUGAGUCUCCUUCGUAUUUGUCCAGUUUGAAUCGGGUAGGGUGAAGGAUGAUCAAGUUCUAGGCAAAUGAAAUUUUCAUCGCACCAUUUAUUCUCGAUUAAAUUUGUGAAGUUGCAGUGAAUUUAAGGGGGGAAACAAAUACGGCCUUCAAAGACAUCUCUAAUCACCAUUUGCUUUUAACAUCCUCAAAGAAUAAAGGUGUUUGAUUGUUGAUCUCAUGUUGAAAUGAUUUCUACUAUAUUAAAGAUAUUACAAGCAUUACCCUUUAUAAGAAAACAAUACAAUAAUAUAAAUAAUAAAACUGUCAAUCCCUUGUUUUAUUAUAUUCGAGAAUCUGCUCGUGAUUUUGAUUCACAUUUCCAUAUUCUUCUUUUCUCUUGAUUGAUAAAUCAGUGCCUUAACUCCCCCACAAAUUGGGAAUGGGACAAUCCCAAAUUCUCAAUUUGCAACGUAAGUUUCCAAAUGUGCCAUUUUUUCUUGCACAUACUGAUAAUCUAAUUCCAUAUGUUUAAUUCUUGCAUAUAACAUGAGAUUAAUCAACAUAUAAAUUGCAUUGAUAUUAUCACAAAAUAAUAUUGGUGGACUUUAGAGAUAAAUACCUAAACCUCUAAAAAGGGAAGAUAUCCAAACAAUCUCAACAAUGAUUGACGCCAUUACAUGAUACUCUAAAUUGGCACUAGAUCGAGCAACCGUUCAUUGCUUCUUAACACUCCAUGAUAUACAAUCACUACAGGUACAAAAUAUCGCAGUCAAUCGUCAAGUCAAGCAACAAUUUGCCCAAUCUUCUAUAGUUAACUUGGACAGGAUUCACAUUUCUUGAUCUAUUGUGCUACUUAUAUAGCGAAAAAUGUGCUUCACAAUUUGAAAAUGAGUCAUAAUAGGCCAAUGCAUGAAUUGACAUAUAAAAUUGACUGCACAUGGAAUAUCCAGUUGUGUGAUGAUGAGAUAUUAAAGAGCUCUGACAAUACUUUGAUAUAGCGUAGGUGUGGCAUCCUAAAAUUUCAUGACAACCCCUGGAUAUACCAUGAACCAUGAAUAGGUGAUGGAAGCGCCAUCGGACUAUGUUAUGGUCAUUGGCUAAUAGAUUACAAUUUAACAAGGCCGAGCAAUGAAUGGACAAUUAUUUUGUUGGAAAUUAUACCCCAUGUCCAUGAGUGAUCAAUGAUUGUACUAAGGGACAAAUUGAUAAGGGAAAUUUUUAUUCUUGGCCAUGCGCUUUAUAAGUUGGAUUUUAUUGAUUUAUGUUACAAAGUUUUAUGGCCAUAUAAAUUUGCAAUUAUGUAUUUAUAUAAGUGAGGAUUAAAUGGAAAAAUAUGAGAAGGUUUGGGCCGAUUUUCUUAAGGCCAAACCAGCCCAAAAACCAGCCCACAGCCCACCGCUUCCCCCCAUUUCGUUGACCAAGCCUGGCCCAAAUGAGGCCCAUUAGCCUUGCAUGAAGAUCAACAAGUGGUGUGAAGGGUGCUACAAGUGGCAAGAGGAACUUACCAAGUGUCCAUUGCCAUGCAAACCUCAUGAUUACUAGUUAAUCAUGAGGGUGAAAGGAAGAAAAGGGAGAGAGAAGGGGUGGAUUGCACAAGGGGAAUGAUCGUGCGAGAGAGGGAGAAUUCGAGAGAGAAGUAGAGAAAGAGAGAAAGCCGAGGGAGAGAGAGAGGGUUCGUGGGUGCUUUGGCGAGGGAAGAGGAAGACCAAGCCCCGCCGUGCGUGUGCCUAGCUUCGCCGUCGACCGUGCUGUGUUCGAAGUCCCCGGGUCGCCAUUACUUGCUUGAUUUCAUCGGAUCUAAGGCAAGUAGAGUCCAUUGAUCUACACUUUGUUUGCUGUGAUUGUGUGUGAUGUAUGGUGAAUUUCGGAGGUGGUGGAGGUGAGAAUUUUCGAAGUUAUGGAAGUAGUGCCUUAGUCUAGUAAUCUGUUUUCUGGAAAAACAGUCCGACCUUUGGUGAUUUCGUGAGCUGCAUGCAAUUUUCUAGUUGGAAUAUCACUUCAACUUCUUGAUGAAAGUUGUAGAGGACUUCUUGCAGAUUACAUAAUAAAAUUUGAGAUGAAACGGACAAGUAUUGGAUGGUGAAACCAUUUUUCUUCAAAGAUACUAGAUCUGGAAAACUGAUAUGUUGAUCCCUUGCAGUUCUGUGAAUUUUGUGAAAUUAUUCAGUCCGAAUUUGAUCUCUUGUCCUUAAUAAGAGUUGUAUAAAACAUCUUGAGGAGAAACAUACUGAAAUUUGAGAAUAAACGGACAAGUAUUGAUCGGGGAAAUGAUUUUUCUUUGAAGUGUUAAAUCUGGAAAUCGUUACCGAGGGUUAGGGAGCGUUUUGGUGAAUGUAGCUCAUGAUAUAUAACGAAUCUGACUUCGAGUUCUUCAGGGAAAUUUUACCUCUAGGUCUUGGCUAUGACAUAUAUAUUUUUCAGAAUUUUCUGAGUUGAUUUAGGGUUUAUACCAAAUUUAUAAAUAAAACUGUGCAAUGGUGAUGUUCCGAAACUUUAAGUUGUGAUGCAUGGACUGUAAGUGAGCUGUACGAAGCUCUUUUGACAUGGUGUUCUUCAUAAAAAAAAUUUCUCUAGAUCUUUUUUAUAACAUGUUAAAUUUUCAUAAUUUAUUGAGAUCGUUUACUAAUUUUUCCAGAAUUUUUAUUUAAGGAGUGCAUUCUGCUUUGUCCGAAAAUUUGCUCCAUUUUCAAGAACAAAUGAAUUGCUUUAUGAAGUGUGAUAUCUUGGGUGUUAUUUGUAUUGCAUAUAUGGUGACAUUUGGCAUAUCGAUAUCAAAAAGGCUGGUUUAAACCUCCGACAUUGUUGCAUCAAAUGUUAAAUUGAAAAUGAGAUAUAUAUAUAUAUAUAUAUAUAUAUGGGAAUAUGCAUUGUGAUUAUAAUAAUACCAUUGGAGGUGUGAGCUGACGAUACCCCGGGAGUGUCGGGAUGCCCGGAGUGUGUGUGCCGGAUGCCUGGAGGUGUGUGCCAGAUGUCCUCGGGAGUUUCGGGAUGCCCGGUGGUAUAUCGGUACGUAAUUAUAGGAAAUGCCUAGUGGUAUGUGGGUACGUAAUUCCGGAAGGCAGGGGUAACCAUUUUCAUGGCAAGCCCCGGCGAUUCCUCGUGAUGCCAAAUGGGAUGCGAGAUGCCCGGAGGUGUGUGCCGGAGGUUCCUCGCGAUGCCAAGUUGGGUGCGAGCGAUAUAUGAGAGAUGCAAACACUAGUCCCUAGGAGAAAGAUGAGAUCCUUUUGAAUAUCAAAAUGGGAAUUGAAUCAUGAACGUGUGUGUGUGCAUAUGACAUGGGAUAUAAUUGCCUAUGAAAUUAAGUUGAUACUAUAUGGCAUUGAGAAUGCGAUCAUGAAAGCAUUGAAUGGAUCUCAUGAGGAUAUAUAUAUAUAUAUAUAUAUGAUUGUAUGGGUGAUAUGGAUCAUGCGCAUGUAUGUGUAUAUGGCAUGGGAUAUAAUUGUCUAUGAAAUUGAAAUUGAGUUGAUACUAUAUGACAUUGAGAAUGCGAUCAUAAAAGGCAUUGAAUGGAUCUCAUGAGAAUAUAUAUAUAUUGCCUUAAUGAAUGCAUCUCAUAGAGAUAUAAGCAUGAUUACAUGGAUGAUAUGUGCAUUUCACAUGAAAUUGUGAUUGUCUUGCUUGUUGCAUUGUGUAGUUUAAUGGAUCUUUACUGCCAAGUGGUUGUACUCACCUUGUUUGGGGACUAACAUUUCAGACUAGAUAAGAUACCUUUGCUACCGGUAGAUGGAUUCGCGUGGUUGGAUAUAACCACGAGGAGGAGGAUAGCAAAGGAAUGAACUUUUAGAUGUCAACAUUGAACGAUAGACCUUUAAGUAUAUGACUGUUGGAAAAGAUAUCGGUCAUCUUUUGAAGUAUAACCAAGUAUAUAAGACAUUGGCAUUUUUUAUGUAUCGGCUAAUGAUGUCCAUCAAGUUAUGUAAAUAAAGGUGUUUAGCUUUAACUUAUAUAAAAUGUUUAGUUGGUGUGCACUAUUUUCUGAAUAUAGGGAAGGGAGUUGAUGGAUGUGCUUUUGCCAUAUAAAUUGCGCAUGGACCGAUCUAAAAUAUAUAAACCCCCAAGAUUGAUAGGCCUUCAGGUCAAGUAAGAAAGGUAAGCAAACUGUGGCGAUCCCAACAGAUCGGGGGCCGUCGAGGGGUGCCAUAGUAGGAUCCAAAAAUAAUUUCACAUUUGAGAGAAUGAGUGCAAGUGGCUAUAGGCAUGGAUCCUAGCUUGCAAGCCUCCAUUUGAGCACAAUCAAGAAUUGACAAAACAUAUUGCGGUUGGCACAAAUAAAGGCUAUCAAAAAAUAUCCUAAUCUCCACAACCAUGAAGUAAUGUAAUGGCUCUGUAUCCUUCAUCAUAAAUUCACUACUCAAUGAAGAAAUAAAUCCAUCGAGCAAGUUUGGAUCAUUACUGAUGCCAAUCAUAUCGUCCACAAAUAAAAGUAGACCUAGAAUGCCAUGAUCUGAUUUUUGAACGAAAAACGAAGGACCAAAAUGCUGCAAAAGAAACCCAAUGGUAAAAGAAAGAAGCUAAAAUGAUCAAACCAUGCUCUUGAUGCUUGCUUGAGGCCACACAAAGCUCUCUCAAUUUGCAAAUAUAAGACAGGUAUAUUUCGUCCUCAAAAGAAGGGGGUUGCUCCAUAUAAACAUAUUGUGGUAGAAAUAAAUAUCUAUAUUAAAAAAAAAAUUAAUGGGGAGUAGGUUAAAAAAAAAUAAAAUUCAAAGCCCACUUGCAUCAAUCCUACACUUUCACUACUCUCCCUCCUAUACAUCCAAAAAGUCCCUCUUUUCAUCUAAUUUAUAGAUAUAUGACACAAAUUUUUGAGGAAAAUUGUCCAAAAAGUCCUAAACCUAUUACACUUUUGCCAAUUCAGUCUUAAACUAAUUUUGCCAAUUGAAUCCUAAACCUUUUCAUUUCUUGCCUAUUCAGCUCAUCUGGCCAAUUUUGGCCAGAAAAUGUUGAUGUGGAUGCUAGCGGUGCCACGUAGGACUACUAGCACUGACGUGGAUAAUUUUUAAUAACAUUUUAAUAUUUUUAAAUAUUUUUUUUGAAUUUUGAAUUUUGAAAAUUUUUUUUUUUGGCUUUUUCCUUGGCCUUUUCCGGUGGCUGGCCAAGGAAAAAGAAAGGGUGAAAAGUGUUGGUUGUAAAACAAACAUGCCUCUUUUCCUUGUCCACGUGAAAAAGUUGGGAGGACAUAAACUAUUUUAUAAGUAUGAACUUCUUCUAAUUUACUUAAAAGAAAAGAAUGAGUUGUAGGUUAGAUUCACAAUAUUCACUUGCAGGUGCGUGAAUAUUAGGUGUAGUGACAUAUGCACCCGCGGUAUAGUUAGCACUAUUUUUUUAAAAAAAUUUAUUUUAUACAAUUUUCUUAUUAAUAUUUAUUUGUUGAAAUGUUAUGUUUAUUCAUUUAGUAUUUUUGGAAAUUGUGAAAUUCAUAAUUUUAUUACAAAAAUUAAUAAUCUGUUAAUUAUUCUUUUUCUGAAUUUUUAUGUCUUUUCAAGAUAACAUUUGAAAAUAUACUCGUUCAUUUUGUAACUUUGAAAAUUAAUUAAAUAUGUUAGUUUUGGCAUGAAUGUGUAUGGAAUAUUUUCGACUGUUCUUCCAUAACUACAAUCAUCAUUUCAAUUAUUUCCUUUAAGAGAUCAUGGAGCAAUAUUGGAAUUGUUAUAUAGUAUUCUUAAUCGAGACUUUGUUGUAUUCUAAAAAAUAUUUGCCGUGGGGCCUCUUUACCAUUAUGUAUAAAUGGGCUAUAAAAAAGGUGAUAUCACGUUUUAAAAUCUGAUUUUAUUAUUCUAUUCAAUUUGAAGCCAUGUUUUCGAACAUAGUGUCCUUGUUCCUUGGUGCUUCAACCCUGCACCUCGCUGUAACUCGUUUGACACAUUUUCUGGCCACCGCCCAACGAGGACGUUGGAUUUGCAAGCAUUCGGACCUGCUCCACUUCGUUGCUCCACCCCUGCAAUCUACGUUUGCUAAGCCACCAUUGUUGCACUAAGCCAAGCUUCCGACAAGGCUUGCUGAUUUGCCAUCUAUCCUGCUGUUGCUCUUGUUCCCUGGCUCGACGACGUUGCUGAGUUCCUUGCCCAAGGUCGAUGUUGCUGUUCCCUGCUCUUUCGACGCCUGCUUCGUCCAACAAGGCUGCCGUUCUGCUUAGCUUGUUACAGCUGUUUCUGUUAGGUAUGAAGAAGUUCUCGCCAAUGUUCGGCCAAGUUUCUACCCCUAUCCGUGACCUCACUUCCAGCCAAGAGUCGUCGCUGGGCUCUCUUGCUCGCUGUGAUCCCACUGAUCCGAAGCAGGCCUCUUCACCGAGACGCCCAUGGGCGUCAUUGGCCGUACCGAGAGCCCCCAUCGAGCUCACUCCUUGCCACUCAAGUCCGCCAUGCACCACCGUGAACCGGUCGUGAAGCCGCCCACCAUUCGUCACUCACUGCGAUUCCUCGCGUUGGUCACGUCCAUGAGGAGCCUAGUCGAUCGUCACCCGCUGGUCUGAUUGGGAGUUUGCAUAUUCAAGUUAGUCUAAUCCAAUCUUAGACUUGAUAUUUUAUUUCCUAAUUUGAACUAAUGUGAUUUUCCGCAUUAAGAUUUUUUUGAUUAUGUUUGUUUUUAUCAUUAAUUAGUGCUCUAUCAAGAUCGCAAUAUAAUCAUUAAUAUGAGCUGUGAGUGGACGGGUCAUUUUUUUGUUAUGUUUGAGUGCCCUAUCAAGAUUGCAAUAUCCAUUAGUUUAAGAUGCAAUAUGAUGACUUAUUUUUAUUGAUAUCAUAAUCUUUUAUUUGAAUCUUGAUGGAUAUCCUAAGUGAUUUUUGCUAUGUUUGAAAUUUUGAUUAGAUAAUAUUGCCCAGUUUAAAUUGGAUUGCAUGUUAUGAUUUUUUUUUUUUUUAAAACUUAGAGUAUAUUCUAGAUAUGAAUUGUCUUUACGGAUUUUAGAUAAUGUCUGCAUAUUCAUAUAAUGUUGCAUGAUUAUAAUGGUUUUCUAAAAUAGGAUAUGGUUUAGGUCAAAUUAUUCCCUAAUCUAGACUGGAUGACUUUUUAUUUUAGACAGUUUAAUUUGGGCAUUUACCAAUUUCGAAUUUUAAUAAAAACACCAAAAUAUUGCAUGCAUGUCCUAUGCCAUGUUAUAUUGCUAUGCCAUUUGUGUGUCCCAUAGUGUGUAUGUUAGGUUCAUUUAAUUAAAACUUGCACAUCAUUAGAGCUAGGUCAUGUAAUUAAAAUUGCAUGUCAUACAAACUAUUUUAUUUUCAAGAUAAAAGAAAACCAAAAAAUAAUUGCUUGCCAUGGUGUUUAAUUUCCUACAAUUUAUUACUUUGAUUAUUGAGUGUUUUGAUAAUGUUUGUGCACUUGCAAAAUUACUCCAUUGUGUGUUAAUGAUUUAGGCUAAAAUCAAUAUCCAAGCUACCUAUAAAUUUUUUUUUGAAAAUAAAAGAGAAUUGUGUUAGAAUAAUUUAGCGUAACCAAAUCUUUGAACUCACAUUCUCUAGCUUGUAGGAGUGAAUUACAAUUCCCAAUACUUUACUUGGGUAUCUAAUUAACUCAUAAAAAACUAAUUAGUGACAACAGCUGUAUAAAAAUUAUUUGCAUGUUAAAUGACUUUAACCUAAGUUGUGAAGAGUUUAGGAGAGCUCGAGCUAAAUUGAACUCAUUAAUUCCUUAGCCAACCUUAAGUGGUGCACCCACUUGGGGAAGCUCGCAACAUAUCUUUGCAUGUUCUCGAGUUUUUUCGUCAAUUAAAUUCUAGCACAAUUUGUGCAUGUGUUGUCAUGAAGGUGGCUAUACUUUCAAGCUUUGUCGUCGAUUAAAUUCCAACUAGAUUUGUACAGCAUUUUGGUUUGAAAUUUGAAGUAUAAGUUUGCGGUUAUUUAUUAUUUGCCUAGAUAUUCAUAUUCGGAAUCAUCAGAAAACAUGUCUCUUAUCCUAAUAACCCACAUUUUAUUGGAUUUUAUUACUUGAACUCAUUUUAACUCAUUCAGUAAAAUUAAGCUAACUCAUAUAUGACCCAACUCAUCAUAUAUGAGUUGAUAAAUAAGUUUUCAACCUAUUUUGACACCUCUACAUAUGACUAGACGUGUGCCCUAUUGCUGAUGAAUCUACUUCAUAUCUUAUACUUUCCCAGCUUCACAAGGAUUCUUUAAAAAUAGCGAACUUUCUUUAAUCAGUUCUUUUUUAAAUCAUUCUUUGAGCAAGAAAGAAAUGUCCUCUAGUUGGCUUAUUUGGGACUUAAACUGAAUGUGUUGCUCGGGCUAAAGGGACCUGGAAUGAGGUUGUCAAUUUGCAUAAUUAGAACUUAAUGUAGAAAACCGAUUCAUCAACAUGAUGGAUUAGUCGGGUGAUGGAAUUAGUUGCUUUUGGAUUAAAUUGAUGUUUCGCAAGAUAUUUAUGUUCUGAGUUUACUAAUUAUGGUAGUUAUUAUGGAUCCAACUGCUUUUGGAUUGGAGCUCUUUAGCAGUUAUAAUGGAUUCAAGCUCUUAUCGAUUGGAGCUCAUAAAUGAUUGCAACCGAUUGUACAAAACAAGGGAAGUAUUUGAAUUGCACACAAGAUUAUUACAACCUAUUUCAUGUGCCAUGUGAAGUUAAUUUACGAGAAGUUAAAUGAUUGUCAUAAGCUAACUGUACACACAUAAUAUCAUUGCAUCACUGUUUGCGAUGACUUUUUUUCUUCUUCCUACAUGCAAUGUAUGCACAAGGGAAGUGCAUUGAGUACUAGAUAUGAUACUCAAGUAAGAUAACUUGAAUAUGUCAAACAUACAAAAUAAAUAUUUAUCACCAGAUAUAAAGAAAAAGAAGUCUUAUUUUAAAUCUAGUGUCACAUCAAAUAUAUAAAGUCGGUACCCAAAUUAGCAUUAUGUGUAUUCAAUCCAUAUGAGCCCUUCAAUUUAAAGUAGCACUUGUGAAAUUCAUCGAAUUCGAAGGCUAAUACACUGAUCGGGAGAUCGCGGGCGUUGCGUGCGUGCAAUUCGAAUCCUCGGACCCAAAAUGUGACUUGCGCAUCCAUGGCUAGUUCCGUAGGACUUCUCCAUCCUGAAGCAUUGGGCUUGGGCAACCCCGAACACUAUUCCCAUCUCUCUCUCUCUCUCUCUCUCUCUCUCUCUCUCUCUAAAUUCACCUCCGCUCUCUCUCCAUUCAGCUCAAUACAAACACCAAGAACAUAAGGCACUCCAUAACAGAAACUUGCGGAACCAUGGCUCUGCCCUCGAACGAGACCAACUGAUCGUCCAAUUCAACGAGCAACAGUCCUGGGAGAAGUGGUCCAUCUACAGGGUCCCCACCCACGUCACCGACCACAACCGCGUGGCCUACCAGCCGCUGGCUGUCUCCUUCGGCCCCUACCACUACGGCGAGGAACACCUCCUCCCCAUGGAGGAACACAAGCACCGUGCAUGCUACCGCUUCUUCAUGCCGUCGGGGAGGCCCCUCGAGCGCUUCCUUGAGUCCCUAAGGGGGGUGGUGGGGGACCUCAUGGCAAGCUACGUCGCGCUGGACCCAAAGUGGAAGGAGGGCAGCGAGGGCACCGUGCGCAGGUUCCUGGAGCUGAUGAUCACUGAUGGCUGCUUCAUGCUCAAGAUCCUGAGGUACGCGACCGACAAGGGCAAUGACUAAGGGCCCAACGACCCCAUUUUCAGCAACUACGGUAUGGUCUACAUAAUGAAGCACAUUAGGCGGGACAUGCUCGUGCUGGAGAAUCAGCUUCCGACGCAAUUGCUGGAUCGGCUGGUUGCUGUCGAGAGCAAUGGCCAGCAGGUUACUUUCUUAGAUUUCGCUCCGUCAUAAGAGGUUAUUGCACGCACGGAAACCAGGUACCAUGUGCACCUAACGGCACAUCCCGGUGAUCUUAUAUGAAUACCGUGUGGGAUCCAUCGACUCUAAUGCUCCCAACUUGUUGGACGCACAAUUAAUAAUUGCAUUAUUCAAUCUAUCACUGCUAUCGAAAACUUAUUUUUUCUUUCCUGUUUAAAGCUAGUACUAAUCGAUAUGACAGCAAUCUCAUAUUCAACGCACUGACAUUACUCCAACAAUGCGGGAUGAAAAAUUCAUUAAUAGGCUCAUCCUCGAGUUCUGCUCUCCCGGCACGCACAUCCCGAGGAUGGGCAAAUGCCUGCACAUCCUGGACGUCUUCAGAAAGAGCUUGCUGCACCAUGUGGAGAAGCCCAAUAUCCCGCAUGAGUAGGACGAGGGCGGCAAAAAGAUAAUCCAACCGGCCGUCGAGCUCAACUCUGCCAAGAUUCGGUUCAAGAAGAGCAAGACCAACAGUCUCAGGGACAUCUCCUACGCCAGGGGGGAUCCUGAGGCUCCUCGUGAUCGAGGUGGAUGACACUACCGAGUCUGUGUUCCUCAACUUCAUCGCACUCGAGCGCUUCCACAUUGGGGUGGGUACAAGGUCACGACCUACAUCUCCUUCAUGGACGACAUCAUCGCCAACGAGCGGGACGUCCAGCUACUCCAAACCCAUGGUAUCAUCCACAAUGCCAUCAGGAGCGAAAAAGCGGUCACCGAGCUGUUCCGCUCCCUGUCCAAGGAUGUGGUGCUCGACCCUGAAAGCAGCCUCGACGCUGUGCGCAAGAGGCUCAAAAGGUACUGCCAGAAACCCUGGAUCAUGUGGAGGGCUAAUCUCAUCCGCACCUACUUCAGUAAUCCUUGGCUUGUAUGGUCUCUUAUGGCCGCCAUCUUCGCCUUGGUGCUCAGCAUAAUUCAGACCGCGUACACCGUGCUCACCUACAACCCGAAUUCUCAGUUUCCCACUCUAAAAUAAUCUUUUUUUCCAUAUUCUGGUUUUUCUCCUAAUGGCUGAUGCUCAAUAAUUAUCUUUUCAUUGGUUGGCGAUUGUAGUUAUAAAUGAUUUCCACCGUCUUUAGUCAUGUUCAUUUCCCUCUUAAAAUGUUUUGAACGAUGGACAUUUCGCUGAUUAUUUAUCAUUAUCAAGUGACGAUUUCAGUCUUUUUCAUGUUUGCCCAAUUUGGAUAGGUAAUGUGAAGGAUGAUCAAGUUUUAGACAAAUGAAAUCUUCCAUUGCCACAUUUUCUUCUUGAAUAAAUUCGUGAGGUUGUCGUGAACUCAAGUGAAAAACAAGUAUGGCCUUCUAAGUCAUCUCUAAUACUCAAAUUUCAAAGAUUUGGACUAGUGUCCCCGGAAAAUUUUAAACCACAUCUUAAACAAUAAUGUGAAAUCUUUUCAUGAUUUUUGGAGCACAAUUAGGCGUCCGAAAUGCUCGUUCUCGAAUUUGUUGAAUCCUGGAAAUUUACUAUGUUUUGACCUGAAGUAUAUAAAAUUAUUAGGACUCGUACAAGCUCAAACAGGUCUUGAAUUCUCCAUGAAAAACAUUCUUUGGAGACUCGUCCACAUUGUGUUAAAUUUUUGUGAUUUUUAGAACUGAUUUGCUUUGCAAAUGCCCUUGAUUUCUACAUAUGGGCGAGCUGCCCUUUUUCUGUCGAUUUUGGCUAAAACUCCCUUUUGUUACCCGUCCUUUUGAACUAGUACUGCCAACUUAAUGUUUGUAUCACUUCUCUGGUUUACAAAGGAUAGUUGAGGGUGGACAUUGAACUAUUCCCAUACAUUAACUCAGUGGAUGGCAUGUUUAAAUUGAAAUAUUGAAUUGUUGCACUAUGAGAUGAGUGUGUGAUUUGGGAAUGCCGUUGGUCCUUCUGAUGACAAUGCCUCAAGUGGUAAUAGGGAUGCAUGGAGGGAUAACUAAUUUCCUCCAAAUGCUUGGGGGUAUUGAUAUUGCUAGUACGAGUACCUAGAGGGGGGUGAAUAGGUUUAUAAAAAUUUUCUUGAAGAUUGCACAAUACUUAGACAGAUGAAGGAUUUGCAAUAAUUAAAAAAUCAAUCGUAAGACUGAGUAAAGGAAAGAGAGAAUUGAACACGCAAUUUAUAGUGGUUCGGCUUGAUUCAAGCCUACGUCCACUCUUCUGCACUGACAGCCGAUUGGCUGGAUUCCACUAUGAACAAAGAGAUGUUACAGUGUUGAUCUUCCUUGAUUUCUAGGUGUAGAUGAUCUACUACACUCGCUCAAGGUAUCACCAAGUAUAAACACUCUCUGUGUAUACAAUUUCGCUCGAACUGUAUCGACUAACAAUCAAGGUUCUUCAGACUCUUGAAUUUUUCUAUCAAUCACACCCUUAAAACAACUAGAACGUCUUCCUUUUAUACUCCUUUAUGCCAUCAUAGCCGUUGGCACUUACCAAAGGAAUUCCUCCAAUCUACCCGUUGGACGGAAUCAAUUAAGAAGAUCAUCCGAGCUAUUUAAGGAAUCUGAUGAUAGCCCAUCAAUCCUGUUCGCCCAUACAAUCAGGAUUUUGGUUUCCAAGAAUAGAACAUUCCAAGAAUGUUUCGUCGAUCAUCGGAUCUUCAAAUGAUCUUAGAUAAGAAUCAAAGAAUCCGAAAUGAUUAUCCAACCAAGGGAUCUUUUCCAGAGGAUAGGAUCGAAUCCUCAACCAUAUACUUCGGCUUUGGAUUUCCUUCGUCACUGGAUUAGAAAGACUGUCAGUGAGAAUAGUCUUGAGUCUUGAGUCUUGAGUCUUGAGAUUACAAAGUCUUGAGACUUUAAACUGUCGAUAUCCAGACUAGACUGAUAGAAAUGUUUUGUCAGCUUCAAAAUAUUCUGGAAAGAUUUCUCCAACAAGUAUAACACAGUUUUCCCAGAUAUCCUCACGAUGCCAGAUGAGUGUGAGAUGCCCGGGGGGUAACGGGGUUUCCCAGAAGAUGAUGGCAGCUAAUUCAUAGCAAAUAUGAUCAUUGACAUUUUCAGAUUUCAUUUGAGCUUUAUUGGUUUACUAUUUUUAAAGGAAAUGUUUUUCACCUACUAUUAUAAUUUUGAAAAAAGGUUCUCUAUCAAGUUGAUUUCAAAAUGGUCUUCUAUAUUUUAUUCUAAACUUUCUUGUAUGUGCCAAAAUUAACAUAUGUAGUAUGGAUUGGUUGGUAGUUUGUUUGUUGAGUUUAUACUCACUAUUGGUGGAUUAUUAUUUUUCAAAUGAGUAGACAUGCCACCAUUACCAGCAUCCCCCAUGACCCUCUACGAUGCUUUGAUAAAUUUCACAUGGCACCAAACUAAGCUGCAUGACCCCAACUUUCCUAAUGUCACCUUCAUCCAUGUCAUUGCGUUAUCGACAGUCGAUGUCGGUCUACCAUCGGGCCCAAGGCUAAUUGGAUUCGUCCUCGUCUACGCUUGGAUCGAUGGGCGAUGGAGAUAGCGGGGUCGAAUAUGACAAGGAUCGGAGGAUGAGGAUAGCAUUUUUGGAAGACUAGGCAGUUUGGAUGAGUUAGGUAAUCUUGUAGAUAUACGGUAUCAUGGUCGGAGUGGUACAGUUGAUGGAAUUUUCAUAUAGUCCAAAGUAGGAAUAUUUCGGUAAAUCCCCAAUUUACCUGACCUAGGUUGCCCAAAAGUAUCUAAAACUAAAGGAAAUGAAAUUAUCUUGGUUUAUAGUCCUACGCGCAUUCCUUGAAUUUCGUAUGUCCUGGGUGAUUAUUGGUCUAUAUAUAUGUUUCCGCAUGCCUAAAAAGUGGAAAGAUUUGGAUAGGCACGUUAGCCGUGACGUGCUGGAGACGUCACAAUGUGUCUAUAUGAUGGUCAAAGGAUAGCUACAAAAGUUAUCUUUCUCCAACGCAACGGCAUGGAAAUUACCAAGCAAAACGCUGAUAUUUCUCCCUCUCAUGGAAAACGUGUGGCAAGGUUCACCAUCUACUUUUCAAUUUAAUGGUACGGUUAGCCAAACAUAGUAGAGCGGGAAUAAAAUAGGAGGGAAGGAUACGAUUGUGCAAGUCAAAUGCACAUAUGUUAUAAUAGACAUGUAACUAGCGUUAAGCACGCCCUAUGCGUGAACGCAAAGUUAAAUAGGUUUAUAAGAAGAAGACUAAUAGACCGAAAGUUAACUCUAAAAAGUAAAAAAUAGAAGGCAUUUUUCUAGAAGAGGAAAUGGGUGAAGACUGAGAUAAUUGUCAUUUAGUGGGGCCAGUGAGCGCAUAAAUGGUGGAUGUGGAUAAAAUGAAGGCAGUUAACUUUUUCUUAUUAAGGAUGUUUUUGGAAGGAAUAGAAAGCGAGAUAAAACAAGUGUAAUGCUUAGCCAACCGUACCGUUAGCUGGAAAAAGGGACGGUGAAUCCUCAUCCACACGUCUUGGAUGAGAGAGAGGGAGACUUGUCUCUUGCUUGAAAUUUCCUAGCGCUUGUGUAAAGGAAAUAUCCUUUGACUGUCACACCGUCUCACGGUGAUGCUAACACCACUCAUAAAACAAUAUUUUGACUUAAAUGUCUUUUGUGAAUAUUAAGCUCAAAACUCUAUUGUCAAGUAUUGACUAGCAGAUAACUUAGCUGGAAAGCAAUGCGCAAAGGAUGGCGGAGCCCACUUGUCCAUAUCCUCUCCAUCGGGAAAAUUGUCUAAAAAAUCUUAAAUCUAUUACAUUUUUAUUAAUUUAGUCUCAAACAUUUUAAUUUUAUCAUUGAGUUCUAAUUUUUUUAUAUGAUUUUUCAAUUGAAUCCAUCCGCCAAUUUAGCUGGAAACUGUUGAUAUGGACAUUAAACAUUUUAUGUGACACGGUUGACGCUGAAGUGAAUAAUUUUUAAUAAUAUUUUAAUUUUUUUCAAAUUCAUUUUUUUCUUUUUCCUUUUUCUUUUUUUUUAAACCCUCGCCUAGCGACCGGCCACAAGUGUCACCCUUUGGCUAGCAAGGGCUAUGACGCUCUUGCAUCACCCAAGCGAAGUGAGCGCAUUGCGGUCCUAGCCUAGACUAGGCAAGGGCAUUGCGGCCCUAGCCAACCAAGGGCAAGGGUUGUGACCCUCACUUGGAUCUAGGUGAGGGCCAACAUCCUCACAUGUGGCUAGUGAGGGCCUGGAGGCCCUUGCCCGUGACUAGCUAGGGCAACAACGCCCUCGCCUAGGGAGGGCUAGCCUACGGUUAUUAAAAGAAUAAUAAUUUGAAAAAUAUAAAAAUAUUAUAAAAAAUUAUCAACGUUAAUGUCGGUCGUGCCAUAUAAGAUGCUUGCAUUCACAUUAGUGAUUUUUUUAUUAAAAUUGGCUAAAUGAACUCAAUUGACAAAACGUGAAAAAAAAAUUUAGAUCUUCAUUGACAAAAUUGAAAGACUUAUGAUUAAAUUAAUAAAAAUAUAAUAAAUUUAAAACUUUUUGGACAAUUUUUCCUUUAUCUAUCAGCUUCUGCCUCUAUAAUUGCAUUCCACAUACAUCACUCCAUUACAUCACAAGGAUGCGCCGUCUGAUGGGGCAUUGUUCCACUACUGUUUUGUUGUUGCACAUAUUCCUGACGAAGAAAUACACAUGGGGGAAGUCAUUCUCUUUUUGCCAUACCUGCCUUUGGAAUUUUUUGGCCAGUCUAAUAUCAUUAAAAUUCUCCAUACAAAAAUUCUUGACUACACAUAUGCAUUUGUGUAUCUAGGGGCAUAGAAUUUCGGACAUGCCUUGCUUCGGGGGAAUUUUUCUUUUUUUUAAGAGCCAAAUUUAUAUGGAUCUGAUCAAUUGCAAUAGUUGGUCAUGUGGAUCCUGCAUGACGUCUAUAUAUAUAUCACAUAAUCAACUAUUAUGAUUGCAUUUGGUUCACAAAAACGGUUCUAGGGAAGGAUAUUUUUAGGCAAAAGAUGGGCGAAUCUCUUUGGCUCGUUCGAUCAAUAGCCCAUGAUCAGGGAUAUCUAAGUGGUGGGUAAAUCUAUUGUCAAUCUGGCCGAAUCUGGUCAGAAGGUUCCUUAAGAGUUUGACAGGACUCCUUCGCAUCUUUAGUAUCAGACGAUGAAUUUUUUUUUUUUUUAAUGAUUAGCACAUAAUUGCUCCUCUUUCUUAGGGAGCCGAUACUAAUCGUCGGAGGCUAAUCUUGGCUUUUGAGGUGAAGCGCAAAAUGGUCCGUGCCCGAUGUGCAUCCUUCACUUAAAAUCCUGCAGCUUCUUCUAGGGUUACAUUGUGUUGAUACAGUGCCGACAACCAAAAAAAUCAUUUACACUAAAAACUUCAUGGAUAACGUAAUGGACAAAGUCAUUUAUAACAUGAUAGGCUUGCAAAAUUACAUUAUUUUAAUCGUAACAUUGACUUAAUCUAGUACAAUGAAUUUGGUAAUGACUUCAUCUGGACAACAUUUAAAUAGUCUCACUUUUAAAUCUCAUGAAAGAUCCAUGAUGACUUUGACUCGUGCUCCCAAAUUUUUGUGCCUUAAUGCUAAUGGAUAUACUUCAUAACUUAUACUUCCCCAGCUUCACAAGGAUUCUUCUCAGAGUAAUAGUAGCGUACUGCUUCAGUCAGCUCUUCUUCUUUUUUUACUCAGUCUUUGGUCAAGAAAGGAGUCUCCUCCAUUCGGCUUAUUUGGACCAAAACUGAACGUGUUGCCCGGGCGAAAGGGACCCGGUAUGAGGUCAUCAAUAUGCGUAAUUAGAACUUAACGUGGAAAACGGAUUCAUCAAAAUGAUGUAUUCAUUUGCGACUAAAAAAAAUGAUGUAUUCAUCUGUUCGGUUGAUGGAAUUAGUCACUAUUGGAUUAAAUCCACGUUCCACAAGAAAUAUGUAUUUAGAGUUUACUAAUUAUAGCAGUUAUAAUGGAUCCAUGUUCUUCUUGAUUGGAGCUCAGAAAUGCCCGUCGUUGAUUGUGUGAAACAAGUGAAAGUAUUUGAGUUUCACACAAGAGGGUUACAACCUGUCUUGUGUACUAUCUGAAGUUAAUGAAUGAGAAGUUUUAUGAUUGUCAUUAGCUAACCGUGCACGCAUAAAAACAUAGCAUCACUAUUCGUGGUCAUUUUUUUUGUUUUUCCUACAUGUGAUGUAUACACGAAAGAAGUGCGAGUACUAAAUAUGUAACUCCAGUAUUGCCAAAUAUAACAAAAAAGUACUAUUUUAAUUCUAGUGUCGCAUGAAAUAUGCAAAGUCCGUACCCAAAGCGGCAUCCAAUGUAUUCAAUGCAUACAAGCCCUUUGAUUUAGAGAGACCCUGGUGAAAUUCAUCAAAUUCAAAGGCUAAUACACGGUCGGGAGAUUACGUGCCUUGCGGGCUCUGAAUUCGAAUCAUCUCGCACGAAACGUGAGUUACAAGUGCAUGGCUUGUCCCCAAAUACCUCUUCGCUCUUCCCAUCUGUCUCCAUAAAUUCUCCUCUUCUCACACUCCUUUCAGCUUAAGAAAAUAGAACGUAGGACACUCCAAAACAGGAACCAUGCCGCCGCGGGACCGGUACGAGACCAACUGGAUCGUCGAAGUUAACGAGAGCCUCAAGUGCAUGCCCCCCGACGAGCAACGGCACUGGAAGAAGCGGUCCAUCUACAGGGUUCCUGCCUGUGUCACUGACCUCAACCGCAAGGCCUUCCAGCCACAGGCUGUCUCCUUUGGCCCCUACCACCAUGGCGAGAUCCACCUCCGCACCAUGGAGGACCACAAGCACCGCGCGCUUCUCCACUUCCUCAGGCGGUCUGGGAAGCCUCUCGAUCCCUUCCUCGAGUCCCUGAGGGAAGUGGCGCGGGACCUCGAGGAGAGCUACGACGCACUGGACCUGGAGUGGAAGGAGUGCGGUGGUGAGGGCGCAGCAAACCGGUUCCUGAAGCUGAUGAUAACUGACGGAUGCUUCAUGCUUGAGAUCCUGAGGAGCGCGACACAGGCAGUGGAUGACUAUGAGCCUGACAACCCCAUGUUUUACACCCACAGGAUGCUUUCCAUAAUGCCAUACAUAUGGCCAGACAUGCUGAUGCUGGAGAAUCAGCUGCCGAUGCUAGUGCUGGAUCGGCUGGUCGCCGUCGAGAGUGAUGGCAAGGAGGUUAGUUUCUUAGAUUUUGCUUUGUCAGAUUCACUAACAGUACAUCUUGAUGAUCACAGAUGGGCUAUGUGGACCUCACAUGGGAUCCAUCAAAUCAAAUACUCCAAACCUGUUGGAUGCAUGAUUCGAUCAACUGAGAACAUGAUUACUAAAUCUAUCACCACUAUUGGAAACUUCUUCUUAUUUUUAUUUUAUUUUAUUUUAUUUUUUCACUUUAACUCAAGUACAACUGAUACGACAACGAUCUCACAUUCAAAUGCACUGACUUCACACCGACAACUCAGGAUGACGAAUACAUCAACAGGCUCAUCCUCAAUUACUGCUCCCCUGGCAAGAACACGGUGAGGAUAGGCAAAUGCCUGCACGUCCUGGACGUUGUCAGGAAGAGCCUACUACUCCAUGAGAAGCCCAAGCUGGACAAGGUGGGGUGUGAGGGCCUUCUAUUAGUCCGGUCAGCUACUGAGCUCAACGAGCAUGGGAUCCGGCUCAAGAAGAGCAAGACCCGCAGCCUCACGGCCAUCUCCUUUGCUGGCGGGGUUCUGAGUCUCCCUGAAAUCGUGGUGGAAGAAGCAACCGAGUCCAUGUUCCUCAACCUCAUCUCAUUUGAGCGCUUCCAUGUCGGGACCGGGAACGAGGUCACAUCCUACAUCUACUUCAUGGACUACAUCAUCGCCAAUGAGUGCGAUGUCACGCUUCUCCACACCUUGGGCAUAGUCCUGAAUGUCCUGGGGAGCGACAAGGAGACCACCGGGCUGUUUCGCUUGCUGGCCAAGUACACAACUAUUGAACCCAACAGCGGUCUCAUUUCUGUGUGCAAUAAGGUCAACGAGUACUGCAACAAGCCCUGGAACAAGUGGAGGGCCAAUCUCCUUCAGACCUACUUCAGGAGUCCUUGGGCUUUAUUGUCUCUCGUUGCGGCUAUCUUCCUCUUCGCACUCACUAUAAUUCAGACCGUAUAUGCCGUGCUCAGCGAUUGAACCCACAAUUUGCCUCUCUGUACAAUAAUUUUCCCUUUCCAGUCAUGUUCAUUUCCCACUUUAAAUGUACCGAAUGAUGGACAUUUGGCUGUUCGUUUAUCAUUAUCAAAUGAUUCUCUUAUUUUAGUCUUCUUCAUAUUUGUCCAUGUUGAAAAUUGUGAUCCAUUUUCCAAAUUCUAUAGAUCUCUCCUCAACUAUGUCAAGAAUGGCGGUGGCUGAAGAAAAAAAUUAACGUGGGAAUGCAAGCAAGCAUCAGCUAAAGAAAUAGUAAGCAGAAGCCAAGUUGGAGAAGACUUAGGUGGGAAAAAUUUUAAAAAAGUCAAAAGAGUUGAGGCAUCCCCGUGAAGAAGGAAGUUGCCUUACACGUGUCAAGAAAGGUCGGUCGAUUAUUUUAAAGAGCCUAUAAAUAGAGCCUACGUAUGCUAGGUCGCGUGUGGGGUUUAGCCCUCCACCAAGUCUGUGGAGGAGUAAGCUCAAUAUACAUAUCCUAUACUCCUCCCCCGACAACUCCUUCAACUAUAUUUGUAAUACCAUUUUCAUAAACUAAUGAAACUAUUCUUGUCCCCUAAACUUUGUUUAUAACCUAUCUUUGUCCAUUCCUCUGCAUCAACUAGACCAUACACGUAUGCAUUGGAACACACGCUUCCACUAAUACUAGUAGUCCAAUUAUGUGAAGUAUGGUCUAGUUUUAGGCAAAUGAAAUCUUCAAUUGCACCAUAUUCUUCCUGAUUAAAUUUUAGCAGAUUUCAAUGAAUUUAAGUGAACAACAAAUUUGGCCAUCAAAGUCAUUUCUCUUCCCCCAUCAGCUUCAAAUUUCAAAGUCAUCUAUAUAUUUUCCGGUUGUCAAGCACACUUUUAUACUGAAAAAGAAAUAUUUUGAAACUUCCGACAUCCUUCCCAAGAUAGAAUAAGGGAAAGAUAUAACAGUUCUAAAUCGCCAUUAUAGAAUCCUACAUCAAAAUAAGAUAACAACAAACCGUUAAUUAUCCAACCAAGAAAAAAAAUUGUUAAUUAUGUAUGUAGAAUGUUAAGAUUAUGUCUCCAGUUUCGGCAGGUUUCCCAGUUUGAAGGGUCUGAACAAUCGCUUGUUAUUGAUCCUUAAAUCUUGACGACACAAUUAAACAUUUAUCGUAUAGAAAAAUUAAAGAUCAAACCAACUCAAAAACAAAAAUAUUAAUUAAAUUGCAUAUAAGUAUUAAGAACAUUUUAAUUAAGCCCAUAUAAUAUUCAUUAAUGGACUAAAGCAAGGGGGUUUUGAGCUUAAUUAAAUUAUUUGAACUAAGCCUGGGACAAUAAGCAUAUCUUGAUAUUCACAAUCAAAAUACAUGGGAGCUCCAAAAAGCAAUGACAGUGGGAGGUCCAUCUUACAUGUAUUUAAAAAUAAACGAGCAAGCCAAAACCUAAUAAGAGCCAAAACUAAUAAAUGAAAUCUUUAAAUUUAAGGCAAAACAUCAUCUUACUACUCAAUUACAUGAGAGACAAGCACAAAAAAAAAAAAAAAAAAAAACAUGUGUGACAAAAGUAGGAGUAAAUGCACUAUCUUCUUAUCAACAGUUAGAAAAAUUUACUCCUUCAUUUGUCAUACAUGGUUAUUUACUCCAUUUGUUUAAGGUAAGUGAUCAUCUUAUUGCUCAGCAUCUGAAAUGACCCACAAGUCAAUUUAGCGGUUGGAAAAAUUAACACGCAUGUUAGGGAAUCAAGAACUUCAUAAUUUGCCAACUACAGAAGUGCACGACAUGUCCCGUGUGAUAGCAACUGAACUACUCCUCAAAUGGUGAAACCUGUCAUAUUGUUCCUACAGGAGUGAUAAUGACGUUUCCGCUGAUCUGAUCUAAUUGUUGUCCAUGAAAUAAUAUCGUUUUGAAUGAAAUUAAAGGAAUAUGUAAUGUUUUUAUGAAUAAUGUUUGAUAUGUGAAUAUUUUGUUCAAUUAACUAGGAGCACUUUGAAAGAUUGUUUUUCUCAAUUCAAUGAAAGUGUUCCAUAAGCUCUAUUUCGUUGGUAUAAUAAAUAGAGGGCAUUGUAAUUUAAAACAUGAAUGAGAGACAUAUCAUUCUAAGUCGAGUUCAAUGCAUAUAUUCCAUUAUGCUUUGAAUUUUGCAUGAUUUCAAUCUUAUCGUUCGAGUUCACACUUCCUUUGAUCUUUUUGUAUAUGGGAAUAGAAAGUUAGGGAGAAGAACAUAAAGAAGUAUAGUGGAGGAGGAGGAGGAUGCUUUGAAUUUUGCACGAUUUCAAAGUUAUCUUUCGAGUUCACACUUCCUUCGAUCUUUUUGUAUAUGGGAAUAGAAAGUUAGGGAGAAGAACAUAAAUAAGUAUAGUGGGGGAGGAGGAGGAGGAUGCUUUGAAUUUUGCAUGAUUUCAAUGUUAUCUUUCGAGUUCACACUUCCUUCGAUCUUUUUGUAUGUGGGAAUAGAAAGUUAGGGAGAAGAACAUAAAUAAGUACAGUGGAGGGGGGGGGGGGGAGAGAGAUUUUUUUGUCGAAAGAAAAGGGAAGAUUAAAAAAAAAUGGAGAAAAAGUUGCUCUGAGAAAAGUUUAAAAACUGUCAUACUUCUUAUCACCAAAAAUGUCUUAAAAUUUUUGAAAUUUUGACUAGAACCUCUUCACUCUCGGUAAGAAGUAGGUAGGAAGGAGAUAUAGGUUGAAGAUGAAAAUUUGAUUACGGGACGAAAGGUGGGCCAACCCAAUUUAAGUUUUAAUAAUAGCUAGUUAGGGUGAUUAUGGUAAUCGAGAGUAGUUUAGAUAGGCAGUUUAGAUAGGCUUGUCAAGUUAUUUUGAAAUGACAUAAAUCACUAAUUUAGUAGAAGAAAAUAUUGGUUAGAGUUGGAUCUUCACGUGAGUCACUCUCGACUCCAGUCAUUGAUCACCGCAUGCUCAAAUGGCAGCCCACUUUCAGUGUAUUUGACAAAUCUUUAUGCUAUGUCUCUCUCUUGUGACAAAUGUUUAUGCUAUGUCUAAGGAGAAUUCAAAUCCUGCAUAAACUGAAUAUUUUUCGAGCCAGACUCUACUUGGAAAGAAAUGUUGCAUUCUACCUCCUUUAAGUAGGGUGCAUUUGCCUGUGAGAUACUUAGCCCCGCCAUUAGUUUCAGGCAAGCUUUAACGUUGAUGAUUGCAAAGUGCUUACUAAUAAGGCAUUUGAAUAUUGCAGAUUUAAAUCAGUAACGGUCAGUUUGGUUGCGAUAAUGGAAUAAGAUUGUAAUGUAAUAGCGUGGAGAAUGCCCAUUUCCCACCUAAUGUAAUAAAGACAUUUUAGCAACACUUUCUACAGAUGGUUAGAAACCGCACACGCCUUGCAAUUAUAUCGAGCACAUAUGGCACAUUUUUCACCUCCCAGCACCAUUUGGUUGGGAAAUCAACCACCUUCUCUAAUGCCAAAGAGCUGCAAAAUCUGAAGAUUGAAAAAUGGGAGCAACUUGGUUAACUUCAAUGAUCCACAAAUUAUUCAACUUUAUCGAUAUACAUAUUUGAUUACAUAUAGGAACUCGUGGUAAAUCUUCCACGUAAUUCAUUUAUCAGAUUUCACGCGAUGUAUUAAAUGUCAAUAAAAAGAGAAAAUUCACCUCCACAGGAUAGUAGCUCCCUUAUAGUCACAGAGAACAGGGUAUUCGGCAAUACAAGUUCAAUUUUUUCUCUCGAAUGGGUGAAAUGAGAAACUCAGAAUACUUGCAAUCCACGACUUUCACCACAAGAAGAUUGAAUUGCGAAGUAAAGUUCCGCAAAUUAGCCAACUAGGUCCCUCUACUGUCAAGUAUCGACUAACAGCUAACUUGGCUGGAGAGCAAGGCACAAGGAUGGAUUAGAAAAUAAAAAACAAAUUCCUGGAAGUGAGUCUAUGCAUAGAAGAGCUUCGUACAUGACCAAAGAUGGGGGAGCUCACUCGUCCAUAUCCUCUACUUCAUUGGCUUCCGGCUCUAUAUCCGCAUGCCUGAGCCGACCACAUACAUUACACUCCAUUGUCCCGCCGCUGUUUUGCUGGUACACAUAUAACUGAUGAAGAAAUACACAUGGGAAACGUCGUUCUCUUUCUGCCAUACCCGCCUUUGGAAUUUUUUGGCCCAUCUAAAAUCAUGAAAAUUCCCCAUAUAAAAAUUCUCGACCGCUUAUACACAUGCGUGUAUCUAUGGGCCUAGAAGCUUUUGAACAUGCCUCGCUGCAGGGGAUCUUUUUUUCUUUCGGAGCGAAGUCCAUAUGGAUUGGACCAAUUGCAACAUUUGGUCAUGUGGGUCCCACGUCACAUCCACAUACAUAUUUCCCAUGAUUAACUAUUAUUAUUCACCACCCGUUGUAGUGGCUCAGCUGGGUAGGCGCUCCUUCUCCUGGUGAGAGGUCGAGCGUUUGAAGCCCCUGCGAAGCAGGGAGGCUGGCAGAGACACUAAGUGACUUACCUGGUGGCACGUGUGUGGUGGCUAGCACGUGUCGCCCAGGAGGUUUACGGCGCACUGUCGGCGUAAGCUGGUUCCUCCUGUCCAAAAAAAAAAAAAAAAAAAAAAAAAAAAACUAUUAUAAUUCUAUUUGCUUUACAAAAACGGUUCUAGGAAAGGACAUUUUUAGGCAAAUCCACUCAGAGGAUGGGCAAAUCUCUCAGGGAAAAGGUUAGCAUAACUGUCCUUUGGAAAGUGACGGUCUCAGGGUCAAAGGGAAGCCAUAAACAUAUUUCGAGGAAACCGGGAGACUUCUUCAACCGGUUCCAAUAUUUGACCGUAUGUUUCCUAUUUUUCUUCUCUUUUUACUUUAAAGUUUCCUUUUUACAAGCUCAAUUAAGAGACAAAAUCACAAAAAGACCCACGGAAUCAAUUUUUUUUAAUAUAAAGAAAUAAAACAAUAAAAUAGUUACUGUAAUAUGAAUCAUGUUCCAUGGUGUCAUGACACUUUCAUCACUAUCAUCUUCGUUUGCAUUGUUCAUCUCAUCUUCAUCACUACCAUUAUUUUCAUUAGUGAAGUUACCUUUAGUUCAAACUCUAUCCAUCUGAAUGAAAUUAGAAGAAAAACUCAAGCAUUAUAUGUCUAAAAUAUAUAGAUUAAACUAAAAUUCAAUGACAAUGAAUACCCCUUGCUUUCUUGCAAUCAAGAAGCAUAAUUAACGAACCUUUAUCCAUAGUUAUGAUUAUUAUAUAAUAAAAAUGGGGAAAAUACUGAGAUAACCAUGCCAUUAGUUUUGAAUAGGAGCGGCCAUACCUCAGCCAUACAUUUUCCAUCUUCAAAAUUGGAGAAUUACUUAACAGAUUUCCCCUUUUUUAUUAUAUAGAAAUGCAUUUUCCAAAGUAGGUCAUGAUCAAAUUUGUUGAGGAAAUAUUCAAACAAGAUUCUGAUUAUCUAGAAUCAUUAAAGAAACAAAUCAAAGUAAUAAUAUUUAAACAAUAAGAAAUAUAUGAAGAACUCGGUUGCUACUUUUGAAAUAGUGGAUAUUAUUCUCUAGCCAAAGAAUAAGAUUAUAGUUCCCAAAUAAAAUUGUUGACACCUAAUUUUUUGCCCAAAUUAUUGCAUAUAGAUUAAUUAAUUAAAAAAAAGAUUACAAAAAAGUUUUUAAAAAAAAAAAGAAAAAAAAAAGGUUGAUUUAGGACGUGCGACCUAUGGAUGGAAAGAUAUUUGAGUGAAGUUUCACUCUCUAGUUGAAGGUUUUGGCUAAUUUUGGCCGAAGGGUUGUGAAAAUCUCACUUUUCUCUCAAAAGGUUGAUCUGGAAUUUCUGGGUUUGCUUUUCUGGAGUUGCUUUUGAGUGCCUCUUUGGGGAACGGUUCCGAGCUCUCUCCUCUCUCCCUCGUCUCUUUUUUUUCAUCCCUUGAAAGACCUUGCUUCAGUGAUCUUAUCCCAUGAAUUGAGGGAUUUUUGGUCAGCUUUUUGCCCCCCUACCGAGCCUGCCAACUGAGCUAGUCCACCCACUCUCCUGACUUAGCCAAUUUUUUUUAAUUCUGCAGCUGUUGAGUGUGCGGGUUUUGCUGCGAUUUUCCGGUGCUGUCAGAAGCUUAUCCCUGGCCAAUUUUCGUCCACUUGCACUACUAUAUACGGUCUUCCAUCACGUGCAAAGAUCGGGCUAGUUGGGCAGCUGAGGAGGAUAUGGUGGGGCCACCAAAUUGCUUACUCAGCAACUCCGGUUUAAGACCAACUCGUGGACUGAGUUUUGGCUACUGAUUUGAGUGCUUUAAUCCACUAAUUUGGCUGCGUUUUUUGAUCAAUUAGAAAGCUCAUGUCUAGUAGUUUAAGAUCUUGACCAUUUUUCGCAAUUAUCUCCACCCAAUUUUGCAAGAGAGUCCCUCAAAGUUGGCCAUUUUCUUGCCCGAAAAUGUCAAAUUCAAUGCAAUUAGGUCCUUUUUGCCCGAUUCAAUUAAUUAGACCUGACCCAAGUUCAAUUUCAACUUAAUUGGGGGCUAAGAUGAUGAUUUAAGGGCCCGGGUGAAAUUUUGCAAAAUUUGCGAAUUAGUCCCUCAACUUUUGGAAAUUGCAUUUUUGCCCCAAUUUGCCAUUUUAAUUCGAAUUUGACCUCCUGGGCUUGGCUAGUCACAUUUAGAUCAUUGGCCACAACUUUUUUUUCUUUUUUUUUUUAAACUUUUUUUUAAUCUUUUUUUUAAUUAAUUAAUCUAUAUGCAAUAAUUUGGGCAAAAAAUUAAGUGUCAACAAAAAUAAAAUAACGAUAAAUAAAAAAUAGGCAUGUAAUUAUCCUAUAUAAUUUGAACUCCCGAUUAUUGUAUGAUUUUGUAAUCUAAAAAAGCAUAACUAUGGAUAAAGGUUCGUUAAUUCUACUUCUCGAUUGUAAGAAAGCAAGAGGUAUUCAUUAUCAUCGAAUUUUACUUUGUGUCUAUAUAUUUUAAACAUUUAACGCUUAAGUUUUUCUUCUAAUUUCGUUUAGAUGGAUGGACUUCAUAUUAAAAGUAACUUCACUAAUGAAAAUAAUGGUAGUGAUGAAGAUGAGAUGAACAAUGCAAACAAAGAUGAUAGUGAUGAAAGUGUCACGACACCAUGGAAUAUGAAGUUUUUUUUUUGUUUAUCUUUUAAAUUUAAUAGAUCUAUAUAAUGACAUUGACAAUUUCUCUUUAGUAAAUAAUGAUAAUAUGCUGCUUGUAAUUAUUCAUAUUGCAGUAGCUAUUUUAUUUUUUAUUUCUUCAUAUUAAAAAAAAAAAUUGAUUCCAUGGGUCCUCUUGUGAUUUUUUCUCUCAAUUGAGCUUGUAAAAAGGAAAAUUAAAAGUAAAAAGAGAAAAGAAAAAUAGGAAACAUACGGUCAUAAAUUGGAACCGGUUGAGGAAGUCUCCCGGUUUCCUCGAAAUAUGUUUAUGGCUUCCCUUUGACCGUGAGACCGUCACUUUGCAGAGGACGGUUAUGCUAGCCUUUUCCAAUCUCUUAGCCCGUUCGGUCACCAGCUCAUGAUCAAGUAUAUUGAGUGGUGGAUAAACCACUUGUCAAUUUGGCCUGAUCUAGUCGGAAGUUCCUUACCAAGAGUUUGACAGGAGUCUUUAGUCUCAGAGGAUGAAAUUCUUUUUGUCGAUUAGCACAUAAUUGUUCCUCUUUCUUAGAGAGCCGAUACUAAUCGUUGGAGGCUAAUCUUUGCUUUUAAGGUGAAACGCACAACGGUACACCUCAGCUAAGAUCCUUCUGCUUCUUUUGGGGGAACACCGUCUUGACAUAGUGCCAACAACCAAAAAUCUCAUAUGUACUAAAAUCUCUACGAAUAAUGUGGGGGACAAAGUCAUUUAUAAAACAUGAUAGGCUUGUAAAAUUACAUUUAUUUUAAUGUAACAUUGACUUAACCUAGUACAAUAAGUAGGUAACGACUUCUUCACUUGGACAAAAUUUAAAUAGUCUCACAUUUACAACUCAUUAGUCAUUCUCCUAAGUUGUAUCAUUUUCCCCCUUCUUACACACGAUUUGUGUUCCCUAACGCUAAUGAAUUUACUUUUUAUCUUAUACCGCCCCAGCUUCACCAGGAUACUUCUCAGAGAAAAGGUAGUGAACUGCUUUUGAUCAGUUAUUAUUCUUUUGUUAAUCAAUCUUUGAGCAAGAUGGGAAUGUCCUCCAGUUGGCUUACUAAAACUGAAAGUGUUGCCCUGACGAAAGGGACCCGCAAUGAGGAAAUCAAUAUGCAUAACCAAUUCAUCGAAGUGAUAUAUUAAUCUGACUUGGCGAUGGAAUUAGUCACUUUCGGAUUAAAUCUUUGUCUCGCAAAUAUUUUGUGUUUAGAGUUUACUAAUUAUAAUAGUUAUUAUGGAUCCAAGUGCUUCUCUAUUGGAGCUCAUAAUGGAUUCGAGCUCUUUUCGAUUAGAGCUUAUAAAUGCUUGCAACCAAGUGGAAGUAUUUGAGUUUCGCACGAUGGUUAUAACCCGUUUUGUGUGCCAUAGCGAGAAGUUAUAUAAUUGUCAUGAGCUAAUCGUGCACAUAUAACAUCAUAGCGUCACUAUUUGUGGUAAUUUCUUUUUCUUUUUCCUACAUGCAAUGUAUGCAUGAAAGAAGUGCAUCAAAUACUAAAUAUAAGACUUAAGCAAUAAAUCGGGAAUAUCUCGAAUAUAUGACAAAAAAAGAUUAUCAAAUAUAACAAAAAAACUGUACUAUUCUAAAUCUAUUGUCACGUCAGAUAAGCAAAGUCCGUACCCAAAUUGGCAUUGCAUGUAUUUAAUCCAUACAGACGAUCGGAGAAUUACGUGCGUUGCGUACACGCAAUACGAAUCCUCUGGCACAAAACUUUAUCCCCCAACCCUCUUCACUCUUCCCAUCUCUCUCUCCAUGUCUCUCCAUAUUUUCACCAUUUCUCUCCAUAUUUUCACCAUUUCUCUUACUCCUUUCAGCUUAAAAGAAUAGAACACAAGCCACUCGAAAAUAGGAACUUGCGGAACCAUGCCACAGCGGGACCCGUACGAGACCAACUGGAUCGUCGAAAUCAACGAGAGCCUCAAGUGCAUGCCCACCGACGAGCGACAGUACUGGAAGAAGCAGUCCAUCUACCAGGUCCCGACCUCCGUCCCCGACCUCAACCACAAUGCCUUCAACCCGCAGGCUGUCUCCUUCGGCCCCUACCACCACGGCAAGAUCCACCUCGGUCUGAGAAGCCUCUCAAUCCCUUCCUCGAGUCCCUGAGGGAAGUGGCGCGGGACCACGGGGAGAGCUACUACGUACUGGACCUGGAGUAGAAGGAGGUCGAACGAGAGGGCAUAGGGGACUGGUUCCUGAAGCUGAUGAUCCCUGAUGACUGCCUCAUGCUUGAGAUCCUGAGGACCGCGACACAGGAGGAGGACGACUAUGAGCUGGAUGACCCCAUAUUUCACACCCGCAGGAUGCUUUACAUCAUGCCAUACAUAUGGCCAGACAUGCUGAUGCUGGAGAACCAGCAGCCAGUGCUAGUGCUGGAUCGGCUAGUGGUUCUUAUUAUUUUUUUUUUCACGCUAGCACAAGCUGAGCUCCACUUAUUAUUAUUUUUUUUUUAAGUGUACAGGACAUUAAAAAAUUAGUGGUUCUUCUUGCUCCGUCGCUUCAUUAAAAGUGAUGGAGUCGUCAUUUUGGCAUUUCUCAAAAAAGAUAUCAUGUUGAACCGACACCCUGAAAAAUGGAAAUGAAAGCGAACGCACACACGGAAAUUUUUAAAAAAAAAAAAAAAAGGACAAGUACAUGUAUUGAAGAUAUCCAGCUUGAGGCCCCAAAGAAUGGAAAGAAGGAUCCAGGACCAAAAACAAUAGAGAAGAGAGAGAGAGAGAGAGAGAUGGGAUGAAUCUACCGAACUGAGAGAAACUGGGGAUGUCUCAUAAAAGACAUACUAAGGAUGGACGCUUUCUUUGGAUUUUCUUUCCUUCCUUUCGGGAAGAUAUCUUGCCUUCUUAUGUCAUGCCUUCUUGCCGUCGAGAAUGAUGGCAAGAAGGUUAGUGUUUUAGAUUUUGCUAUCAUGUUCACCUAACAGUACAUCUUGUUGAUGACAAAUGGACCUCACAUGGGAUCCAUCGAAUGCUCCAAUCCUGUCGGACGCAUGGUUCAAGAUCAACCGAGAAUUUAAUUACUAUUAUCGGAAAUUUCUUCUUUUUCCUUUUACUCAAGUACUAUCGAUACGACAACAAUCUCACAUUCAAACGCAGUGACUUCACACCAACAACUCAGGAUGACGAAUACAUCAGCAAGCUCAUCCUCAAUUACUGCUCCGCUAGCAAGGACACCGCAAAUAAAGGCAAACGCCUGCAUGUCCUGGACGUUGUCAGGAAGAGCCUACUUCUCCAUGAGAAGCCGAAGCUGGACAAGGUGGGGUGCGAGGGCCUUCUGUUAGUCUGGUCGGCCACUGAGCUCAUCAAGCAUGGGAUCUGGUUCAAGAAGAGCAAGACCGGCAGCCUCACGGACAUCUCCUUUGCUGGCGGGGUCCUGAGCUUCGCCGAGAUCGUGGUGGAAGAAGCAACUGAGUCCAUGUUCCUCAACCUCAUUGCAUUUGAGCGCUUCCACGUCAGGACCAGGAACGAGGUCACGUCCUACAUCUACUUCAUGGACUACAUCAUCGACAAUGAGUGUGACGUCGCACUUCUUUACAACUUGGGCAUAGUCCUGACUGUCCUGGGGGACGACAAGGAACCAUGGAGCUGUACCACUUGCUGGCCAAGUACACAACAAUUGAACCCAACAACAGUCUCAUUGCCGUCUGCAAUAAGCCCUGGAAUAAGUGGAGGGCUAAUUUCAUCGAGACCUAUUUCAGAGGUCCUUGGGCUUUAUGGUCUUUCAUGGCCGCCAUCUUCCUCUGCGCACUCCCUAUAAUUCAGACCAUAUAUUUCGUGCUCAGAACCCACUCUUUGCCUCUCUGUACAAUAAUUUUCCCUUUCCAGUCAUGUUCAUUUCCCACUUUAAAUAUACCGAAUGAUGGACAUUUGGCUGUUUAUUUAUCAUUAUCAUAUUAUAAUUCUGUUGUUUCAAACUUCUUCAUUUUUGUCCAAUCGUGUGAAGGAUGAUCAAGUUUUAGGCAAAUGGAAUCUUCCAACGCACCAAUGCUUGAUUAAAAUUUUAACGAGUUGCAGCAAAUUUAAGAGAACAACAAAGAUGGCCUUCAAAGACAUCUCUCUUCCCCAUCGGCUUCAAAUUUCAGAGUCAUCUAUAUAUUUUCCGGUCAUCAAGCAAUCAAUCAUUAACACAGAGAACAUACUUUCAUGACUGAGAAAAAAAUAUUUUGAAACUUCCAACAUCCUUCCUGAAAUAAAAAGAGCUAAAGAUAUUCAAUGUUCUAGACCACCAUUAUAGAAUCCUAGAUCGAAAUAAGUUGACAGCAAACUGCUAAUUAUGUUUAAAGAACGUUGAGAAUAUCCCUCCAAUUAGGGUAGGUUUCCUAAGUUGAAGGGUGUUGGAGAAAUCUUCUUGGAGUAUUUUGAAGCUGACAAAACGUUUCCAUCAGUCUAGUUUGAAAAUUUGCAGACUCUACUAUUUAAAGUCUGAAGACCUCCAGACUGCCAGACUCAAGAUUCAAAGUCUAUUCUCAUUGACGGUUUCCAAUCCGUCGAAGAAGGGCUAUUCAGGACUGGAUGUUUUGUUAAGGAUUUGACCUUAUUGACUAGAGAAGAUCUCUUGGCUGAAUAUGACAUAACGGAAUCCUUUAUUGACUCAAAGAUUGAGGAUUCGAUGAUUAGCGAAGUAUACUUGGAAGGUUCUACUUAUGGAAACCGAGAUCCUGAUUGUAUGGGCAAGCAAGAUUGAUGGGCUAUCGACAUGUUCCUUAAAUAGCUCGAAUAAUCUUCCUAAUUGAUUCUGUCCAACGGGAAGAUUGGAAAAAUUCCUUUGGUAAGUGCCAACGGGUAUGAUGGCAUAAAGGAGUAUAUAAGGAAAACGUUCCAGUUGUUCGAGUGUGUGCGCGAUAGAAGAAUUCCAAAGUCUGAAGCUCUUUGUUCUUAGUCAAUUCAUUUUCUGAGCGAAAUCUUGUACGCAAAAGAGAGUUCAUAUUCUUGAGAAACCUUGAGGAAGUGUGGUAGAGUAUCUACACUAUGGAAUCAAGGGAGAGCCUUGCUGUAACAACUCUUUUGUUCAUAGUGAAAUCUAGGCGGUGGGCUGUCAGUGCGGAAGAGUGGACGUAGGCUUGGAAUAAGCCAAACCACUAUAAUUUCUGUGUUCAUUUUCUCUUCCCUACUCUCUGCUUUACUUUGAUCAUAAUUCGCUUUGUUAAUGAAAAGAUAACUUCCUUUCUAUUGUCUGCUUAGUAUUGCUCUCUUAUCUCGAGAAAAUAUUUUUUACACCUAUUCACUCCCCUCUAGGUGCUUAUACUAGCUAUCUCAAUUGGUAUCAGAGCAUGUGUACUCACUUUGUUUGAAGUGUUUUACUUCAGAGUUAAAGAUUCAUGACUAGUAUGUUAGCUCCAGGGCUGGUAGAAGGGCAAAGCAAUACCAGACCGCCUUACUUUGAUAGAAAUGAAUACAACAUAUGGAAAAACAAGAUGAAGGUGUUCCUAAGAUUAAAGGAUCCUCUGGAAUGGGACGUUGUAGACAAAGGAAUCAUUCCUAAAGCUGCACCUGUCUCAGAGAGAGGAAAAGAAACUGUUGAGUCUAGUGAAAUGACUCGGGAAGAGAUAACCAAGAGACAAGCUCUUGAUGCAAAAGCAAUUUAUUCUUUAUAUUGUGCUUUGUCACCUACUGAAUAUAACUGAAUAUCUUCUUGUGUUACAGGGAAAGAAGUUUGGGAUAGAUUACAUAUCACCUAUUAAGGAAUCGAUCGAGUGAAAGAAACCAUAAUCAACAUUCUCCUCGGUCAAUACGAAGCCUUCAAAAUGAAAUCAGGAGAAUCUAUAACUGACAUGUUUAGUUGUUUUACAGAAAUCAUGAAUGGUCUUGAAAAUAAAGGUCAACCAAUUUCUGAUCCCAUGAAAGUAAACAAGCUACUGCGUGGACUCUCCAAGGAUUGGAAUCACAUAAAGACUUCAAUAAGGGAGACACAAAGAAUUAUGCCACUAUCUGUCGAUGAGUUGGUUGGGACUCUUCAGUCUUAUGAAGUGGAACGAAUUAAUGAAGACGAAGAUCCUAAAGGUAAAAAACCCAUUGCAUUAAAAUCCAAUGAUGAUUAUGAUGUUACAGAUUCUGAAGACAAUAUGGAUGAUGAGGAGCUUGCUCUCAUGAUAAGAAGAUUCAGAAAGCUGAACAGAAAAUGAAGAAGAUUCAAUCCAAAGAAACAAAGUUUUCAAAAGCAGCAGACUAAGUCUGUUGAGGAUGAUGAAUCAAAUAGAGAUAUAGUAUGCUUUGAAUGUAAGAAAAAGGGACACAUCAGACCCAACUGUUCUCUUCUAAGGAAGAAGAAAGGAAAAGCUGAAAAGUAUCGAAAGGCUCUUAAAGAAGAAACCUGGAGUGAUAUAGAAUGUGAAGAAAGUGAUGAUGAUUAUGCCAAUAUAUGUCUGAUGGCACAAUCGGAUUCAGAUUCAAACUCUGAGACAGACUCAGAUUCAGACAGUGAAUUUGAGGUGAGUAACUCUAAAAUCCCUAUUAAAGUUUCUAAAUACAUUGAUGAGUUGUGUUUUAGUCUUAAGACCUCUCUUAAAAGGAUUUCCUAACUUAAAAAGGAAAAUUCUACACUUAAACAACAGGAAAAUGUUUGGAAAGAAAAUGUCAAAUGUUUAGACAUGAAUGUUUCUACUCUUAAAGAAAGAGAAGACAAUCUUUCGAAAGAAAAUGUAUUUUUAAAAAAUGACAUAUCAAAUAUUUCCAAAAGAUUUUCAAUAGGAUCUGAGAAACUUGAGAAAAUUCUUUCAGCACAAAGACCUUAUUUCAAUAAAUCUGGUUUGAGAAUGACCGUGGAAACCAUUCAUUUAAUUGAUUUUCCUAAAGUGAAGGAAAGAAUUAAGCAAAAACCACAAGAGAUCCUUACAAAAAUCAUUUUAAAAAUGUCUUUGUAAAACUAGUAGGUCGCAAUACUCUCAGAUGUUCAAAGUGCAAUAGUUCAAAUUAUUUUGAGAAAGAAUGUCCUAUGGUUUGGAAAGCUGUUAAGAAAGUAUGGGCAAAAACCGCAUAUUAUACUAAUACCAAUGGACCCAAGAAAAUAUGGGUACCAAAGAAAGUUUGAGUCUCUUUUUUAAAUGCAGGUCACUAUCAAGAAGAAGGUAAAAUGGUAUCUGGAUAGUGGAUGCUCAAGACAUAUGAUAGGAGAUUCAAAUUGCUUCAUAAAGCUCAUUCAAGUAAAUAGUGGAAAAGUCUCAUUUGAAGGAAACAGCAAAGGAAGAAUUGUGGGAUUCGGAACUGUAAAGAUUGGAAACCUCACAAUCAGCAAUGUUUCCUUAGUGGAAGGACUCAACUACAAUCUGCUCAAUAUCAGUCAGCUGUGCGAUACCGGUUUCAAAAUCAACUUUCAAGAAUGAAUAUGUUCAGGAACCAGUAAAGAUUCUACUCAGUCAUUCAUGGGUCGAAGACAUGGAAAUAUCUACCUCUUGGACGUGAAACCAGAUGAAUCGCAAUGUCUAAUCUCAAUUCAAGACGAAGUGAACUUGUGGCACAGAAAACUUUGGCACAUCAAUAUGAAGCAAAUAGCCAAAAUUUCAACAAAGAAGCCAGUUCGUGGUCUACCCAAUCUGUCAUACCAAAAGUCUGAUCUAUGUACACCAUGUGUAUUGGGAAAGCAGGUAAGAAAUUCCUUUAAACCAAUAAAUUAAGUUUCCACUAUUCGUGUACUGCAGCUUAUGCAUAUGGAUCUUUUUGGACCAACUAGAACUCAGAGCAUUGGAGGUAAGAAAUAUUGCCUAGUAAUUGUGGAUGACUACUCACGAUUUACUUGGGUAUAUUUCCUAACAAGUAAAUCUGAAACAUUUUCUUACUUUAAAAAGUUUGCUAAAAAGAUUCGAAAUGAAAAGGGUAUGUUAUUUCAAGUAUAAGAACAGACUAUAGAGGUGAAUUUGAAAAUCAAGAUUUUACAAAAUUAUGUGAUGAAUCUGGUUUUCAGCAUGUGUUCUCCUCUCCAUAUACUCCAGAGCAAAACGGAGUUGUGGAAAGAAAGAAUAGGUCGCUUCAAGAAAUGGUUAGAACUCUUUUAAUUGAAAGUAACAUCUCUUCACGUUUUUGGGCUGAAACAGUUUCUACAGCAUGUUAUAUUAUUAAUAGAGUUUUUCUAAGACUUAUUCUGGAAAAAAAAACCCCCUAUGAGUUAUUCAAAGAAAAGAAGUAUAUUGUUUCAUAUUUUCAUGUGUUUGGAUGUAAAUGCUUUAUAUUGAAAAAUGCAAAUGAUCGAGUUGGCAAGUUUGAAGAAAAAUCAGACGAAGGCAUCUUCCUUGGAUAUUCUACCUCAAGCAAAGCCUACAGAGUCUACAAUAAGAAGACUCAAUCUGUGGAGGAAUCAAUGAAUGUCAAAUUCCAAGAUUCUAUGCAAAAUGAAUCUAUUCAGACUCAUCUUGAAGAAUCUGAACCUGCUCCAGACUCUACAAAGUCUAAAUCUUAAGAAGCAGCUCAGACUUCGAAAGACCAGCAUCAAAUGAUUGUUGAAGAUUCAAAUGAAGAAAGUGAUCAUCAACCUGACAAUUUAACCGGUAACUGGAAGCAUAAGUCCAGUCAUCCCAAAGAUCUCAUUAUAGGCGACAUUAAUGAAGGAAUUCGCACAAGAUCCAAAAGGCGCGAAGAGUCUAGUGUUGUGGCUCUUAUUUCUGAAAUAGAACCCAAAAGCAUAGAAGAAGCUUUAUCUGAUGAAAGUUGGAUUGAAGCUAUGCAAGAAGAACUAAGGCAAUUCAGUAUUAAUGAUGUUUGGGAAUUGACUCCUAAACCGAAAGGUAAAUCUAUUAUUGGAGCUAAAUGGGUUUUCAGGAACAAGAUGGACGAGAAAGGAAAUGUCGUAAGAAACAAAACAAGACUCGUGGCCAAGGGAUAUACGCAAGAAGAAGGGAUAGACUAUGAUGAGACUUACGCACCAGUAGCGAGGUUAGAAGCAAUUAGAUUAUUACUUGCUUUUGCUUGUUAUAAGAAUUUCAGGUUAUUCCAAAUGGACGUCAAGUGCUUUCCUAAAUGGGUUUAUCCAUGAGGAAGUCUAUGUAGAACAACCACCUGGGUUUGAAGACCCAAGGAAACCAGACUCAAUAUUCAGACUGAAAAAGGCCUUAUAUGGUUUAAAGCAAGCACCUCGAGCUUGGUACGACAGGCUGAGUAAAUUUUUAAUUCAAAAUGGUUUUGUCAAAGGUAAAGUAGACACUACUCUGUUUAUCAAAAAAGAAAGCAAAAGUUUUCUACUUGUUCAAAUAUAUGUUGAUAUUAUUUUUGGAUCCUCUAGUCAAAGUCUGUGCAAGAAAUUCUCUAAGUCUAUGCAGGAUGAAUUUGAAAUGAGCAUGAUGGGUGAACUAACCUUCUUUCUUGGACUUCAAGUGAAACAAUUGAAGGAAGGAACCUUUAUUCAUCAAGAAAAAUAUGCUAAUAAUCUUGUCAAAAAGUUUGGACUGGAAAAAUGUAAAAAGAGUGAUAUACCAAUGUCAAGUUCUUUGAAGAUAGACAAAGAUGAAGGAGGAAAUAAAGUUGACUAGAAGCUAUACAGGAGUAUCAUUGGUUCACUUCUUUAUCUUACUGCUUCUUGACCUGACAUUUUGUUUAGUGUUUGCAUUUGUGCUAGAUUUCAAGCAGACCCUAAAGAAUCUCAUCUAAGUGCUGCAAACCGUAUUAUUAAAUACAUUGCAUCAACUUCAAGCCUUGGUCUUUGGUAUCCUAAAAAGGGAGACUUUACUCUUCUUGGAUACUCAAACGCAGAUCUAGCCGGAUGCAGAGUUGAUAGAAAGAGUACCUCGGGUACCUGUCAACUACGUGGAAGCAGGACAGUGUCUUGGUUUUCAAGGAAGCAAAAUACAGUGGCUCUUUCUACAGCAGAAGCAGAAUUCAUGCACGGAGAUUAACUGUGACAACACCAGUGCAAUCAAUCUCACCAAGAAUCCAAUUCUUCACUCAAGAGCAAAGCAUAUAGAGAUUCGACGUCACUUCAUUAGAGAUCAUGUUCAGAAUGGAGAAGUUUUGAUUCAGUUUGUUGACUCAAAGAAGCAACUGGAUGAUAUAUUUACAAAGCCUUCGUUCGUUGCAGACUCAACAUCUUAAGGUUUGAAGAAGUAAAAGUCUAGAGACUCUCAGACUCAAACAAUCAAGAUCUUUGAUUGUAAGUUAUUUUAUUCUCUCUCAGAUUAAAUCUUGAAAAUGUACGAUCAUCUGUCCAUAAUUGAUUUUUGCUACUUUCAAUUUCCAUGAUUAGUGCAAUCUUUCUUUUUCGAAAAUGGAGUUAAUUUUUAAAUGGCAGUUAUCUAAUUUUUUGAAAAAAAAAGGCAGUUAUUUUUUAAAAGGGCAUCUUUUUACUUUCCAUUACGACGUUUUGUAUGCCUCUCUUCAACUGACCUAUAUACUGUCGGUUCCUCUUUGUUUAACUAAAAAAAAAACCCUAAAAAGCAUCGAUCUUCCACUUCUGUCUUCUUCUCUUGUUUAAUCUUCGAAAAGUUGUCAUCUUUCUUGGGAAAGUCAAGUUUGGAAUCUUUCAAAGACUGUGAAAGAUGUCGUCUCAAAGGAAGUCUUUGAGGAUUGCAAAUAGGGGACCGCAGCAAAUGCGUGAGGGGCCUACGCACUUUGAUCUCACCGAGGAAGAAGAGUUUCCUAGUCAGCAGCAGAGCCCACAACAUUCUCAGCAGCGUCCAUCUUCUCCAUCUAGACCACAAGAUUUUGCUCGUCGAGAAGAGGAAGAAAUAAUCAAAGAUGCAGAACCCAUAAGAACUCUUAAGCCCUCUUUUACCUACAAGCUUUAUCGUGCUUUGAAAAGAGGUGGAACUCUUUUGAACUACAUUGACGAAUUUUUGAAAGACAAAGGAUACAAAAAUGAAACCUUCUUUUUACGCACAAUGGAACGGUUAGGAAGUGCCCCUGCUGGGUCGGCAGAAGAGGCAAUGGCAAAUAUUCCAAUCGAUCCACGUGUUGGAGGGCUGAAUCAGCUAGAUGGGAAUGAUGAUGACAAGUUGUACGGUCAGUUUCAACCGAGAAUGGGUGUUGCAGCAAAAAUUAAGAGCAAAAGGACAGACUUGUUUCGAUCGGAGGAACACAAGCAUCUAUACUCUAAGUUGUUGAAGCGUGGGGUCAUAAACCCUAGAAGUGUGGAUUUUGAUUUCCUUAACGCGGUGAACGUUAAUUUGAGGGAAAAAUUCAGUAUUCUUCAACUUGAACAGUUCUGUUCUGAAUCUACAGAAGCCUAUGCUGAACUCACUGCAUACUUCUAUUCAAAUCUCAGUUUCUUAAAUGUGAAUAGAUUCUCUUUUAGUGUCCGAGAUCAGGACUAUGUGGUGGAUAUAGAUAUGUUGGCUGAUGUGAUUGGGGUUGAGAGAGGGAGAUAUCAACCUAUCAAUGUCUCUAUUGCUCGUACUAUGUUAGAACUUGUUAAGGAUAGAAGGACAGAGGAAAAGGUUUCCUACUCGAGGAUGAGUGCGUUCAACAUUCUACUUCACAAGAUUGUGAUCAAUUGCCUCAGACCAAAAUCUACUUCAAAGACUAAUGUUUCAAACUCAGAGGCAAAGCUGAUGUAUGCCAUCAAUGCCAGGAAAAAGUUCUCUCUUCCUCACACUAUUAUAUUCCACAUGUAUAGAGCAGUGGUGAAGGACAAGGGUCAACUUCCUUAUCCAACUCUUGUGACAAAGUUAUUCAGACAUUUGAAUGUUCAGCCUCCCUGGAUUCUAUGUGUUCGAACUUGUGAUCAAAUGGUAGUGGGACUGAAAAUGGUGUCUAAAAUGCGUCUGAAGGAACUCAACAAGGCGUUGGAGAAAUUCAAUGAGAAAACCCCUGUCAAAUCUCAUCAAAUCUCUUCGGCAGCAAAAAGAAAAGGGAAGGAGCCCAUGGUUGCUCCAUCCAAGAAAAGAAGAGCUCUCAUUGUUGAUGAUAAAGAAGAUGAGGAAGACAUCACCAUUACUGCAAUGGCAUUGAAGAACUUGAGUCAUUCUGUUCCAGAAUCAACGGAAUGACAAGAGAAAGACACAGAACAGAGGACUGGAGAAAGAGAAGAUUUGGAAGCAGAAGAGAAAGAAAUAGAGGAGAGAGAAGCUGAAGAAAGAGAUGCAGAGGAGGAAAGAAUUGAAGAAGAAGAAGAAGAAGAAGAAGAGGAAAGAGGAGAUCAAGAGGAAGGAGAGCAUGAGGAACACUCUUCUCCACCUGAAGGCAUGGAAACAGGGGGAGAUCGUGAGAAAAGAGGAAUGUCCUCAUAUCCUGCUACCAGUGAAGGAGUCAGCCGCUCUCCAGCAAAUCCAGAGGACAUCUAUGCCUCUCAAUUUCCUGAGGAGGGACAUGAUGUUUCAUCGCCCAAUCUGUGUGGCUAUGCUGAUUUGCCAUCGUCUGCCUUUACUCCAUCUGAUCGUGCAGAAGCCAGUACGCAGACUGAUAAUUCAGUAGAUUUUCGCAGAAUUCUUGAUGUUCUCUUAGAAAUGCGGGGUCAUAUAUAUGCUCUGAGAUGUGAAGUACAAAAUUUGCAUAAUGCAAGUCAAGCUUCUUCAGUUUCUUUGAAUGAUCAUAUCCAAGCAUUUGCUCUUUAGAUUCAAGCAAAUGCUAAGGGUGAAGAGUUGGCUCAACUGAAGGAAGAGUUGACAAAGCUGGAAGACAUUAUCCAGUCAAUGGGAGAUUUCCAGCUUGUUCGUGUUCUCAAGCAUUUUUUAUUUCAUCUCAACCUUUUUUAUGAUGACAAAAAGGGGGAGAAAUGUGAUUUGUACUUUGAACCUUGAACUUUUUUGAACUAGAACUUGAACUUUUGAUUUGUUCUUUGACUUGACUUUUGUGUCUGGCUGUGAACUGGAUUUUGGAUUUUGGAUUGACUGCUUAUAUUAAGUACUAUUGAUAUCUUAUGGAUGGCUUUACUCAUAUGCAAGACUAACUUAUUUUCUGUGGCUGCAGAUUCUAGUGUUAUUAAUAAGCCAUUUAUCUUUAUAAGAUAUCCAUAUUUGCUUGAAUAAUGUUUUGCAGGUCAAAGUUAUCCAAAUCUGUAGGAAAGUUUUGUCACCAUCAAAAAGGGGGAAAUUGUUGGAGAAAUCUUCCUGGAGUAUUUUGAAACUGACAAAAUGUUUCCAUUAGUCUAGUCUGAAGAUUUGCAAACUUUACUAUUUAAAGUCUAAAGACCUCCAGACUGCCAGACUCAAGACUCAAAGUCUAUUCUCAUUGACAGUUUCUAAUCCGUCGAAAAAGGGCUAUUCAGGACUGGAUGUUUCGUUAAGGAUUUGACCUUAUCGACUGGAGAAUAUCUCUUGGCUGGAUAUGACAUAAUGGAAUCCUUUAUUGAUUCAAAGAUUGAGGAUCUUAUGAUUGGCGAAGUAUACUUGGAAGGUUCUACUUAUGGAAACCAAGAUUCUGAUUGUAUGGGCAAGCAGGAUUGAUGGACUAUCGACAUGUUCCUUAAAUAGCUCGAAUGAUCUUCCUAAUUGAUUCUGUCCAACGGGAAGAUUGGAAGAAUUCCUUUGGUAAGUGCCAACGGUAUGAUGGCAUAAAUGAGUAUAUAAGGAAGACGUUCCAGUUGUUCGAGAGUGCGCGAUAGAAGAAUUCCAAAGUCUGAAACUCUUUGUUCUUAGUCAAUUCAUUUUCUGAGUGAAAUCUUGUACGCAAAAGAGAGUUCAUAUUCUUGAGAAACCUUGAGGAAGUGUGGUAGAGUAUCUACAUUAUGGAAUCAAGGGAGAGCCUUGCUGUAACAACUCUUUUGUUCAUAGUGAAAUCCAGCCGGUAAGCUGUCAGUGCGGAAGAGUGGACGUAGGCUUGGAAUAAGCCGAACCACUAUAAUUUCUGUGUUCAUUUUCUCUUCCCUACUCUCUGCUUUACUUUGAUCAUAAUUCGCUUUGUUAACGAAAAGAGAACUUCAUUUCUAUUGUCUGCUUAGUAUUGCUCUCUUAUCUCAAGAAAAUAUUUUUUUACACCUAUUAACUCCCCUCUAGGUACUUAUACUAGCUAUCUCAAAGGGUUUGAACAGUUGCUUGUCGUUGACACCUAAAUUUUGACGACCUAAUUUGAUAUUCAUUACAUAGAAAAAUUAGGAAUCGACACCACUCCAAAACAAAAAUAUUACUUAAAUUGCAUAUAGAUAUUAGAAGCAUUUUAAUUAAGCCCAAAUAAUAUUGCAUUGGAGUUAAUGGACUAAAGCAAGGGGGUUUUAAGCCUAACUGAAUUAUUUGAACUAAGUCUGAGAUAACGAAAUUCAAAUGAUUCAAGUACAAGCACAUCUUGAUAUUCAUAAUCAAAAUACAUGGGAGCUCCAAAAAGUAGUGGCAAUGAGAGGUCCGUCUAAAAUGUUUGUAAAAUAAAGGGGUGAGUUAAAGCUCAGUAAAUAAAAUCCUUAAGUCUAAAUUAAAAAAUUAUCUUACCACUCAACUUGGUAUUGACAAACAAUGUGAGUUCAAGAUAAGUACAAAAUAACCAUGUAUGACUAAUGUAGAAGUAAACGCACUAUCUUUCCAUCAUAAUAUGCUCAUGGAAACCAUUAGAAACAUUGCAUAAGGUUAUUCACUCAACUACAAACAAAUGGCAUAUUAUUUCAUGAUCUUAGAUAUUGUGUGUGUGUGUAUAUAUAUAUAUUUAUAUACUCCUACUUGUCACUAGCUAGGACCCAUUUCAUAGAGGAUGAAAUCAUACAUACCCAUUUGCCACACCUCUUAUCCCAUCCAUCAAAGGUGUCUUCUAUAUCAAUGGUGAUAAAUACACAACUGUACAUUUGCAUAAUGAUUGUCAUUUCAUCGUCACAUUAACUCAUGGGGGAUGAAAUCAUACAUACCCAUUUCACACACCUCUUAGCCCAUCCAUAAGGGGUGUCUUCUAUAUCGAUGAUAAUAAAUAUACAACCGCACAUGUGCGUGAUGAUUGCCAUUUAUUAACAUCAUACCAAAGGUUAUACAAGCCAUGUCAUCAUAGGACUUCAUAUCCUCUCAACCUUGUAGAACCAUCUCAAACAGUAGGAUAUUUAGCUAACUCCAAAGUCUCAUACACAUACUCAUACAAGAGAAUUCACUUUGUGGCGAGUGGGCCGAUACAAAGUUCUUUAUCAUGUGGCAUCAAUGACAUACAAAUCAUUAUAACAUAACAAUUACCACAUGCAUAUGAAUAAUUUGUCAUUUCUCAUUCAAUUAAUCAUUAACAAAUAAUUAUAUGCACUUCAACACACGUAUCCUCAUUCUUUUUCUUGCUAAGCCAUCAUCAUUUAAUCUGAAGCAAUAAGUACGUGAUCAGUAACUUAAAAAUCGAUACUUGCAAAUUGACGACUCAAAAUGAACACUUCAGAACCAACAACUUUGAAACUGAUGUCUUAAUCCACAAAUUGACAACCUUAGAACUAGACAAUUUUGGUUGAAAUCAACAAUUUGAAAUGGGCAACCUUGGUCGGAAGUCAACUUCUUCUAAAUUGACUGCUUGAAGUUUGACACAUAGAAAUGGAUAACUUGGAUAAUAGAUUAGUUACUUAACAAUCGGUGAGUUGAUCACGAAAUCGAUUUACCUAGAAAGUUGAUUGGAUUAUCAAAAUCGGCAAAAACACUAGAAUUGGUGAAUUAGUAAGAGAACUGACAAUUGGUCAAGAAUGGUGAUUUAUCAAAAACCAAUGACUUUCAAAAUUGAAAUUUUGCUCAGAAAUCAAUUGAAUGACCAAAACUGGUAAAAUGACUUGUCAAUUGACACUUAAUCAAAAUCAAAAUCUCGUGAAUAUUUUUUCAAGUCCAAAUUCCAAAUGUUUACACUUAUCUCACCCAAAAUACAGCCAAGGCUUUUGGGGAGUCGAUCACACACUUUCUUUGCCGAAAAGAGUUAUCAAUUUAUGUCAAGUAAACAUAAUAUUUCAAUAUGCCUUUAUCAAAUCUUGAUCGCACUCGGGAUUAACAUUAGAACUCUGUUAACAAUCAUCAAACAACCAAAUCAAAAGUAAUAAAUAUAUUGACCUAACUUAAGCGUUAGAGUUUCACUUACCUUGAACAAAGACUUGGACAACUCAAAGCCUUAAUCAACUUCAAGGUAAAAUAAACAAAAACAAAGAUUAAUAGUUCUCAAUCUUUUAACAAAACUAGUUUAAUAGAAGAGAAUAAAGCCCAAGAAUUCACCUUGUGAACUCUUGAAAGAAAAAAAAAACUCUUGAAAGAUGAAUUUUGAAGCAACAAUAACACAAGUAUAGAAUUUUUUUCUUUUACUCAAAAGAUUUGAAAGUGAUAAUAGAAGAGAAGAGUGACGGAUGAUCUUUCUCUCUAAGCAAGAACAAGUUGGGAUUCUUUUGAAGCUCAGUUAUUCCUACAAGGCUUCAUACAAUCAAGAGAGGAUGUACUUUGAAGACUUACAUGAGUUACGAAGGGAUAAAAAUGUUUAACUAAGGUUAAAAGCAGUGAUAACAUUGGAUUAAAAACACUAGGUUGAAAUUGAGCAAGAGCUGUUCAAAUUAGAAAGAGACAAAUGGCUCAAUUAUAUGAUUUCAAAGUAGACAUUGCAAUGGGUUACUAAGACAUUUAGUAUUUCAGUACAUAAAUAAGGAAAUCAGUGUCCAUUAUAAAGACUAGUCAGAAAAAAUAUUUUGAAUCCACUGAAACUUUUCGUGAAAGUUACCAAAUGCAGGGAGAAACUCAACUCAGUAGAUUUCUAACUUGCUACUUUAACAAUACGUAAUCUUGGAGUGUAUGAAUCUCCAACAAUAAUUAUUACGGUGAUACAUGUUUCAUAGCCAUUAUAUAUAAUCAACUGUAAAUGUUUAUUAAUUUGUUCUUAAUUGAAUUAUUUUCCUAAAACCACUAUAACGGAAAGUAUAUUUUGAAUGUUCCGAGUACUACAACAUUUUUUAAUCCAACUGGAAUUUUUCACAUCUUGUCCUACAUAUCAGUAAUUGAUGUAGGAAUUUCUUAAUGGCAUAUUCACUCUCUCUCUCUCUCUCUCUCUCUCUCUCUCUCUCUCUCUCUCUCUCUCUCUCUCUCUCAAAGUUUUUUUAUAUGUCAUCGGAUCUUAAACAUUUUUAUGGUGGCAUACAGAUAUUUUGAUAUUAAAUCUGCAUGGACAAGUAUAUUUCAGAGAAAAGAUUCCUUUUUUUUCUCUUAAAAGCUCACCAUAUGUUGAUGAUGGAAAGGUUUGAUUAUAUAAAUCAAGCAUAUUAGGGGACUUAAUUGCAUCGAAAAAAUUGAGAAGCGGAAUUGAUAAACUCUAUAAGUAAAAAGACUAAAUUAGUCAUUACGUAAUAUGAUUUUGGAAAACAGUGGGAGUUGAAUUUGUUAAAGCUCUUCGAGCACUUUUUUUGGUAAUUGAUGUUAUGUAGAUACAGAAGGAAAAAAGUGAAAAUAUCAAAGCGGACCAUCUGAUGGGCCUACAGAGUUUUCCGAGGUUUAACUUGUACUCUAGCAGCCCAACCCUUUUUAAGAACCAAAACUGGCUCGGGUUAUUGAGGUAAUCAGGAGGCACGUUUGGGCAAGCUCGUUUAAUUCUUUCGAAAUGACAUGAAUGCCUUGUCACGUACGAUGCUCCCCUUAAUAUCUUAAUAAAUCUCGUUGUUGAUCUAUACAAAUAAGGGAUAUGUCAAUGCUGAAACUCCAAGAGUAACACUAUAGGCAUAAAAGAUUUUACCUGUUUUGAAAUUCUCUGGCCUUUCUAAAAUCGUGGAAACUCUUUAUUGCAGCUCCUGAGAUCAAUCAUGGGUUAUUUAACCGAUUGCUAGAAGGGCGCAUAUAAUUCUCUGAUGAGAUAGCCACAUAACGGGCUCUCCCAAAUCUUAUCGACCUAACUUGAUUUCUCAUUUAUGGGAUAAGGAUCUCAUGAGUAUCAUAACUUUCCUACACUUAAGUACUAUAACUUGCAUGUCAUGACUUCUAUUAAUAUUCUAUCGAGUGUCAUACUUUUUAAUUAAUUGGUUGAGUGUCAUAAACAUUUUAAAAAAUUUCAUCACAAUCAUCUUGUCACAUCGGAUUUUCAAUUCUUGUAGUGAACAUCAAAAAAUUAUGAGAUUAUCACUUCCUCUAAACCCAAAAGCAACCUCGAAUUACAUUAUUAAUUGUUAGGAACAUCAUUCAGCUAUCAUAAGCCCCAAGAAAAUGGAAGCAUGACAUAUGACAACAAUUAUUAGAUGAGCUCAUCCUGUGCUCAGUAUCGAAAUGAUCCACAUGUCAAUUUUCAGUGGUUGGAAUUAAGGACUUCAUAAUCUGCCAGCUAUAGAAGGGUACGACCAUCUCCUGUAUGCUUGCGACUGAACUGCUCCUCAGAAUGGUAAAACAUGCCAGAGCCUUCCUACAAGAGCGAUUCUGAUGUUUCCGCUGAUAAUUAUCUCCUACCAAACAAUGUCGUUCUAAAUGAAAUUAAAGAAAUCUAUAAUGUUUGAUAUGUGAAAAUUACGUUCAAUUAAAUAGGGACACUUUAAAAGUUGAUUUUUCUCAUUUAUAUAUAUUAUAAGUACAUGCCAUUGGCAUGUAAUAUAUGAAUGAGAGACGUAUCAUUCUAAGUCGAGUUCAAUGCAGAUAUUCUGUCAUACUUCGAAUUGUGCACAAAUUCAAUGUGAUCUUUCGAGUAUACACUUCAUUUGAUCUUUUUAUAUAUGGGAAUAAAAGAUGACGAGAAAGAACAUAAAGAAGUACAGCAGAUGAGGGAGGGAGAGAGAGAGAGAGAUUUGUUGAAACAAAUCUGAAAAUUAAAAGGAGAAAAAAAAAUGGAGAAAAAAAAUUUUAAGAAAAAUUUAAAAGUUGUCAUACUUCAUUAUCUCCAAAUAUGUCUUAUUAAUUUCAGAAUUUGGACUAGAAUCACUUCCCUCUCGUUAAGUAGAUAACGAGUUGAAGAGAAAAAUCUAGUAACGAAUCAAAAGGAGACUCGACCCAAUUUAGGAUUUAAUAAAAGCUAGCUGGGGGCGGUUGAGGCAAUUAAGAGCAUAUAAAGAUAGGCUUGUCAGGUACUUUUAAAAUGACGUGAAUUCUUUAUCUAUUUAGUACCACAAAAUAUUAGGUGGUGUUAAUAACCAUGUCCACAGUGGCCGCACCACCAACCACAGCAAGCUCACGAUGGCCUUGCCCAAUUGUGAAUUGGAUUUGUUUUUUUUUUUUUCCCCUUGUAGAGUUUCUUUUUCUUUUUCUUUUUCUUUUGGGGGGGGGGGGGGGGGGGGGUUGUGGUUUCUCAUCUUGAAUUUCUUACUAAAGGGGUUUUGCUUGUUCUGGUUUUGAAUUGAUGUGCAUUUUGAUUACUUCCUUUGAUGUUGAUUCUCUCCCCAACAGCACGAAUAUUUACUUUAACUUAUAAAAUUGAAUCCGUCAUAGUAGUUUGAUUUUGAUUUGAGUUUUAAUAUAUCGUUUUGCUAGAAUCAAAUUUUCUCCAUAUGAAGCUGAUAAAAGCUUUUGAAUUUGACACAAGAUGAGUAUGACUUGUCUUGUGCAUCACCAGAAAUCGAUUUAUGAGAAAUUCUAUGAUUGCCAUGAGCUAAUUAAGCAUAUAUAUAUAUAUUAUUGAAAAAUCACUCUUUGUAAAAUAUUAUCCUUUUUUUUUUUGCUAUAUGAGAUGUACAUACGGAAGAAGGGCAUUUGAGCGUUUAAAAGGAGAUCUCAAGUAAGAAAUAUGGAUUAUCCCAAAAGUAAAACUUAUAGAUCUAUCAUCACAUCAAAUAUGUGAAGUGCGUACCAAAAACACAUUAAAUGCACUCAAUUCAAUAUGUAGAUGGUAACCAUGCAAUUCAAUUCCCACGUUUUUCACAGCACAUACCUAAACACUUUUUGUCAUCUUGAGUUUCUUACUAUAGGGGUUUUGCUUGUUCUAGUUUUGAAUUGGCGAGAAAAAUCUGACUUUUCUUAUGCAUUUUAGAAGGUUAUGGAAUUAAAAAGGGAGGUUUCGAUGUGAAUUUUGAUUUCUUCCUCUUCUGAUGGUGACUCUCUCCCCAACAACACGAAUAUUUACAUUAACUUAUAAAAUUGACUCCAUCGUACUAGUUUGAUUUUGAUUUGAAUUUUAAUAUAUCGUUUUGCUAGAAUCAAAUUUUCUCCAUAUGAAGCUGAUAAAAGCUUUUGAAUUUGACACAAGAUGAGUAUAACUUGUCCUGUGCACCACCAGAAAUCGAUUUAUGAGAAAUUCUAUGAUUGCCAUGAGCUAACUGAGCAUAUAUAUACUAUUGGAAAAUCACUCUUUGUGAAAUAUUAUCAUUUUAUUUAUUUUUGCUAUAUGAGAUGUAUAUACGGAAGAAGGGCGUUGAGUAUUAAAAAGGAGAUCUCAAGUAAGAAAUAUGGAUUAUCCCAAAAGUAAAACUUAUAGAUCUAUCAUCACGUCAAAUAUGUGAAGUGCGUACCAAAAACACAUUAAAUGCACUCAAUUCAAUAUGUAGAUGGUAACCAUGCAAUUCAAUUCCCACGUUUUUCACAGCACAUACCUAAACACUUUUUGUCAUCUUGAGUUUCUUACUAUAGGGGUUUUGCUUGUUCUAGUUUUGAAUUGGCGAGAAAAAUCUGACUUUUCUUAUGCAUUUUAGAAGGUUAUGGAAUUAAAAAGGGAGGUUUCGAUGUGAAUUUUGAUUUCUUCCUCUUCUGAUGGUGACUCUCUCCCCAACAACACGAAUAUUUACAUUAACUUAUAAAAUUGACUCCAUCGUACUAGUUUGAUUUUGAUUUGAAUUUUAAUAUAUCGUUUUGCUAGAAUCAAAUUUUCUCCAUAUGAAGCUGAUAAAAGCUUUUGAAUUUGACACAAGAUGAGUAUAACUUGUCCUGUGCACCACCAGAAAUCGAUUUAUGAGAAAUUCUAUGAUUGCCAUGAGCUAACUGAGCAUAUAUAUACUAUUGGAAAAUCACUCUUUGUGAAAUAUUAUCAUUUUAUUUAUUUUUGCUAUAUGAGAUGUACAUACGGAAGAAGGGCGUUGAGUAUUAAAAAGGAGAUCUCAAGUAAGAAAUUUGGAUUAUGCCAAAAGUAAAACUUAUAUAUCUAGCAUCACGUCAAAUAUGUGAAAUGUGUACUAAAAACACAGUAAAUGCACUCAAUUCAAUAUGUGGAUGGCAACCUUGCAAUUCAAUUCCCACGUUUUUCAUGGCACAUACCUAAACACUUUUUGUCUUUACCUGGCGCACAAACAAGCGACACACUCCUUACUUGGGCACCUCCCAAACACUCUUCCCCCAUUAAUUUGAUUGGUUUGAAUUAGUUGCCUUCGAUUAAGUCAACAUUUUUUACGAGAUUUUUGUGAAUAUAUUUAAGUACUUAUCGAUUGAAGUUUUUUGUAAUAUUAAAGCGAAAACUCAUUAAAUCUACUAGCAAAUCAACACGAAAUCACUAAUAAAUAAACGAAGAAUAAAAAAUAAAAAAUAAAACACUAGAUUUUUAUGUAGUUCAGUCUAAGUAUCGGUAUUUGCUCCACUGGAAGAGUCAAGAGCAAAUAGUAGUCUUGUGACUAAUCUAAAAAUUAUAGAGUAACAACCACUUACAAGCUCAAAUAUUUUUCAUACCUAAAUCACACACGAGCCCACAAAGUUCAUGAAUAACAUAACUUGAUCCUUCUUUCUUUCUUACUUGUUCGUCCUCGAAUGGAAGACUUUCUAUAUCUUUUCUGCAUCUUAAAAUCAUGAAAAAAUUUAAACCAUUUUCUUGAUACGGCCAACCAACGGUGGCGCCACUUGUACGGCCUUCAGAGAAGUCAAUCUCUUUUUUGAUCAAUCUUGGAUACUUACACAGUUGCCACUGCUCCAAAGAAAAUAAAAAGUAAAAUAACAACCUUAUCUUGUUCGAACUCCUAGGACAUGGCUCCAAUAGGUAUUCAGUUAAGAAUUCUGGUCCAUCUCACCCAUUUUGGAUUGGGUCUCACGCACUAGCUCAAAUUCGAGAUAUCAUUUAAAAGAGCUCAUAAAUUCUCAUAGUUAAUUAUGCUUAAGUGUUCAAAUCCCCACAUUUUCAUGGGGAUGGGGUGGGAACGUGUAAGGUUCAAGAGUGGAUUUCGACUCCCACGCCCUGCACGAGGCGCGACAAAAGUCUAAGAGUGAGUGUAGAGUAGGAAUAGAAUAGGACUGACAAAAAAAAAAAUUAUGCUUAAGUGAUUUGAAACUAAAGAAAUUAAAAAAAUAAAACCCACACUAAUAUUUAGUUUCAUAUAGAAACUUAACUUUGAUUUGAGUUCUAAUAUAUCUUUUUGUUUAAAUUAAUUUGAUUUUUAAAUUUCACACAAGAUGCUUACAACUUAUCUUAUGUGUCAUUUGAAGUUAAAUAUAUGAUAAACUAUAUAAUUGUCAUGAGCUAACCAUUCGGGGAUAUCACUAGAACAUUUUACUCAUUAUGAAAUUCUUUCCCCACAAGUGAAAUAUAUAUAUAUAUAUAUAUAUAUAUAUAUAUAUAUAUAUAUAUAUCAAGUACUAAAAAUGACAUCUCAAAUAAGAAAUUCCGCAUGUCCCAAACAUAGGAGGUACAAAUUAUUAUCAAAUGCCACAACAAAUAUCAAAUAUACGAAGUUUAUGCCUCAAUUAGCGUGCCCGCCGACAGGCAACAGUACUGGAAGAAUCCGUCCAUCUACAGGGUGCCCGCCUUCAUCACCAACCUCAACUGGAAGGCCUACCAGCCGCAGGUUGUCUCUUUCGGCCCCUACCACUAUGGUGAGGUCCACCUCGGCCAAAUGCAGGAACACAAGCACCGCGUGCUCCUCCACUUCCUCGAGCGGUCGGGGAAGACCCUCAAGCGCUUCCUUAGCUCCUUGAGAAAGGUGGCGCGGGACCUUGAGGAGAUGUACGACACGCUAGACCCGAAGUGGAUGGAGGGCGGAGGGGGCCGGUUCCUGGAGCUGAUGAUGAUGGACGGUUGCUUCAUGCUCGAGAUCAUGAGAACCACGAUAGAGGAGAAGCAUGGCUACUCGCCCAACGACCCUAUCUUCAGCACCUCCAGGCUGGCAUACUUAAAGCCGUACAUAAGACGAGACAUGCUGAUGCUGGAGAAUCAGCUGCCGAUGCUAGUGCUGUAUGAGCUGGUCGCCAUCGAGAGCGAUUACACGAUGGUUAGUUUCUUAGAUUUCGCUCCCUUGUUAGAGAGGUUAUUGCAUGCACGCAAACCGCCGUACUAUGUUCACCUAAUAGUACAUCUUGGUGAUCUCACAUCAACCUCACGUAGAAUCCACCAAAUUUAAUGCUCCAAAAAUGUUGGAUGUUCGAGAUCACUCAACAAUUUCAUUAUUAAAUCUAUCAAUAAGAGAAAAAAGGAAAAGGGAAAAUUCUACCAAAUGUCUCUUAACUAAUUAUAAAAAAUAUAUCAAGUAUUGCGCUAACUAAUAAAUCCUAACUAAUGAUGUUUGAUAUGUCAAAUAUUAAACAAAUAGGAAAAAAACUUUUAGCAAAUCUUCUCUAGUACUCCCUCUCAAGUAGGUGCAUGGAGGUCACAAAUGCCCCACGUGCUAACGAGAAAUGUAUACCAAUUUUGACUCAAUGUCUUGGUUAAAAUGUUUGCCAAUUACAGUCUAGUGGGUACGUGCUCAAUUUUAAUGGCCCUGGACUGUGUUCUCUAGAACAAAGUGGCCAUCAAUCCCAAUAUGCAUUAUUCAAUUGUGAAAUACCGGGUUUGCUGCAAUGUGUGAGGCGGCAUGGCUAUCGCAAUAAAGACCCAUCGGUUUGUCGUACAAUAAUUUAAGGGAGGCAAGUAAGUGUGUAACCAAAUCAAUUCACUAGUGGUAGUUGCCAUAUUCAACUUCAGCAGAAUAUCAAGAAACGGUGAUGUGCUUCUUGGUUCUCCAAGACACUGGACAACCACUGAGCAUGACAAAGUAACAAGUCAUCGAAUGCCGAGUGAUCGGGCAACUCGCCCAAUCAAAAUCACUAAAGGCAGCCAAGCGAAAUGAAGUCGAGAAUGGUAACAAAAUCUCUUGUCCUGGGUUUUUCUUGAGAUAUUUAAAAACUUGUGUAGCGGAAUUCCAAUGUACUCCUUCGGAUGUUGCAUCAACUGAAAACACUACGUGGACGAAAUAACAUAAUUUAGGUCGAGUGCUAUGAUAAAAAUUAACAAAGAUUUUGUAAAUCUCUAAUUUUUCCUUCAUCAAAUAGAUCCAAAUUGCUCGACUAUAAUUAUCGUCGGCACAAAUUUUACACAAGGCAUUGCUUAACGGAAAAGGAAAAGGGAAAAGGGAAAAUUUACCAAAUAUUAUUUAACUAAUUAUACGAGAAAUGUUAUGCUAACUUAUAAAUCCUUGCUAACGAUAACAGAUACACUGUAAGGAAAGUAAGUCUUUAGCCAAUCUUUUCUAAUAAUCACCUCUAUGGGAGACUUCUGUUUUUCCUUUUAAGCAAGUAGUAUCGACGCGACAACAAUCUUGUAUCCAAUGCUCUGACUUUACUGGAACAACACAGGACGACGAAUACGUCAACAAGCUCGUCCUCAAGUUCUGUUCCCCCAGCAUGCGCAUCACAAGGAUGGGCAUGGGCAAAUGCCUGCAUGUCGUGGACGUCUUCAGGAAGGGCCAGCUGACGGACACCGCGAAGGUCCGGUACGAGCCAGAACAUGUGGAGCUUGAGGCUGCUGCGGAGACUGAGCAGAUAGUCCGAUCGGCCACCGAGCUCAACGAGACCGGGAUCCAGUUCAAGAAGAGCCGGACCAACAGUCUCAAGGACAUCUCCUUUGCCAGAGGGGUCCUGAGCCUCCCCGUUAUCAAGGUGACUGACACCACCGAGUCCGUGUUCCUCAACCUCAUGACUUUCGAGCGCUUGCACAUCGAGGCUGGGAACGAGAUCACAGCCUACAUCACCUUCAUGGACAACAUCAUCAACAGUGAACAGGAUGUUGCGCUGCUUCAUGCCCAAGGCAUCAUCCAGAAUGGCGUUGGAAGUGACAAGGCAGUCGCCAAGCUAAUCAACUCUCUGUGCAAGGAAGUGCCGCUCACAUCCAACAAAAGCCUUGAUGUUGUGCAAAAGAACAUCAGUAAGUACUGCGCGAAGCGCUGGCACAAGUGGAGGGCUAAUCUCAACCAUACCUACUUCAAGAGUCCUUGGACUAUUUUGUCUCUCAUCGCCGCCUUCUUCCUCUUCGCGCUCACUGCAGUGCAGACAGUAUAUUCCGUGCUCAGCUACAAUUGAACCCUCCCGUUGCCUAAUAAUUUAUUUUUUCCAUUUUUAAGUUUUUCUCCUAAUGGCUGAUGCUUGAUGAUUAUCUCUCGAUUGGUUGUUGAUUGUUGUCGUGAAUGAUUUUCCUCCUAUUUCCAGUCGUGCUUAUUUCCCUCUCUAUAUGUUUCAAACGAUGGACAUUUGGCUGUUUAUAUAUCAUUAUCCGAUGAUGAUUCUCUUGUUUCAGUCUUCUUCAUUUUUGUCCAAUUUGGAUAGGUAUUCUGACGGAUGAUCAAGUUUUAGGCAAAUGAAAUCUUCCAUUAAAACAUUUUCUUCUUGAUUAAAUUUUGUUGAAGUUGUUCCAGAAAAACCAAGACUCUGCAAGUUUCUAGAUCUAUUUUAAGUAGUUAAAGUAUGUGGUUCUAGCUUAGUUGGUGGUAGUUAGAAGUAAUGGCUAAAAAUUUGUCCAACAUGAAAUAUAAAGCAAAUUUCUCUGUUUGUGACGGAGAUUCUUAGCAGAAGAGUCAAUUAGGAAGGACUAUAAAAAGGCUUCAUGCUCGUUCAUUCAUGUCCAGAUCGACUACAGCUCCACAAAUCCCUUGUACCAAACAUUUUGAUAAUACAAACAUCUCCAAAAGCUCCUUCCCUUGUUCCUUUGUUGAGUAAAUCCCACAGACAUACACACUUGCUCAUUAACACCAAAAGCUAACAGUGGUAUUAAAGACUCGUUCAGUUGCUAUUGGACAUGAGUCCUAUCUACCAAUAAGGUCGCAGAUGCGCUAAGUUAGAAGUCAUCAAUUGUGCAAAUGAUGGUUCAAGAGCAGACUCUACUCGAAGGAGUUUGAGAUUUGAAUUUCAAGUUUGAAAUAAGCCACCUUUCAAGUCUUUUGGCUAUCCUCAGAAUUGAAUUGGAAGUGCAGGUGAAGAUUAAGACGUUGCAAUCGUCAGACCUUGAAAUCUAGAAGAUUCUACAAGAAGACACAGAAAAGAGGAAAACGGAUAUUCAAGUAACUGAGGAUGUAAUAUUAAAGUUUUGUGGACGAUUGUGCGUUCCCAAUAAUGUGGAGCUUAGGGAAGAAAUCUUGUUGGAAGCCCAUCGUAGUGGUUAUAAUAUUCAUUUAGGCAGCACAAAGAUGUUUCAGAAUCUAUGCCAAUACUAUUGGUAGAACGGUAUAAAGGUAGAUAUCACCAAGCUUAUCGCCAAUUGUUUAAUGUGUCAGCAAGUGAAGGCACAACAUUGCAAGCUUGGCGAACUUUUGCAACCUCUGGAGAUUGCCAAAUGGAAAUGGAAACAUAUUACGAUAGAUUUUGUGAUAAGAUUGCCGAGAAGUCAGUGGGGUAACAAUUCCAUCUGGGUCACGGUUAAGAGGUUGACAAAGUUUGCACAAUUCAUCACCAUACGAAAGGACUUUGCCUUAGACAUAUAUGAUGAAUUGUACGUGCAAUAGAUAGUUUAUCUUCAUAGAGUACUAGUAAUGAUCACGUCAGAUCGAGAUCCUAAGUUUACGGUGGCUUUUUGGAAAAGUCUGCAAAAUGCCUUAGGAAUGAAGUUACAGUACGACACAGCCUAUCAUCUGCAUAUGAAUGGCCAAUCUAAAAGGACUAUUCAGACGCUCAAGGAUAUGCUGCGAGCUUGCGUAUUAAACUUUAAGGGAAAUUAGGAGAAACAACUUCAUCUGGUUGAGUUCACCUACAACAAUAGCCAUCAGCAGAGCAUCAAGAUGGCAACAUUUGAAGUGUUGUAUGACAAGGUUUGCAGAACUCCUAUCUGUUAGGACAAAGUUGAAGAACGCAAGGUUACGAGUCCUGAGUUAGUUCAGUAGUUAGUGGACGCCGUCAAAGUCAUUCAAGAAAGGCUUAGGAUAGCCCAAAGCCAUCAAAAGAGUUAUGCAGAUAAACGACAUAGGCUUUUAGAGUUUCAAGUAGGCAAACACGUUGUUCUCAAAGUGUCACCGAUGCCAGGAACUUCACGUUUUGGCAAAAAGGAAAAGCUAAGUCCAAGGUACGUUGGUCCCUUCGAGAUUUUGGAGCGAAUUGAGACUUUAGCUUAUCAUCUCACCUUGCCAUUGAGACUCGCUCAAGUAUAUGAUGUUUUUCACGUGUCGAUAUUGAAGAGGUAUGAACCUUAUCCAACCCACGUGCUAAAUUUUGAAAAAAUAGACUUGGAUGAAAGGGUAUCGUACAUGGAGAGGCCAAUUCGGAUAGUGGAUCAAAAGGAGCAAAUGCUAUGCAACAAGACGAUUCCCUUAGUCAAGGUGGUCUAGCAACACAGCAGAACGGAGGGAGUCAUGUGGGAAAGCGAAGAGAUGAUGAGGUAUUAGCAUCCCCACCUUUUUGAGGAAGUCUUGUAAUAUUUCAAAUUUCGAGGACAAAAUUUUUGUAAGAAGGAAAGAGUUGUGAUAUUCCGAAAUUUGACCAUUUUCGAAAUAUAUGAAGUUGUUAUUUCAUCAAUGCGCUGAAGGUUAAUUUACUUUGAACUGAUCAUUUAUGAAAUAACUAAUCUAUUAGAUGAGGCCGUAAAUAGUUAAAACACGAAAGAGUAGAAAAUUCAGUUAAAGAUCGACCACUCAAUCAUAAGGAUCGACAAUGGUCAAUAUUACACUGUUAUAAAUCAAUUAGCGAAUGGAUCAAUGGAAGUACGUAUACAGUUUGCGGGUGGUUCCACACAAUUACGAUACUCGCGUCAGACGACGAUAAACCGAUUUUCUAUUGAUCUUGUACUCAUGAUACAUAGUUGAACUCUCGUGAUUACAUGACAACCAAAGGUCAUCCACGAUUCGAAGUGAGGUACAAAGGUAGAUCGAAAAUUAUCGAUCACAAGUCAACUACGCAAAAACCUCUAAAAGCCAUCUGAUAUUUAUGUCGUACUAAAGUCGCAUUUGAUCGAUUUUAACCAUAAAAUUUAAUUCAAUUUUGGGAAUUGAACUUUUGAGGAUUUCCAAACCCAUACAUUGGACAUCCCCAAAAUUUUCGGCAAGUUCAAAAUUUUCAGAAAAAUAAUUAUAAUACAAAAAUUGGAAACCGGAAAGGGAACCAGGCCUAAGGGAAAAAUUAGAAAGUUUGGACAAAAAGUAAAUGAAAUGUCCAAAGAAAAAAGAAAUAAAGGAAAUGAGGAGAGGAUUUUACGGGAUUUUGUUGGAUUUAUCAAUGAUAAAAAUUUUUGGAAAAAUCUUGAGAAAUUUCCUCUCCCCCCCCCCCCCCCCCAUUUCCCCCUUGGACGGCUGAACCUCCUUCCUCCUCCUCUCUCUCUCAUUUUGCUUCUCCUUCUUCAUCUUCAUCUUCUUUAUUCUUCCUUGGGUGACCACCACCACCGCCCACAUCACCACCGUCCACCACUACCUCCAUCUCCACUGCCCAAGCCAAGCCCAAGCUUGGUCGUACGUUUUGAGGAGUUACCGCCGCCGCGCCAUCUUCGUUGUCACUUGUCCACGCCAUCACUGUUCCUCACGUUGUCGCUCACUGACCUCACCACCGCCACAAGCCACCACCAAACACUCCUCCCUCCUUAGCCAAGCCGUGGGUCUCAAGUGUCGAGCUACCACCAUUCGUGUCUCCACUCAAGCCAUGAGACCCGAGUUCUCGUCACCGUCGCACCGCCGUUGUCGCGAGCUCCCCGUCGCUAGAAAACUAGUGAGUUAAUUCAUAAUCCUUGAUUAGGAAGUUAAUUUCCGUAGAUUUAGUUUAGGGCUAAUGGUAGUAGUGGCCUUUAAUGAUGAUUUAGCCCUAACUAAGGUUAAUGAUGGAUUAGAUUAAGGUUAAUAAAGGUUACUCUUAACUAAGGAUGGUUAGUUUAAUUAAUCAUGUUCAGGUUAAUUAAGUGUGGUUAGUUUAAUUAAUUAUAAUUACCUAAAUUAAUAUUAAGUAUUUAAUUAAUUGUGAUUAGUCUAAUUAAAUGUAAUUAGUUUAAUUAAUUGCAAUCAAUAUUAGUUAAUCACUAUUAGACUAAUUAAAAACGAUUAGUAUUAAUUAAUAUAGUUAGUUUAAUUAACUGCAGUUCAUCGUAAUUAAUCAUGAUUAGUGUAAUUAAUAGCUAUUAGCUUAAUUAAUCGCAUUUAACGCUAAUUAAUCAUGAUAGUGGAAAUUAAUGAUGGAUUAGUCGUUAAGUAGAAUUUUACGCUUGUUUUACUGGAUGAAUAUGUGCUUAAUUCAGCUUGUCUAAGCUUUUUAUGCCAUGAUGUUGAUUGCCCAAAUCAUGAGUUUAAUGUUUAUUUGAAAAGAAAAUGACAAAUUUUGAGGUGUCGUGUUUGGACCUCAUGUUUUAUAUGUUAAAUGGGACAAUGGGAUUUUAAAAUAAAAGCGUGCAAAUUUUGGUGAGUUAAUUUUAAGUACAAGAGCACGUUCAAUUAUUUUACUGAAAUUUUAAAUGUAAAGAUUUUCAGAGGUUUGUUAUCUAAGUGCGAACUCUACGGUAGAUUAAAUUGGCUUGAAUCUUGGCAUGCUUGUGUGGUCAUUUAAUUGAACUCGUCGGUGUACUUGUGUGGUCACUUAAUUGAACUUGUCACCCAAUGGGAGUUUGAGGACAAUGCCUAAUGUUUAUUGGAUGCCCAACGGGGGUCUGGAUGCUGAGUUGCAGUUGAGGCCGGACCAAUGCUCAUUUAUGAAAUUCCAUCUAGGCGGGGAUUUUAGACGAUGCCGUUCCCGAUAGGGCAGGACGUUCCCCGAUCAUGCUAGAAGACCGUUAACUCAUGUGUUUGUGGCAUUGUGCUUGAUUAUGAGGUAAAACUAUGAGGCACGGUAUGGGACAAACCAGAACAGGUUUUACCUUAUAAUUGGGACCUGUGUAGAUGCAUGGUGCAUGAGAGUUAUGUGUUCUAGUUAUUAAUUAUACUUGUUGAAUGAUAAUGUCAUAUGUGAUGUACUAAUAUGCAGGAGUGUGCCAAGGCGAGACAUGAUUGUAUAUCGUUGUAUGUUUAGACUGCCUCCGAAACGAAUUUGCAUCCUAAUCAGGGCUUAGGCUGGUAAAUCGCUGAAAUUUAUAUCUUACCCCAUUAUUAUUAAUUAUUUUUCAGGCUCAUAGUAUGGAGAACCAUCAUAUUAGGUUCAAGGUCCCUAUGGAGAUGAAAAGUUGGCAUCUCAUUAGAGAAGGUUAAGUUAACUUUAGACCCCUACAGGUUUUUGUAAUGGUUUGUAAAAAUGAAACUUCCCGAGUUAAACAAACAUAUAAAACAAAGUAGCAUUUUGGAAGUGUCACUAUUGUACUGCUUUACUGUCCCUAUUCUUUACUGAUUGAAUGUUGUUUAUAUAAAUUGCUUCUGCAUGGGUUUUAAUUAAAAGAGAAAAAGGAUGGAUCGGCGACAUGUCUUGGAAUGUUGCACUUUAAUCGAUAGUUGAGGAACGUUCACGCACUCGGGAGUUCGAGGUUUGACAAUAGGAGUCUAGUUAAUGUGCAACUGGAAUAAGAUUACAACAACCAAAUAGGAUAAGUGUGCUGAGCUUUAAUCCAAUAAAUUCGGUUUAACAAAUCGAUCUCGUCCUCUAAUCAGAUUAGUUUCGUAUACUUGAUCGAAUUGUUUUUGUUUGUGGCUGAAACUCAUACUAUAAUUUGACAACAUACUAAAAGAAGAGUUUAUGACGCAACAAAGGCACGCAUCAUUAGACUUCAAUCUCUUCAAAAUGCUAAAAUAAACAAUUAUGAGACCCUCAAACAAUAAUGUGGAAGAUUAAGAGGACAAUUAAAUUACAUAAGGGCUUAAGGAGAUGAUACCAGGGUAGAAGAAAAAUUAUUUGUGACACUUAUUAGAGAGUAGAAUAUCAUUGUCGACUCUGUAGAAGAACUGAUCUCGUCCUCUAAUCAGAUUAGUUUCGUAUACUUGAUCGAAUUGUUUUUGUUUGUGGCUAAAACUCAUACUAUAAUUUGUCAACAUACUAAAAGAAGAGUUUAUGACGCAACAAAGGCACGCAUCAUUAGACUUCAAUCUCUUCAAAAUGCUAAAUAAACAAUUAUGAGACCCUCAAUCAAUAAUGUGGAAGAUUAAGAGGACAAUUAAAUUACAUAAGGGCUUAAGGAGAUGAUACCAGGGUAGAAGAAAAAUUAUUUGUGACACUUAUUAGAGAGUAGAAUAUCAUUGUCGACUCUGUAGAAGAACCGAUCUCGUCCUCUAAUCAGAUUAGUUUCGUAUACUUGAUCGAAUUGUUUUUGUUUGUGGCUGAAACUCAUACUAUAAUUUGUCAACAUACUAAUAGAAGAGUUUAUGACGCAACAAAGGCACGCAUCAUUAGACUUCAAUCUCUUCAAAAUGCUAAAUAAACAAUUAUGAGACCCUCAAACAAUAAUGUGGAAGAUUAAGAGGACAAUUAAAUUACAUAAGGGCUUAAGGAGAUGAUACCAGGGUAGAAGAAAAAUUAUUUGUGACACUUAUUAGAGAGUAGAAUAUCAUUGUCGACUCUGUAGAAGAAUUGAAGGAUUUAAAAACCAUGUUUGUGAGUGAAUUAAUUGACUCUUUAGGGGCGUAUAAAAAAAAAAACUAAUGCUACGAGAUGAAGAUUGUAGCCAAAACAGAGCACAAUAAAGCAUAUACACGAAUCUCACGAAAAAACUCUCUCUCAAGGAUUUUUUUAGUUCAAUCGUCAGUGAUCCUUCUCCAUCGCUCCUCAGAUGUUGUCACCACCAUCGAUUGACCACGUCCGUUGCUUCCAAGUCUUGUCCGCCGCGCCUCUCUUCUCCCUCCCUUCUUUAAUGUGAGUGUUCAAAGCUCCUUAUGCUUGCUCGGUCCUUCUUUGCCGGCACCAAUCACGCUUGAUGUUUUGCUUCGAACCACGAUAUCUUUACAACAUGAAGUACUCAAGAACAAGGCUACCCUUCAAACCAUGACAUCUGCUUCCAAAUUGUCGAACAAAGCUUGAAUGAGAGAGAGAGAACAAUAGAGGAAGAGAGAUAAAAUUGCUUUAAAGCGGCAGCAUUUUGUGAUUAAAGAACAACUCAUCAUCACAUGGAUUUCUUAAAAUGAAAAAAAUACUUAAGCAUUAACUUUUAGGGUCCAUUCAUUUCGUGAAAAAUAUCAUAUUUUUGGAAAAUAUUUUGUAGGAAGUCAUUUUUCAAGAAAAUAACUAUAUUUUUUGGUGUUCAAUUGAAACCUGAAAUUUAAGUGAAAAAUAUUUUUCAUUGUCCGUUAUCUAAUUUGAUUUUUUAAGAUAAAGUACCAAAAAAAACUAAAUUUCAAUAUUUUUAAUUGACCAAAAAAAUUUAAUUUUAAUUUAUAUAUAUUUAAAAAAAUUAAUUUUAAUUUUUUUAAAUCAAAUUUUUAUUUUUAUUUUUUAUUUUUUCUUUCUUUCUUUUUCUUUUCUUCCCUCCUUCUUCCUCCUCCUUCCUAUGCCACUGCAUGCCUCGACGUGGCCAACUACUCAGCGGCCAACCAAGACAUAAUCGCUAGAUCCAACAAGCUCGAGGCUCGGCCGAUCCAGGUGAGCCGUGAGCUUGCCGGCCAAUGGAUAGGGCUCGCCUGGAUUGGCUGAGCCUCAAGCUCGCCAGCCUCAACAGAGCUUGAGGUUACUUGGAUCGAGUGAGCCGCAAGCUCGCCAACCCAAUACAGGGAAGCCCAAGCUCUGCCAAGGCUAGCAAGCCCAUGGCUUGCCAAAUUCGAUGAGCUCGAGCUUUCCCUCACCGGAUCUGGCCUUGGGCAAGGCUGGAGUUGGCCUGUGGCCUGCAAUCGGCCAAGGAAAAAGAAAAGAAAAGGGAAGAAAAAGAAAAAUAAUUAAAAACUCAAUUUUAAAAAAGAAAUAAAGAAGAGGAAAAACAAAAAAUAAUUCAAAAUAAUUCAAAUAAAAAAAAAGGAGGAGGAGAAGGAAGAAGUGAGGGCUUAUAGGGAUGUGAGUUUUUCUUAGUUUAGAAGACUAUUUUCCUUUUAUGGAAAAUUUUUUCCUUAAGUAAUUCAUUUUCCAAGAAAGAAACAUUGAAAAAUUCGGAAAACGUUUUCUCAGAAGUUAUUUUAUAUAAAAUGAAUGGAGUCUUUAUGAAAAAGCCAUGUUAUAUUUUUUGUUGGAAUUUCUCGUCGAUUGGCACUUUAAGAUUUCGUUUUCUUUUUUUCUUUUUUUCUCUCGAUUCCACACUUAAGUGAACCGACAAAAUUUUUUAGAAAUGAAGUGAGUACCGUACAAAACUUUUAGCACUUUUAAUAUCUUAUGCCUCCAUAAUUUAGUUUGAUGCAAUUGUUCUCCCGCAAUAGAUUCAGGAAAAUCCGUGGGGGUUUACACCGUGGACAUACAAAGUAUCAAAACACAGACCACCCUCUUGUGAUUCUUGAACAAAACAAAGUACUUACAUAAAUUACUGUGGUGUUUACUCUUUCGUGAUGUGAUUCGUUUCUUUUUGCCUCCAUGUAUGGAACUAUUUUAUUAUCCUCCCUCUUUAGUCGUGCUCCAGGAAAGGCGGUCCACAGAAUUAACGUGGACCCCCAGAAAUGGUUGCAAACUCGAUUACUCCUAGAAGAUUAAGAUCUAAAGGGUUGUCUUAAUGACACAGAAUUAUGUACUGGGUCAAUUGAUGUGUUGUGCUUGUUUACGAGUAUAUACCCAGAAUCCUAAAAUGAGCCUUCUGGGCUUGUCCAAGAUGGGCUUUAUCCUUCAGCAUUUGCAACAAAAGGGCUCAACAAAAAGCCUUUUGAUCUUCCUUUCCUUGAGGAACGGUUGACCCUGACCAUGACCAACAAAAGGGCUCAACAGCUAAUGCCUAUGAUCGUGUACUAUAAAGCUGUCUUUGGUGGGAUUUUUUUGUCGAAUAAAAUAAUGGUCGAAUAAGAUAUUGAUGGGAUUUGUUAUAUGGUAUCUAUUCUUUCGUAAAUAUCCGGAUAUAACAUAGAUAAUAAGAGAACUGCUCUAUUGACGAAGAAAUCUGCUGCUCUAAAGCACUGUUAACGAAAACUUCGCCUUCAUGCCGCACAGCGAAGACAUCCCCCAGAUCAGGGGCCCCGCGACUUCCGCGACAGUUCUCCGUGGAGUCCAAGAAGCAGUCGCGAGAGAGGAAAAAAUGAUAAAAGAUUGAAAAAAGGGAUCUUUCAGGGGAAGGUGGCUCGGUUCUUCUCCCUCGAUCCACCAUUGCCAUACGUCACUGCUACUUCAAAUUUCACCGAGCCUUGCCUUAUUGUCAUCACUACAACACCGUCAUAUUCCUUUUCCCCCACUUUUUUUAAAUGACUUUCAUCGACAAUGCCAAAAUUUGUCAACUCAACACCAAACAAGCCAGAAAGUCACGCAUACCUCCAUCCUCAUAUACCUUCAUUUCUUUCCCCUUUGUUUUCUCUCUAAUCCACUUUCUUUUUCCUUAUGUGUAUGUUGUCCUUAUGGAUAUAUUAUGUAUUCAUCAUCACUACAAUAUUCACAAUCUAUGUCUUUAUGCAGACAAAGCAUCUAAAAAAUCUCCCACAUCUAGACAACACAUGGUUACAGUUAUGAUGAAUGGUUUUGACUCAACCAAUAUUAAUUAAAAAAAAAAAAACUGGAUAUAUGUUGAUGGAUAAUCUAAAUGAAAGAAACCAGUGCGAUUAACUAUAUCAUUAGAUGUAGAUAAUCCCAUAUUUAUGUCGUUAAUCCACAAGGUUUUGGCUUUCUCCUUUAUAUGAUUACUUAAUAAAUAUUACAAUUUAUUUUGGGUUUGAUAAUAAUAGAACUCGACUAGUUGAAAUUUAUUUACUUAAAGUGGAUCCUCUCAAAAAGGUAAAAAAAAAAAAAAAAAUACAUCGCGACCAGAAAAAUGGCCAUGGUUAUAUUGGAAGCAAAAGACAGAUGUGAUUAUUUAGAUGUUGAUGCAAUCCGAAACCGAACAUUUCUCGCUUCUCCACCCGCCACAAAAAUAAAUGAAUAAUCAACAAAAAAAUUUUAAUAAAGAGAACAAAAUGAAAUGAGACCAUCUUUUUCUUUUUCUUCAAAUUAUGAUUUCACUGUUGCCGGAGCUAGAAAAUUCGACUUAACUGCAUGAAGAAUAAUUCAGUCGAUUAAAUUUACUGCUAGUCAAAUCAAACAGAAGAAACUAUCAUUAAAGUGAUUUAAUUUUAGUUGAGGAAGUUUUCUUCUUCUUCUUUUUCUUCUUUUCCGUUUGGACACGUGAUUAUGAAUUGUCAUUCUCAUCGACUCCACGGUGGUUUAGAGGGAAAAAGCACAUCAAGAAUGGAAUCCCCUCCUUACCAUGUGCGGUCGGAUGGAACCAAAUCUACAUUAGUUGGUCCGCCUGCAAUUUCCCCCUGUUAUAGGUGGUCGUCAGUGCGAAAUAUGAGACCACAAUACAAAAGAAAAUUAUAUUCAUCCAUGGCAGUUGCGAGGCAGUAUGCUUUUUGAGCACGUGGCUAAAAAUAAUUUAAUAUGAAUUGCCACAUCAUGUUAAACAACUCAAUUGAAAUGCAUUUGAAUCUUUAUUAGGCUUGUUUAUAUCAGCUGUCAAUAUUCUCUCUUAUUCGAUUCCUCGUACAAAUUGUCGGAUUUUCCAUUGUACAUGUGCAUCAUGAACAUAAAAUCCCAUAGAAAUGGAGAUGGGCCGCCACCACCCCCGAGACAACCGCGAGAAUCUCUCAUUUGUUUAGGAAGAAAGAAGACUAAGCAGCCCAGACAUGCGAAGGACUCGAAAAUAUGAUCUGCAUCCUUUGAGAAAGAGACAGAAAGUUGGUGCUCUUCUUCUUGUUUUGUAAGUCGUAUGAUACCGUUCUCUAGGCGUCAUAAACUCGCGUGCAUUAUGAUAUGUUUACUGAUCUGCAAUUAAGUACGAAUUGCAUUGGUUAGAUAAUUGAUCUUUGUACUUUGAGAAAGAGACGAAAUGGCGGUGCUUGUCUACUUUUUUGUGAGCUGUAUGACAAUCAAUCUCUAGCUGUCAUAAACUCGCGUGUAUUAUGAUAAAAUAAGACCGGUAGUUGACUUGAUAUUAUGGUCUUUGUCCUUUGAGAAAGAGAUCUAAAGGGAGUUGAAUUUGUGUUGUACCCACGGAAGCAAAAGCGUUUAUCCUAGAUUCAGUUAAAUAAUCUUCAGCCCUCUGUGCAUAAUCUUCAUUAGAUUUUAAUGAAUCACACUCCAUUUGAUUAAAUAAUUGUGAAAAACACAUCCUUAAUAUUUGAAAAGCAUAAGCUACCAUGACGUAUUUUAGUCAGUAUUAUCUAAGACCUUACCAGCCAUCUAAAUUUACACAUUUCACAGAUUAUCAUCAUAUUAAAGAAAUCUACCAAACUUUUGGAUAGUUACCAAAAUCAUUUGAAUGGUAUGUACUAAUGCAUAUCUGCAAUUACCAAUGUCAUAUAAAUAUCUAUCAAUCUUUUAUAAUCUUGAAGUCCUAAUGUCCGAUGUUGAUAAGCAUAAAUCAAAAUCAACGGCUAACUCUCCUACAAAAUACAUACAAACAUGAAACUUACUGCCCUAACUUGAACUUAUGAGCAUGUCUCAAUAGGUGAACUAUUACAUACUUCGUUUGAAUAUGUAUCAACUCAGUUUCAAAGCCGUGCAUGUUUGUUUGGCUUUAAGAGAAGGUAAAAACUUUUCUUUACUUUUCCGCCAUAAUUUAGAAUAUUGUUUAAAUUUCAAAAACUUAUGAAAAAAUAUAUGUGAGUCUACGUGCUGGCAUUUGAGUACUUUCAGGAGUUCAAGAUUUAAAAAGAAGUUAAAAUGCUUAAACUGUAAUUAUUUAAGUUAAGCAAAAAAAUAAAAAAAUAAAAAAAAUAAAAAGUUGUUCCGAACAUACUAGUGACUAAUGGAAACAUGUCAAUAUAGGGGAGGAGCAACUUGGUCUUUUCUAAAUAGGGUUUUGCUUAGAGGUGUGCGAAUAGUAUUGCAUAUAUAAAGCUUUUAAGGAGUUAUUGGGUCAACAGUGGAGAAGGAUCCAAUAUGAUAUAAAUAUAAGCACCUUUUUACAAAAUUUAACAACAAACACGCCAAUUUUAUAAAAGAAAUGAUGCAACAAACUUUGAUUAACUACUUGAGCUUGUGAGUCAUGUCUAAAUACUUAAGAAAGAUGUAUCACAUGAUUUACAACUCGAUUUCAGAAACUAGUUUUAUAUUGAAAUACCGUUGAGUGAGGACAGGAAACGUACAUGCACUGGCCUGUGUAAUUAAAGGAAACUUUUUUUUCCUCUCUUUUCUUUGGAAGGAAUAAAAAAUGACCAUCGGGAAUAAGUAUGUUUAGAUGUUAGGGUUUAUAUAUGGCCGUCAUGCCCUUGACAUCAAUAAUGCACAUUGGGAAGGUGAAAUCGGAGGGUUUCCCAAGCCACUAAAUCCGGGUCAAACAAAGAAGUGAUGGCUCCACACGUCUUUUUAUUUAAGCAAAAAGCCAUUCAUUAUUACAUUGAAAGCAAGAGGGAGGAGAUUCUAAUAAGCAUACCCUUUUCCGUUAUUGCACUCACUCUACAUGCACUUACUUGUAAAUUUCCUCUUCAAGGCUUCCUCAACAUGUUUCCAAAGUAUUGUUUUCUUGAUGCAUAUAAACUCUCUUCAUGGAUGGUUGAGCGGAUACUUGAGAUAAAAUAAAAGAGAGAACAUCUUUCUAUUUCUCUCCAAAUUAUCAUUUCACUGUUGCUGGAGCUAAAAAGUCGAUUUAACUGCAUAAAGAAUAAUUUAGUUGGAUAAAUUUACUGCUAGUCAAUCAAACAGAAGAAACUAUCAUUAAAAUGAUUCAGCUCAAAAAACAUUGUAUGACUGAUUUAAUUUUAGUUGAGGAAGUUUUCAUUUCUUUUGUUGGGGUAUGAAAAAGCACCACAAGAAUGGAAUCCCCUCCUUACCUUGUGUGGUCAGAUGGAUUAACUGACGCUGACAUGGAUAAUUUUUAAUAUUUUUUUUAUUUUUAUCGAUUUUUUAUUUUUUUCUUUUCUUCCUUCCUUCCUUCCUUCUUUGUUUCCCAUUGUGGCCAACAAGCUAUGGCCAAAGGGUCGUCGAAGCUUGCCGGCCACUAGGCGAGGGCCUCGGACCACAAAGCCCUCAUUGGUCGCUAGCAAGAGUCACGGCCCUCACUUGGCCUCGCUAGCUACAAACACAAGCAGCCUCACCCAUGGUUGGAAAGUACAUGGCCUCCUUUGCCUGUGGCCAGCGAGGCUAUUCUCACCCCCACAAACCCAAGGCACUCAUGUUCUUCAGUAGCGUAGAAGAAAAAUAGAACCAAACAAAAAGUGGAGGUAUAGAUUUUUUACCAUUAAUUAUGCCCAAGAGCAUAAGUCCAGUGAAGUAACACAAACCGACCACGGGCAAGGCCACCUUCACUUGCUGCUAAUGAGGCCAUCUGAGGCUAGCCUCGCCCAAAUCUAGGCUAAGCCGUCUUACCUGCAGCCCCCAAGCCUCGACCCUCACUGGCCAUAGCUCGCCGGCCAUAGUCGAAAACAAAAAAGGAAGGAAGGAAGCAAAGGAAAAGGAAAAUAAUAAUAAUAAAUUUGAAAAAAUAUUUAUUAUUAAAAAUUACCCAUGACAGCGCGACCGAACGGCUGGAGUCCAUGUCAACACUAGCCAACCAAUAUUGGUUGUAUACGCUGAAUUGGCACAAAUAUAAAAGGCUUAGAACUCAAUGAAAAAAAUGUUUAAAAUUAAAUUAGCACACUUACAAUAGAUUUAGAAUUUUUUUGAUAAUUUUUCCGCUCGUCACGUCAUUUUAAAUGAGUCAAUUGAAACGCAUUCGAAUCUUUCAUAGAUUUGUUGACAUCGGCUAUUAAUAUUCUUUAUCUUAUUCGAUUCCUCGUACAAAUUAUCGGAAUUCCAUUGUAUAUCUGCAUUGGGAACAUAAACCCCCGUGGAAAUGGAGACGGGCCACCACUACCCCCCAGACAACCUCGAGAAUCUCUCAUUUGUUUAGGAGGAAAAAGAUUGAAUAGUCCAAGCAUGAGAAAGCUAUGUGCUCUCAAUAAUAUGACCUUUGUCCUUUGAGAAAGAGACGGAAUGAUAGUGCUUGUCUUCUUAUUUUGUCGACUGUAUGACAUCGGUCUCUAGGCAUCAUAAACUCGGUGCACUGUGAUUAGCCUAUUGAUCUAUAAUUAAGUACGAAUUGGAUGGACCAUAACCAAUGAGGUUAAGGCUUCGGACAUGGAUUAUUGUGAUAAAAUAACACGGGUAGUUGACUUAAUAAUAUGGUCUUUCUCCUUUAAGAAAGUGACCUAAAGGGAUUGGAUUUGUGUUGCAUACACAUAAUCAAAACCGUUAUCCCAGAUUCAGAUAAGAAAUCUUCCUUUCUUUGUGUAUAAUCUCCAUUAGAUUUUAAUGAAUCACACGCCAUUUAAUCAACUGUAAUAGCGAAAAACACAACCUUUUGAAAGGCAUAAGUUACCAUGACAUAUUGUAGUCAAUAUUGAUUGAGAUCUUACUAACUCUCUAAUUAUACACAGUUCAAAGAUUAUCAUCAUAUUAAUGAAAUUUGCCACACUUUUGGAUAGUUACUAAAGUUAUUUGAAUGGUAUCUACUAAUGCAUAUCUGCAAUUACCAAGGUGAUAUAAAUUUCCAUCAUUCUUUUAUAAUCUUGAAGUCCUAAUGUACAAUGUCGAUUGAUAGUUUAUCAUUAUAAAUCGAAAUCAACAACUAAUUGUCCUGCAGAAUGCAUAUAAAAGUGAAACUUAUUGCCCUAACUUUAACUAAUGAACCUGUCAUGCAAAGGUGAAAUGUAACAUGCUUUGUUUGAACAUUUAUCGACUCGGUUUCAAAGCCGUGCAUGUUUGUUUUGAUUUAAAAUAAAGUAAAAAGUUUUCUUUACUUUUCCGCCAGAAUUUAUAAUAUUGUUUAAACUUCAAAAAAUUAUUAAAACAAUACAUGUAAGUUUAUACGUUAGUAUUUGAGUACUAUGCAAGUUUCAGAAGUUUAGGAUUUAAAAAGAAGUUAAAAUGCUUAAACUGUGAAAUUCAAAUUAAGCAAAAAAUUAAAAAAAUAAAAGUCGUUCCAGACACACUAAUGAUAAAGGAGACAUAUCAAUGUAGAUUUAGAACUUCUUAUUAGUUAUCCAGUACAAUACACAAAUUCAAAGUUAACCACCCAAAAUACUUAUAACCAACAAAUACUCAGACCACCCAAACCUUAAACAAGAUGGAAAAUAAGUUUGUAAGGAGGAGCAACUUGGUCUUUUUAAGCACCAUUUGCUUAGAGGUAUAUGAAUAGUAUUUGCAUAAAUAAAGAUUUUAAGGAGUUAUUGGGUCAACAGAAGAGAAUGAUCCAAUACGAUAUCAAUAUAAGCACCGUUUACAAAAUUGAACAACAAACACGCUGAUUUUAUAGAAGAAAUGAUGCAACAAACUUUGAUUAACUACUUGAGUUUGUGAGUCAUGUUUAAAUACUUAAUAAAGACGUGUCACAUGAAUUACAACUGAAUUUCACAAACCAGUUUUAUAUUUGAAAUACUAUUAAUUAAGGAAAGGAAACGGACAUGCACUGGCCUGUGUAAGGAAAGGAAACGUUUUUUUUUUCCCUCUUUUCUUUUGAAGGAAUGAAAAAAUGACUAUGGGGAAUAACUUUUUUUGUAUGUUAGGGUUUACAUAUGGCCGUCAUGCCCUUGACAUCAAUAAUGCACACUGGGGAGGUGAAAUCGGAGCGUUUCACAAACCACUAGAUCCGGGUCAAACGAGGAAGAAGCGUUGGCUCUAUUUGUCUUUUUAUUUAAGCAAAAAGCCAUUCAUUAUUACUUGAGAGCAAAGGGGGAGGAGAUGCUUAUAAUAUACCCUUUGUUAUUACACUCUACAUGCACUUACUUGUAAAUUUCCUCCUCGAAGCUUCCUCAUAAUGUCUGCAAAGUACUGUUUUCUUGAUGAAUAUAAACCCGAUGGAUUGUUUUUCUUUUUUUUUUGGUCGAUCACUUGAUGCAUGGUUGAGUGGAUAGUUGAGCCGCAACCAAGAUUAUGACAUAUUGGAGUGAUAAAAUUCAAACUAAGUAAAAAUAUGACAUUUAGCUCCAUUCCAAAUUUGUGGAACUAAUGGAACUUCUGAGAUAGCUAGUAUAAUCACCUAAAGGGGGGUGAAUAGGUGCACAAACAAUUUAUCGAGAUACGGAAGCGAUUCUUGGCAAACGAUAGAAAGGAAAUUCUCUAUUGAUUAACAAAAUAAAAUACGAUCAAGAUAAAGAGAGUAAGGAAGAGAAAAUUGAACACAGGAUUUAUAGUGGUUCGGCUUAAUCCAAGCCUACGUCCACUCUUCCGCACUGACAGCCCACCGGCUGGAUUUCACUAUGAUCAAAAGAGAAGUUACAGCACAGCUUUGCCUUGAUUCCACAGUGUAGAUGUUCUACCACACCUCCUCAAGGUUUCUCACAAAUAUAGACUCUCUUUUGUAUACAAGUAUUUGCUCAAAGUGAUUGUCUAAACAACAAGGAGCUUCAGACUUUGGAAUUCUUCUAUCGCGCACACCUCGAACAACUAAGAACGUCUUCCUUAUAUACUCCUUUAUGCCAUCAUACCCGUUGGCACUUACCAAAUGAAUUCCUCCAAUCUACCCAUUGGACGGAAUCAAUUAGGAAGAUUGUUUUAGCUAUUAAAGGAACGUGUCGAUAGCCCAUCAAUCCUGUUCGUCCAUACAAUCAGGAUCUCAGUUUCCAUAAGUAGAACCUUCCAAGAAUAUUUAGGCAAUCAUCGAAUCUUCAAUCAUCGAAUCAAUCUCGAUCAAUCAAAGGAUUCUGUUACAUCUUUUCCAGCCACGAGAUCUUCUCCAGUUGAUAAGGUUGAAUCCUUAACGAAACAUCCAGUUCUGGAUAACCUUUCUUCAACGGAUUAGAGACUGUCAAUGAGGAUAGACUUUGAGUCUUGAGUCUGGCUGUCCGGAGGUCUUCAGACUUUAAAUAUCAGAGUCUGCAAACCUUCAGACUAGACUGAUGGAAACGUUUUGUCAGCUUCAAAACACUUCAAGAAGAUUUCUCCAACAAUCUCCCCCUUUUUGAUGGUGACAAAACUUUCCUGCAGAUUUGGACAACUUUGACCUGUAAAACAUUUCUCAAACACAUAUGCAUAUCUUAAAUGGCUAAAUGAAUAACACUAGAAUCUGCAACCACAGAAAAUAGGUUAGUCUAGUAUACGAUAAAGCCUUCCAUAAGAUAUCAAUAGUAAUUAAUAGAAGCAGUCAAGUCCAAGUCUAGUUCAGUUCUCAUCUAGACACAAAACAAAGUCAAACAGAGUUCAAACAAACAAACAAACCACACGAUUAAAAGUUUAACAAUUGAAAGUUUGAUCAAAUCUUGCAUCUCUCCCCCUUUUUGUCAGCAUUAAAAAGGUUGAGAUGAAAAUAGAAUGAAGUCAAGAUUGCUUGGGAAUGCGGACAAGCUGGAAAUCUCCCAUAGACUGAACGAUGCCUUCCAGCCUUUUCAAGUCUUCCUUCAGAUGUGCAAUCUCCUCACCCUUGGCAUUGGCCUGAAUCUGAACAGAGAGGGCUUGGAUCUUAUCAUUCAAUGAACAUGAAGAAACUUGACCCGCAUUCUUCAAGUUUUGAACAUCGCAUCCCAAGGCAUAAAUUUGACAUUGCAUCUCCAAGAGAAUAUCCAUGAUUCUGCGAAAAUCUGCUGCAUUAUCAGUUUGAGUACUUGCUUCGGCCCGAUCUGAUGGAGUAAAUGCAGACGAUGGUAGAUCAGCAUAAUCUCGCAGGUUUGGCGAUGAAACUUCAUGACCUUCUUCUGGAAACUGAGAGGCAGAGACAUCCUCUGGGUCUGCAGGUGAGCGACUGACUCCUUCACUUGCAUCAGGAUAUGAAGAUUUCCUUCCUUUUUCUUGAUCUCCCCCUGUUUCCAUGCUUGCAGGUGGAAAAGAGUGUUCCUCAAGUUCUCCUUCUUCUCUUCUAUCUUCUUCAGGUAUUUCCUCAUCUGCUUCUUUUUCAGCUUCUCUUUCUUCUUUUUCCUUCUCCUCUACUUCCUUCUCCUCUGCUUCUUUCGUCAUUUGUUCCGAUUCUUUCUGUGAAACAAGACGACUUAAAUUCUUCAAAGCCAUUGCAGAGAUGGUAAUAUCUUCCUCAUCAUCUUCAUCCUCUACGAGGAGAGCUCUUCUUCUCUUGGAUGGAGUAACCAUGGGCUCCUUUCCUUUUCUUUUAGCUGCAGAAGAGAUUUGAUGAGUUUUGGCAGGAGUCUUCUCCUUGAAUUUCUCCAACUCCUUGCUCAGUUCCUUCAGACGCAUUUUGGUCACCAUUUUCAGUCCUACCACCAUAUGAUCGCAUGGUCGAACACAAAAGAUUUGCGGAGGCUGAAUAUUCAGAUGUCUGAAUAACUUCGUAACAAGACUUGGGUAAGGGAGCUGACCUCUGUCCUUCAUCAUUGCUCUAUACAUGUGAAACAUAACAGUGUGAGGGAGAGAAAACUUUUUCCCAAAGAGAAUGGCAUACAUCAGCUUUGCCUUUGAACUUGAAACAUCAGUUUUGAAAGUUGAUUUCAGUCGGAGGCAAUUGAUCACAAUCUUGUGAAGCAAGAUGUUGAAUGCACUCAUCCUUAAGUAGGUGAUCUUCUCAUCUGUUCUCUUGUCCUUCACCAGUUCCAGUGUGGCCCGAGCAAUGGAAACUUUGAUUGGUUGAUAUCUUCCCCUUUCAACUCCUAACACAUCUGCCAGCAUAUUCAUAUCCACAACAUAAUCUUGGUCUUUGACGCUGAAAGAGAAUCUAUUCGCAUCCAAAAAGCUAAGAUUUGAAUAGAAGUAUGCAGUUAAUCCAGCAUAGGCCUCUGUAGUGUCAGAGCAGAACUUUUCAAGUUGAAGAUAACUGAACUUUUCUCUUAAGUUCACAUUUACAGCAUCCAGAAAAUCAAAAUCCACACUCCUAGGGUUUAUUACCCCACGCUUCAGCAAUUUCGAGUACAGAUCCUUUUGUUCCUUUGAUCUGAACAAAUCUCCACUUUUUCCUUGAUUUUCAACUGCAAUACCCAUUUUCGGUUGAAAUUGGCUGUACAAUUUGUCAUCAUCAUUCCCAUCUAUAGGAUUCGGCCCCCAGUCACGAGGAUCACUUGGGAUAUUCGCAAGGGUUUCCUCAGCCACCCCUUUACGAGCAAUUCCCAAACUUUCCAUUUUUCGCAGAAAGAUAUAUUCGUUCUUAUAUCCUUUGUCUUUAAGAAAAUCAUCAACAUAGUUCAAAGGAGUACAAGUUCCUUUUAAGGCACGAUAUAGCUUGUAAAUAUAAGCGGGCUUUUGAACUCUUACAGGGUCUGCAUCCUCAAUGAUUUCUUCCUGUUGUUGAUGAUCAACGCCUUGAGGACUAGAUGGAGGAGAAUGACGCUGCUGAGAAUGUUGUGGGCUCGGUUGCUGUUCUGGAGACACUUCUUCUUCAGUAAGAUCGAAGUGCGUAGGCCCCUCACUCAUUCGCCGUGGUCCCCUGCUUGCGAUUCUCGAAGACUUUCUUGAAGAUGACAUCUUUCUCAAUUUUUGGAAGAUUCCUUGCUUAACUUUCCCAAGAAAGAUGACAACUUUUUUGAAGAUUAAACAGAGAAGACAAACGGGAAUGGAGGAUCGAUGCUUUCUAGGGUUUUUGAGAGUAAAGUGAAGAGGAAUCAACAGUGCACGAUCGGUUAAAAGGAGAAAUAACCGAACCGUUACAAAGGAAAUAAAAAGAUGCAUUUUCAAAAUAACUGUCUUUUUCCGUGAAAAUAGUCAUUUUAAAAAUAACUUCUUUUUGGAAAAGGAAACGAUGCAAAAAUUACGCCGAUUAAAGAUAGCAAUAAAACACGGUUACCAAUCGUACCUUUUUAAGAUAAGAUUUGAGAGAGAGAGAGAGAGACUAACUUACAGUCUGACGGUCGUACCAAGACUAACUCAAAGUCUUGUAUGACUGAGUUUGAAAGUCUUUAGACUUUGAUCUCCUCGUACCUUAAAAUGUUGAGUCUGGAACGGAUGGUUUCGAACUGAUUUUUCUCCAACGGCUUUGUGAAUAUAUCCGCCAGUUGGUUCUUUGAGUCAACAAAUUGAAUUGAAACAUCUCCAUUUUGAACAUAAUCUCUAAUAAAGUGAUGUUGAAUCUCUAUAUGCUUCGCUCUUGAGUGUAGAAUUGGAUUUUUGGUGAGGUUGAUAGCGCUGGUGUUGUCGCAAUUAAUCUCUGUGCAUGAGUCUUUAAUUCCAAAGUCUCUUAGCUAUUGUUUUAUCCAUAGAAUUUGCGAAUAGCAACUUCCAAGAACUACAUACUCUGAUUCUGUUGUUGAAAUAGCCACGGUGCUUUGUUUCCUUGAAAACCAAGACACUGUCCUGUUUCCAAGCAACUGGCAAGUUCCCGAAGUGCUUUUUCUAUCAACUCUGCAACCGACCAGAUCCGCGUCUGAAUAUCCCAUAAGAUUAAGGUCUCCCUUCUUAGGAUACCAAAGACCGAUGCUUGAAGUUGAUGAAACAUAUUUAAUAAUACGCUUCACAGCAUUCAAAUGAGAUUAUUUUGGAUCUGAUUGAAAUCUGGCACAGAUGCAAACACUAAACAAAAUGUCAGGUCUAGAAGCAGUAAGAUAAAGAAGAGAUCCGAUGAUACUCCUGUACAGCUUUUGAUCGACUUUCUUCCCUUCUUCAUCUUUGUCUAUCUUCAAGGAACUUGACAUUGGUAUGUCAGCCUUUUUGCAAUUGUCCAGACCAAACUUUUUGACAAGAUUAUUUGCAUACUUUUCUUGAUGAAUAAAAGUUCCUUCCUCCAAUUGUUUUAUUUGAAGUCCAAGAAAGAAGGUUAACUCACCCAUCAUGCUCAUUUCAAAUUCUUCCUGCAUAGACUUAGAAAAUUUCUUGCACAGACUUUCAUUAGAGGAUCCAAACAUAAUAUCAUCGACAUAUAUUUGAACAAGCAGAAAACUUUUGUUUUCUCUUUUAAUAAAAAGAGUAGUGUUCACUUUACCUUUAACAAAUCCGUUUUGAAUUAAAAACUUACUUAAUCUGUCAUACCAAGCUCGAGGUGCUUGCUUUAAGCCAUAUAAGGCCUUUUUGAGUCUGAAUACAGAGUCUGGUUUCCUUGGGUCUUCAAACCCUGGUGGUUGUUCCACAUAGACUUCCUCAUGGAUGAAUUCAUUUAGGAAAGCACUUUUGACGUCCAUUUGAAAUAACCUGAAAUUUUUAUAACAAGCAAAUGCAAGUAAUAAACGAAUUGCUUCUAACCUUGCUACCGGUGCAUAAGUCUCGUCAUAGUCGAUCACUUCUUCUUGUGUGUAUCCUUUGGCCACGAGUCUAGCCUUGUUUCUUACGACUUUACCUUUCUCGUCCAUCUUGUUCCUGAAAACCCUUUUAGCUCCAACAACUGAUUUACCUUUAGGUUUUGGAGUUAAUUCCCAGACAUCAUUAAUUUUGAAUUGUCUGAGUUCUUCUUGCAUAGCUUCAAUCCAGCUUUCAUCGGAUAAAGCUUCUUCUAUGCUCUUGGGUUCUAUUUCAAAAAUAAGUGCCACGGCACUAGACUCUUCUCGCCUUUUGGAUCUUGUGCGAAUUCCUUCAUAGAUGUCGCCAAUAAUAAGAUCUUUGGGAUGACUGGACUUAUGUUUCCAGUUGCUGGUUAAUUUAUCAUAUUGAUGAUCACUUCCUUCACUUGAAUCUUCAACAGUCACUUGUUGCUGAUCCUUCAAAGUCUGAAUUGCUUCUUGAGAUUUAGACUUUGUAGAGUCUAGAGCAGAUUCAGUCUCUUCAAGAUGAGUCUGAAUGAAUUCACUUUGUGUAGAAUCUUGAAAUUUGACAUUCAUUGAUUCUUCCACAGUUUGAGUCUUCUUGUUGUAGACUCUGUACGCUUUGCUUGUGGUUGAAUAUCCAAGGAAGAUGCCUUCAUCUGACUUUUCUUCAAACUUACCAACUCGAUCAUUUGCAUUUUUCAAUAUGAAACAUUUGCAUCCGAAUACAUGAAAAUACGAAACAAUGGGCUUCUUUUCUUUGAAAAGUUCAUAGGAGGUUUUUUCUAGAAUAGGUCUUAGAAAGACUCUAUUGAUAAUAUAACAUGAUGUUGAAACUGCUUCAGCCCAAAAACGUAAAGAGAUAUUACUUUCAAUUAAAAGAGUUCUAGCCAUUUCUUGAAGAGAUCUAUUAUUUCUUUCCACGACUCCGUUUUGCUCUGGAGUAUAUGGAGAGGAGAACAAAUGUUGAAAUCCAGAUUCAUCACAAAAUUUUGCAAAGUCUUGAUUUUCAAAUUCACCUCCAUGGUCUGUUUUUAAACUUGAAAUGACAUACCAUUUUUCAUUUUGAACCUUCUUAGCAAAUUUUUCAAAGUAAGAGAAAGUUUCAGACUUACUUGCUAAGAAAUAUACCCAAGUAAAUCGUGAGUAGUCAUCCACAAUUACUAGGCAAUAUUUCUUCCCUCCAAUGCUCUGCGUUCUUGUUGGUCCGAAGAGAUCCAUAUGCAAGAGCUGCAGUACACGGUUAGUGGAAACUUGAUUUAUUGGUUUAAAAGAAUUUCUUACCUGUUUUCCCAAUAUACAUGGUGUACAUAGAUCGGACUUUUGAUAUGAUAGAUUGGGUAGAUCACGAACAAGCUUCUUUGCUGAGAUUUUGGCUAUCUGCUUCAUGUUGAUAUGCCCAAGCUUUUUGUGCCAUAAGUUCGCUUCGUCUUGGAUUGAGAUUAGACAUUGCGAUUCAUCUGGUUUCACGUCCAAGAGGUAGAUAUUCCCAUGUCUUCGACCCAUGAAUGACUGAGUAGAGUCUUUACUGGUUCCUGAACAAAUACCCUCUUGAAAGUUGAUUCUAAAACCAGCAUCACAAAGCUGACUGAUACUAAGCAGAUUGUAAUUGAGCCCUUCAACUAAAGAAACAUUGAUUAUUGUGAGGUUCCCAAUUUUUACUGUUCCAAAUCCUACUAUUUUUCCUUUGCUGUUUCCUCCAAAUGAGACUUUUCCACCAUUCAUUUGGGUGAGCUUUAUGAAGUAAUUUGAAUCCCCUGUCAUGUGUCUCGAGCAUCCACUAUCCAGAUACCAUUUCACUUUUUUCUUGAUAGUGACCUGCAUUCAAAAAGAAACUCAAGCUUUCUUUGGUAUCCAUAUUUUCUUGGGUCUUUUUGAGUUAGUCUGAUAUAUGGUUUUUGCCUAGACUUUAUUGACAGGUCUCCACACCAUAGGACAUUCUUUCUCAAAAUGAUCUGUACUAUUGCAUUUUGAACAUCUAAGAGCAUUGCGGCCUACUGGUUUUACAAAGUUCCUUUCAAAAUGAUUUUUGUAAGCAUUUCUUAUGGGUCUUUGUUUGAUUCUUUCCUUUACUUUAGGAAAAUCAAUUAAAGGAAUGGUUUCAGCAGUCGUUCCCAAACCAGAUUUAUUGAAAUAAGGUCUUUGAACAUAAAGUAUUUUCUCCAGUUUUUCAGAACCUAGAGAAAAUCUUUUGGAAAUAUUUGAAAUAUCCUUUUUUAAGAAUGCAUUUUCUUUUAAAAGAUUAUUUUCACUUUCUUUGAGAGAAGAAACGUUCUGGUCUAAGCAUUUCACUUUUUCCUCCAAAGCAUUCUCAUGUUGUUUUAAAGCAGAAUUUUCUUUUUUGAGUUCGGAAAUUCUUUUAAGAGAAGUCUUAAGACUAAAACAUAAUUCAUCAAUGUAUUUUGAAACUUUAAUAGGGAUUUUGAAGUUACUUACCUCGAAUUCACUUUCUGAAUCUGAAUUAGUCUCGGAGUUUGAUUCUGAAUCCGAUUGUGCCAUUAGACAUAUGUUGGCAUAAUCAUCAUCACUAUCUUCACACUCCGUAUCACUUCAGGUUUCAACUUUGAGAGCUUUUCGAUAUUUUUCAGUUUUUCCUUUCUUCAUUUUCAAAAGAGGACAGUUGGGUCUGAUGUGUCCCUUUUUCUUGCAUUCAAAGCAGACUACAUCUUUGUUUGAUUCAUCAUCUUCAGCAGACUUUGUCUGUUGCUUCUGAAAACUUUGUUUCCUUGAAUUGAAUCUUCUUCCUUUUCUGUUUAACUUUCUGAAUCUUCUUAUCAUAAGAGCAAGUUCUUCAUCAUCCAUGUCGUCUUCAGAAUCUGUUGCAUCAGAAUCAUCAUUAGAUCUUAAUGCAAUAGAUUUCUUACCUUUAGGGUCUUCGUCUUCAUUGAUUCGUUCCACUUCAUAAGACUGAAGGGUCCCAACCAACUCAUCGACAGACAGUGGCAUGAUUCUUUGGGUCUCUCUGAUUGAUGUCUUUAUAUGAUUCCACUCUUUGGAGAGUCCACGCAGUAGCUUGUUCACUUUCAUGGGAUCAGAAAUUGGUUGGCCUUGAUUUUCAAGACCAUUCACGCUAUCUGUAAAACGACUAAACAUGUCAGUUAUAGAUUCUCCUAGUUUCAUUCUGAAGGCUUCGUAUUGACCGAGAAGAAUGUUGAUUCUUGUCUCUUUCACUCGAUCGGUUCCUUCAUAAGUAAUGUGUAAUCUAUCCCAAACUUCUUUGGCUGUAUCACAAGAAGAUAUUCUGUUAUAUUCAGUAGGUGAUAAAGCACAAUAUAAUGAAUAAAUUGCUUUUGCAUCAAGAGCUUGUCUCUUGAUUAUCUCUUCCUGAGUCAUUUCGCUAGACUCAACAGAGUCUUUUCCUCUUUCUGAGACAGGAGCAGCUUUGGGAACAAUUCCUUUUUCUACAACGUCCCAUUCCAGAUGAUCCUUUGAUCUUAAGAACGCCUUCAUCUUGUUUUUCCAUAUGUUGUAGUCCUUUCCAUCAAAAUAAGGUGGUAUGGUGUUGCUUUGCCCUUCUACCAGCCCUAGAGCCAACAUACUAGCCAUGGAUCUUUAACUCUGAAGUAAAAUACUUCAAACAAAGUGAGUACACAGGCUCUGAUACCAAUUGAGAUAGCUAGUAUAAUCACCUAGAGGGGGGUGAAUAGGUGCACAAACAAUUUAUUGAGAUAUGGAAGCGAUUCUUGGCAAACGAUAGAAAGGAAAUUCUCUCUUGAUUAACAAAAUAAAAUAUGAUCAAGAUAAAGAGAGUAAGGAAGAGAAAAUUGAACACAGGAUUUAUAGUGGUUCGGCUUAAUUCAAGCCUACGUCCACUCUUCCGCACUGACAGCCCACCGGCUGGAUUUCACUAUGAUCAAAAGAGAAGUUACAGCACAGCUUUGCCUUGAUUCCACAGUGUAGAUGUUCUACCACACCUCCUCAAGGUUUCUCACAAAUAUAGACUCUCUUUUUUAUACAAGUAUUCGCUCAAAGUGAUUGCCUAAACAACAAGGAGCUUCGGACUUUGGAAUUCUUAUAUCGCGCACACCUCGAACAACUAAGAACGUCUUCCUUAUAUACUCCUUUAUGCCAUCAUACCCGUUGGCACUUACCAAAGGAAUUCCUCCAAUCUACCCGUUGGACGGAAUCAAUUAGGAAGAUUGUUCGAGCUAUUAAAGGAACGUGUCGAUAGCCCAUCAAUCCUGUUCGCCCAUACAAUCAGGAUCUCGGUUUUCAUAAGUAGAACCUUCUAAGAAUAUUUAGGCAAUCAUCGAAUCUUCAAUCAUCGAAUCAAUCUCGAUCAAUCAAAGGAUUCCAUUACAUCUUUUCCAGCCACGAGAUCUUCUCCAGUUGAUAAGGUUGAAUCCUUAACGAAACAUCCAGUUCUGGAUAACCUUUCUUCAACGGAUUAGAGACUGUCAAUGAGGAUAGACUUUGAGUCUUGAGUCUGGCUGUCCGGAGGUCUUCAGACUUUAAAUAUUAGAGUCUGCAAACCUUCAGACUAGACUGAUGGAAACGUUUUGUCAGCUUCAAAACACUUCAAGAAGAUUUCUCCAACAACUUCAAGGCUUUGUUAAUUGAGCCUCUUGUUUUAGGUCUUUCUCAUUCUGUUUGCAUCCCUAAGAAAGAAAAUAGUGAACCACCACAUCGUUUUCCUCUUAUGGUCGGCCUAUGUGAUGGCUGAUUGGAUAGAAGCAUUCGCAAUCAAGCUCAUCUCUCACAACCGAGGCAAUUCAUGCACUUAUGCAGCUGAAGUAGACGACACACUUCGGGCUUUUUGAGCCUCAUUUCUCUUAUUACAUUUUGGUGAUUCAGACGCCACUACCUUCUCUAUUAGGGGUAGUUUUCUUUGGCGACAGCUCUCGCUUAGUCUCAUCUUCCAAAUCAAUGCCUCUAUCUAUGUUUUUGUGUAGAUAUUUCCUAACAACAAGUGUUGUUAAUCUCAACGAUGCUGGUGAAGUUGUGAGCUUAAUUGAAUCUUUAAAUAAGCCUGCAAGCCUCAUGAAGUAUGGCCAAGCCCUAAUUCCCUCAUGAUGGCCAAAAAUUGCAUGUGCUAUGCACAUGGAUAUUCUAAACUUGGAAAGAUUUCAUUAUUUAAUCAAAUUUGGGGGAAAUAAGAAUGUUAUCCUUGAGAAUUUUAAUUGCAUGAAACUAAGAAGUGAAGAUACAUUCUCUUGGGUUUAGGCAGGUAAGGAAAGUGAUAUCUUGAAAAAAAAGGCUAAACGUAAACCUAUAUAAACACAUUGGUUCACGAGAAGGGGCUUGGACACAAUACACGCAAUAAUGUCCUGUGGUUGGUCUAUUUGGGAUUAAAAUAGAAUGUAUUUCUCCGGUAAUAGGGAUUUGAAAUGGGUCAUCAAUAUUUGUAAUUACAACUUGAGGAUUUAGAUGCAUGUCAUGUAAUUCAUUUUGAAAGAGUGAAUUAUAAGAAUCGCCUGAUAUAAAAAGUCACUGCACAUAAGAAUUCGGCCAUUUUAAAUAAGAGUAUCGAGUCCAAGUCAUGUUAGGGAUACUAAUACUGACAUGCAAAAUUUAUCCACGAGAUGAUGCAUUAAUUUUUCUAUGAAAUUAGUCGUUUGUGGAUCAAAUCAACAUUUUUUCUUGAGAUAUUUAUAUUUACUGUUUACUAAUUAUAGCAAUUAUGGUAGAUUCAAGUACUUCUUGAUUGGAGCUUAUAAGCUGUUAUAAUGGACCGAGACCCUUGGAGUGCCAAAAGUUGGCACAAAGGAACAUUUAAGUGCCAAAAGUUAUGAAACUGAUACUUAAGUGCCAAAAUCAUAGCAAAAUGGAUCACUUAAGUGCCAAUUCGGUCAAAAUGUUGAUGUAGCGAUUUUCCGGCGAAGCAAGUACAAAAUGGUAUCAUUUUGGUGUUAAUGUGAUAAAAAAAUUAAUAUAAAAAUUAAUUAAAUUAAAUUUAAAAUUAAAUUUUUUAAAAUAUUUAAAAAUAUAGAUAACUUUAAAAAAAAAAAAAAACUUCCCGCUGCUGCCAGGAAGGGCUGGCGAUGAAGGGGGAAGAUCGGCCAAGGUGGCCAGGCCAUGGCCAGGGGCCGGCGACCCUAGCUGACCGGCGACGAGGGCCCGCGAGCCCUCACCCCGAUAUGGGGGGAGGAUCGCGGCCCUCACCCAAAUCCGACAAGGGUCAAUGGCCCUCGCCCGGCCGGGCCAAGGGCCGCCGCCCGCUGGGGGUCGCCUCAGCGAGCAGCAGCCCUUGGCCCAGUUGGGCGAGGGCCGUAAGCCCUCACCCCAGAUCGCCCAACCCUCACCAAAUCUGAGCGAGGGCUCACGACCCUCGCUGCCGGUCGGCGGGGGUCGCCGACCCCUAGCCAAGGCCCAGCAACCCCGGCCGACCUUCCCCCCUCCGUCGCCGACCCUUCCCAACGGUGGCAGGGAGGCAGAGGCAAUAAGGGCUCAGCCCUCAAUCGCCUCCCUCUUCUUUUUUUUAAAUAUAUUUUUUAAUUUUUUAAUUUUUUAAUUUUAAUUUUUAAAUGUUUUAAAAAUUUUAGUUUUAAAUUUAAUUUAAUUAAUUUUUAUAUUAAUUUUUCGCCGGAAAUUGCGCAUGUCAACAUUUUGGCCGGAUUUUGCCAAAUUGAUACUUAAGUGAUCCAUUUUGCUUCGAUUUUGGUACUGUGUCACUUUCAUAACUUUUGACAUUUUAGUAUUCCUCUGUACUAACUUUUGGCACUUAAAGCAUAUUUUUGCCCGGAAAAAACCUAUCCCUUAAGAACCACGAAAAGCCUUCAGUCUGUUAUUAGGAGUACCUUAUUAAGGAAAGAAACUGCACACGCUGCACCAUCGAAUCAAAGCAAAUAUGGCAAGUUUUUCACCUCCCCAACAUCAUUUGGUUGGGAAAUCACAUGCCCCAAUAUCAGAUCAAAAUAUCAUCAACAGGUUCAACAACCUUUCCUAAUGUCAAAGGGCUGCAAAAUCCGUAGAUUGAAAAUAUAAGCAGCCUGGUCGACUUGAAGGGAUCCACAGAACAUGCAAGUUUAUUGAUACGCAUACUUGAUUUCGCGAAGGAACUCAUGGUAAAACUUCCCGGAACUUCACUUAUCAGAUUCUAUGCAACGUCCUAUAUGUAAAUAAAGAAAGAAAAUUUUACCUCCAGAGAGUAGUGGCUUGAGCACAAUCAUAGAGUACAUGGCGUUCGGCCCUACAAGGUCAAUUUUUUCCCUCAAAUUGGGUAACAUAAGAAACUCAGAGCACUCGCAAUCCACAACCUUCACCAAAAGAAGAUUGGAUUGUAAAGCAAAGUUAUACAAGCUAGCCAACUAGGUCUCUCUCUGCUGUUAAGUAUUGACUGGCAGCUGACUUGGUCGGAGAGCAAGGCCAAAGGAUGUAUUAGAAAGAAAACCAAAAUUCCCGGAAGUGAGUCCAAGAGGAGGAGUUUCUUACAACAUCACAAAUGCGGAGAGCUCACUCGUCCAUAUCCUCUUCUUCGUCGGCUUCCGCCUCUUCAUCCUCCCUCCCUCCUGAGCUGACCCCAUACAUUACACUCCAUUAUAUCGGAAGGACGGACGGAGGCAGAGGAGCCAUUGUCCCGCCGCAGUUUUUCCUGUUGCACAUAUACCUAAUGAGGAAAUACGCAUGGGGGAAGUCGGUCUCUUUAUCCUCUGCAAUACGCACCUCCCACCUGCUCAUUUGUUCAUCGGCAUCCUCAUCCAUCCUUCAUCGUCACCAUUGUUGUCUUCGACUCUUCGCUGCUAUCAUGGUUCUCAUUCUGGUCAUCGGAGCAAUUGGCCUGACCUUGUGCCGAUCUAGCCAAAUUCAAGCUCACCGAGCCUUGUUGACCUCUAGCGAAGGUUCAGCUAAUUGGAAUCUGGCGAGCUCAACCUUGCCUGUAGCAGGCGAUCGCUCGAAAGAGAAGCAAAAAGAAAAAUAAAAAUAAAAAGUAAUUAAAAUUUUCAAUUUAAGAAAAGAAAAAAAUAAAAAUAAAAAUAAAAAAUUAUUAAAAGAAGUGCACUAAGGUCCAUAUCAAACGGUGGAAAAUGUUUUCUCGUUUCAGCCAAACACUGGAAAAUAUUGUUAUUCUUCUAAAAAAAAAUAACUUCUUAAAAAACACUUUUUAGAUAUGUCAAAAAAAAAUUAAGUUUAUUUUUGGAUUUUAGCCAAACGGAGCCAAUGUAACAUUGACUCAAUCUAUUACAAUAAGUAGGUAAUCACUUCUUCAUUUGGACAACAUUUAAAUGCUCUCACAAUUACAACCCAUGAGUGGUAGAUACACUUAAAAUAGAUAAAUCCACAAUGCAUUGACUCGUGCUCCUAACAUUGACUCAAUGAGAGGUUUAGACUUUUGCGGCAGCUUCCUGGUAUUGAUGCUGAGAUGCCAUAAUGUCAAAUCCAGUGCACCUUCACCACCCGCAUGAUGAUUUAAUUGUUUUUUUUUUUUUUUUUUGGGUCCUUUUAUACUACCUCGCCGGGGACGUUUCAACCGAUCGUGGAGGAAAAUGUUUUCUGCCAACAUGGGCUCUUAUGUCAGCCAUGACGACCGGUGGGGUCCACCAAAAGCUAAUGAACACAUUCAAAAUUUUUCAGAUUCAAACCUACUCCGCCCCGCCCCCGCCCCCCCGGGGCGCGAAGUCGUCGACCCCGAGUCAAUGCAAAGCAAGACCUUCAAAAACCUCACUCCCCUCCUUCCCAAACCUCCGAUUCCGGAGCUCUUCCGAUCCUCGAUCAUCGUCCUCGCCGUGUUGAAUUAGGUUCCGAUAGACGAAUCGAGCGUGGCCUGGUUGGUCUACAGCUCCGCGUCUCCGAUGAUUUGAGCUCCGGGCUUGAGGGCGUCAGAACUGUCGAGGCCUCGGGUCACGAUCACUCUCGGUCGUUCUGGUCAGGUAUGUGCCGCUUUAGCUCCUUGGCGUCCUCGUAUGAGAUCUUUGGAUCAACUGACGUUUGUUUCAGCUGGACUCAUUGGUUUGCGGAUUCCGCGGUAGCUUCAGUUUCGUUGUUCGGGCCUGUAUCGACUGCGAUGAUAUGGUUUUGUUCGAUCGGUUAUGAUUAGGCGUAAGGUUGAUACGUGCUCUGCUUUUCUGGAGAAAUAUGUCUGAUUACGUGAUCAGUUGAACCCCGAGGGAGGCUCUACCGUCGGAUAACUGAGCUUGUUCUUUGCAAUUUUAGCAGCGGUUCCAUCACCUGGCCGUGGGAUUGGGCCUGUCACGGUCGAACAGAAACUUGUGGAACCUGUGAAACUUGCGGAACCAUGCCUCCUAUGGAACUGGACGAGUCCGACUCGAUUGCCCCACUUGACGAGAGCCUCCAGUUCAUGCGCUCCGACGACGAGGAGCAAUGGCGCUGGAAGAAACGGUCCAUCUACAGGGUCCCCGCACGCAUGACGGCCCUCAACCACAAGGUCUACCAGCCGCAAGUUGUCUCCUUCGGCCCCUACCACCACGGCAAUAAACGCUUCCUCCCCAUGGAGGAACACAAGCACCGCGCGGUCCGACACUUCCUCAAGCGGUCCAAGAAGCCUAAAGAGUGCUUCUUUGAGUCCCUGAGGGAGGUGGCAUGGGACCUCGAGGAGAGCUAUGAUGCGCUGGACCCGAAGUGGAAGGCAAGCAGCGGCGAGGGUGUGGCACGCCUGUUCCUGGAGCUGAUGAUAACUGACGGCUGCUUCAUGCUUGAGAUCCUGAGGUUCGCAGCCCACAAGGUAGACGACUACGCGCCCAACGACCCCAUCUUCAGUGACCACAGGACCAUCCACAUAAUGUCAGACAUUGGCAAGGAUAUGCUGAUGCUGGAGAAUCAGCUUCCGAUGCUAGUGCUGGAUCGGCUGGUGGCUGUGGAGAGCGAUGGCAAAAAGGUUACUUUCUUAGAUUUCGGUCGGUUGUAAGACGAGAAAACAUUGCAAGUACGCAAACUGCCAUACUAUGUGCACCUAACGGUACAUCUUUGUGAUCUCACGUGAACCCUACGAUGGAUCCACCGAAUCUAAUGCUCUAAAUAGAUUGAUUGCACGGUUCACAAUCAACCGAUAAUUUGAUUAGUAAAUCUAUCACCGAAACUUCAUUUAUUUCCCUUUUUCGCGAGUAGUAUCAAUACGACCACAAUCUCAGAUUCAAUGUACUGACUUCACUCCAACAACACAGGACGACGAAUUCGUCAGCAGGCUCAUCCUCGAGGUCUUCCCGUUCCCCAGAAAGGGCAUCACAAGCUCGGGCAAAUGCCUGCACGUCCUGGACGUUUUCAGGAACAGCAUGCUGAUGAAGCCCGAGAAGAAGGACGAGGAGGUUACUUUCUUAGAUUUCAGUCUGUCGUAAGAGAUGCUAUUGCAAGUAUGCUAACCGCCGUACUAUGGGCACCUGACAGUACAUCUUGGUCAUCUCACCCUACGAGGGAUCCGCCGAAUCUAAUGCUCCAAAUGCACUAGACGCACGGUUCUAGAUCAAUCAACAAUUUGAUGAUUAAAUCUAUCACCACCAUAGGAAGCUAUAUUUUUCCCCCUUUUACUCAAGUAGUAUCGAUCCAACCACAAUCUCAGAUUCAAUGUAUUGACUUCACUCCAACAACACAGGACGAAGAAUCCGUCAACAGGUUCAUCCUCAAGAUCUGCUCCCCCAGCAAGGGCAUCAUAUGGAUGGGCAAAUGCCUGCACGUCCUGGACGUUGACAGGAACAGCAUGCUGAUGGAGCCCAAGAAGGACAAGGUGAAGAGGGAGGACCUUCGGGAGAUUAUACAAUUGGCCCCGGCCACCGAGCUCAGCGAGCAUGGGAUCAAGUUCAAGAGGAGCAAGACCGAUAGCAUCAAGGACAUCUCCUUUGCGGGUGGGGUCCUGACGCUCCCCAAGAUCUGGGUGGAUGAAUGCACCAUGUCCAAUUUCCUCAACCUCACGGCGUUCGAGUACCUCCAUGCUAUGUAGCACGGACACUCUCCGGAAGCCUUCGAGUCGUGUCCGACACUCCGACACGUGUCCGACACGUUCCGACACGUCCCGACACGCGGUCAACGAGUGUCGAAAAAUUCGACACGUGGUCAACUCUCUCCGACACGCUUCGACACGCGAGUCCAGAAUUCCGACACGUGAUUCCGACACGCACGGGGUCAAUUUUAAAAAUUUCUAAUACUUGAAGGGUCAAAAUAUAAAUAUACAAAAAAGAAGUGAUAAAAGAAGUAAUAAAAUUACUACAAAUAUACACGCACAAGGUUAAUUUUUUUUUUCAGUUUUGUUUUUUUAUAAUUGUUUUAGUUUUUUAAAAGUCUUUUACUAUGAAAGAAGUAAUAAAAAAAUGCUAUAUAUGAUAAAUAAAUAAAUAUAAAAAUAUCAUUUCAGCAUUUUUCUUUAAAUAAUGUUUUUUUCCUCUAGGUUUUAUGUAUUAUUGUAACAAAUUAAAAUAAUGAAUGAUAUUAUUUAAUAUUUUUCAUGUAAAUUAAUUCUAGGCUAUUUUUAUUAUUAUUUAUUUAUGUAUUUAUAUAUUUAAUAUAUAACGUGUCGAAAUUCUCUAUUUUUAAGAAAUGACGUGUCGGCGUGUCGUGUCGUGUCGUGUCGCGUGUCGCGUGUCCGUGUCGAUGCUACAUAGCCUCCAUGUCGGGAUUGAAAACGAGGUCAUGUCCUACAUCUACUGCAUGGACCAAAUAAUCAACAAGGGGCAGGACGUUGCGCUACUCCGCGCCCACAGUAUCAUCAUGAAUUAUAUGGAGAGCGAUGAGGCGGUAGCGGAAAUGUUCAACUCGCUGGGCAACGUUGUGGGGAUCAACCCCAGCGACAGCCUCACGGACGUGAUCGAGAAGGUCAACACGUACCGCAAUAAGCACUGGAACAAGUGGAGGGCUAAUCUCAUCCACACCUACUUGAGGAAUCCUUGGGCUGCAUUGUCUCUCAUCGCCGCCAUCUUCCUCUUUAACAAGUGGAGGGCUAAUCUCAUCCACACCUACUUGAGGAAUCCUUGGGUUGCAUUGUCUCUCAUCGCCGCCAUCUUCCUCUUUACGCUCACCAUAAUUCAGACUGUAUUUUCCGUGCUCGACUACUACAAAUGAACACUUUGCCUCAGUACAACAGUAUACUGUAUUUUUUCCACUUUUUUUGGUUUUUCUCCUGAUGAUGGAUGCUCGAUCAUCGUCUCUUGAUCGGUUUGGGUUGUUACGAAUGAUUUUCCUCCUGCUUUCAGUCAUGUUCAUAUCCCUUUUCAAUUUUUUGAAUAAUGGACAUUUUUAUUUAACAUUAUCAAAUGAUGAUUCUCUUGUUUUAUUCUCCUUCAUGUUCAUGUUUGUCCAAUUUGAAUCGGGUAGGGUGAAGGAUGACCAAGUUUUAGGCAAAUGGAAUCUACCUUUGCAACAUUUCUUCUUGAUUAAAUUUGUUAAGUUGCAGUGAAUUUAAGUGAGAAAACAAAUAUGGCCUUCAAAGUCAUCUCUAAUCACCAUUUGCUUCAAAUAUCGUAAAAGAACCAAAUUGUUUGAUGUUAAUACCUAAAUUUGGUUAAGUAUUUAUGAUAAAAAUUGCAUAAAAAAAUUAGGAACCAACUGGACCUUAACAAAAAGGAUUUUCGCACCACCUAGGUCUUAGUUUUAUUUUACAAUAUUUUCGGAUUUAAAAAAGAAGGAAAAAAAAAAAAGAGUGAGGCCUGAGCAGGUUGGGCCUUCGCGCCCAGCCCUUCCUUUUUUCCCUUCCGCAUGGGCUCGGGCCCAUUUGGCCCCAGCUCCCCCCUAACGGCCCGGCUCGGCCCUCUCGUUCAUCUUCCGCCCACCUUCCUUGCGCUGCGCGCCAUCCGCGUAGACAGAGAAAGAGGGGGAGAGGACGGCGAUGCAUGUGGAGCAACGCGAGGACCGGAGGGAGACCCGGACGGAUGGGCGGGCGCCUUUCAAUACGGUAGAGGAGGCGGCCUAGCUAGUGCUGUCUCGACUGGUGGGAAGCCGGUUCGGUUGGGGGAGGACGGUCGGAGCGCCGAAGACCGACGAUCGAGGAGCCACCGCCGACCGGCCCCCCUUGGCCUAUGAAUAAGGCGUCAUGCGGAGGCCAAAAAGACACACACAAAGAGAGACACAGAAGUAGCGAGCUCCGACCCCCCCGAGAGUCAUCUGGGGCGUCCCGAAUGACCGAAUCUAAGAGAGAGAGAGAGAGAUUUGAGUUUGAGAGCUGUGAGCGAGGGUUGAGGGCAAGAUCUGAACUGUAAAAGAGGGAAGAGAGAUUUGAGGGGGGGAAAAAAGUCUAGAUCCAAGGGAGAGAGAGGGUCGCGAGGACCCGGCCUCGCCACCGCGUGCAGCACUGGCUGCUUGGCCCGAUGCCGCCGCCGUGCAGCCACCAACGAUGAGGCCUGCUCUCAUCACUCCCGUCGCCGCCUGCGCCUAUAGCCGUUGCCUUUUUGUCCCACAACGACCCAGCUGCCCACUAGGCUCGACCGAGCCCCUGCACCGUCGAACCCGCCGUCGCCUCUUCUGUCGAUCCACCGCCCUGUGACUUCCCAGCCGCCCCUAUCGGCGCCGUAGAGAGGCAGAGAAGGAGAGAAGCGCGAGUCGAGUUAGAGCCGGGUCGGGCGCGGGUCCAUAAUCGGGUAGGGCUUUCGCUGAUAGGAGGGAGAAACAGGCUAGGCUUGUGUUUUUUACUUUGUUUUGGGUCUCGGCCAAAUUCGCGGGCCAGGCCUCGCCUUUCAUUUCCUUCGCGGCUGAAGGGAACGGUUGGGCUGGGCCCCUUCGUGGAAACCAGCCCCGCCUGAGGCCUGUGCCACGUGGAGUUCCGACUCGGAUCCGUUUUUAGAAUAUGAUAUAUUCUUAUUUUAAUAUUAAAAAAUAUUUUAAUAAAAAAUAGAAAAAUCCCAAAAAAUGAUUUACACUUUAAAAAAAAUGGACAAACCCAAAAAUAUUUUAUAUUUUCCAAAAAAUCAGAAAAAUAAAAAAUAAUCUUCAAAAAAAUAAAAGCUUUUGAGUGGUUUUUCUUAAAAUAUGUGAAAAUACUUAACAAAAAAAAUCCAAAAAAAAAAAAAGUGUUUAAAUUCAUGGAACCAAAUAUUGGCUAAUUCCAAUUGCGCCCUUAUGAAACAUGGAUUUCUAUUUCCUAAAUCUGAUUAGGAAUCGAAUCCUAAAAUUCGUAAUUGGUACAAAAUGCUGUAUAAAUGCUUUACUUGAUAUUUAAAUAAGAUUAGGUAUCGGAAGGAUAUUAAUGAUUAACUAAUGUAAUCAAGUCUCUAAUCCUACUUUCUCUGAUUACGCUGGAAUGAAGAAUAUCUCAUAAUAUUUCACUUGGGUUUCUAAUCAACUCACAUCAAAUUGAUUAAUAAUGACUUCAUAAUGAAAUUGACUUGUAUGUUAAAAACUCAAAUCAUAAAUCAUGAAUUGGUGCGUUUGGGAGAGCCUGAACUAAGCCAUAUAUGCUUAGCGAGCCAUUAACCCCCACCCACCCCAGCGUGUAAGAGGGCGCUGAAAAGGGAGGUCACGUCAUUUUAUUAUUGAACUCAUUAUAUAAUUUGUUAAAAUGAUUUCCACUAUAUUAAAGAUAUUACAAAGCAUUAUACUUUAUAAGGAAACGUACAAUGAUAUAAAUAAUAAAGCUAUAAAUCCCUUGAUUUUAAUAUAUUUGAGAAUCUACUUGUGAUUUUCAUUGACAUUUUCAUAUUCUUCUCUCUUGAUUGAUAAAUGGGAAAAGUGCCAAAAAAGUUCUAAACAUUUUGUCUUUGUACCGAUUUAUUCCUAAACCUUUUUUUGAUGCCGAUUCAAUCCUAAACCUUUUUCACGUUGUGCCUAUUCAGUCAUUUCUUACCAAUUUUGGCCGGAUUUUGCUGAUUGGAAGUCGGUCAGCUGAUGUGGCCUCAUCGGCACUAACGUGGACAACUUUUAAUAAUAUUUUAAAAUAUUAUUUUUAUUUUAUUUUUUUAUUUUUGUCUUUAUCCUCCAGUCGGUGAGGGCAAGCCUCGCCGGCCCCCGCUAGCCAUGGGCGAGGCUCGCCCUUGCCGGAUCUGGCGAGGUCGAGCCUUGCCGACCCUCGUCAGCCAUGGGCGAGGUGGCUGGCGAGGUUAGCCUCGCCCUCGCCGGCCGUUGCCUCUAGCCGGUCACUGAGGUCUGGAGACCGACGGGAGGAAAAAGACAAAAUAAAAAAUAAAAAAUAAAAUAAAAUAUUAUUAAAAUAUUAUUAAAAGUUGUCCACGUCGAGGCCACGUUAGCCGUCGACGUCCAGUCAGCAAAAUCCGGCCAAAAUUGGCCGGAAAGGACUAAAUUGAUACAAUAUAAAAAGGUUUAGGAUUGAAUCGACACCAAAAAAAAAGGUUUAGGACUAAAUCGGCACAAUGGCAAAAGGUUUAGGACUUUUUUGGCACUUUUCCGAUAAAUCAAUGCCUUAACUCCCCUUCAAAUUGGCAAAUGGGACAAUCCCAAAUUCUCAAUUUGCAACGUAAGUUUCCAAAUGCGUUUUUGGAAUAAUAGCUUCGUGAAGAGAUUAACAAUUAGAUGCACAAAUAUUCUUAUCUUUUACAAAAAAAAAAAACAAUUAGAUGCACAAAUAGAACAUACUUAGUCACAAGAGUUCCACGAGCCACUUUUUCUCGCACAUAAUGAUAAUCUAAUUCGAAAUGUUUAGUUCUUGCAUAUAACACAAUAUUAAUUAACAUAUGAAUUGCACUGAUAUUAUCACAAAAUAAUAUUGAUGGACUUAAGAGAUGAACACCUAAAUCUCUUAAAAGGAAAGAUAUCCAAACAAUCUUAGCUAUUGUCAACCAAUUGUACCAUACUCUAUAUUAGCACUAAAUUGAGCAAUCAUUCAUUGCUUCUUAGCACUCCAUAAUAUACAAUUACUACAGGUACAAAAUAUCACAGUCAAUCGUCAAGUCAAGUGGCAAUUUGCCCAACCUUCAUCACAAAAGGCAUACAACUCUAUAGUUAACUUGGACAAGAUCAGCAUUUCUUGAUUUAUCGUGCCACUAAUAUAGCGCAAAACGUGCUCCACAAUUUGAAAAUGAGUCAUAGUGAGCCAAUGCGUGAAUUGAGAUAUAAAAUUGACUGCAUAUGAAAUAUCUAGAUGUGUGAUGGUGAGAUAUUAAAGAGUUCUGACAAUACUUAAAGAUAACGUUCGAAAGUAAUUUCGCAUUUGAGACAAUGAGUGCGAGUGGCUAUAGGCGUGGAUCUUGGCUUGCAAACAUCCAUUUGAGCACAUUCAAGAAUUGACAAAGCAUAUGCGGUCGGCACAAAUAAAGACUAUCAAAUAAUAUUCUAACCUCCACAACCAAAAAGUAAUAUAAUGGCUCUAUAUCCUUUAUUGUAAAUUCACUACUCAAUGAAGAAAUAAAUCCAUCAAGCAAGUUUGGAUCAUUACUAAUGACAAUCAUAUCGUCCACGAAUAAAAGUAGAGCUAGAAUGGCAUGAUCUGAUUUUUGAAUGAACAACGAAGUAUCUACAAUGCUGCAAAAGAAACCAAAUGCUAAAAGAAACAAGCUAAAAUGAUCAAACCAUGCUUUUGAUGCUUUCUUGAUUCCACACAAAGCUCUCUCAAGUUUGCAAACAUAAUACAGGUUUUUUGGUCCUCAAAACAAGGCAGUUGCUCCAUAUAAAUAGAUUGUGACAGAAAUAGAUAUCUAUAUUAAAAAUAAAAAAUAAAAAAAUUGACCAAAAAAAUAUUAAAAAUGCAAAACAACAAAUGGGGAGUAGAUUAAAAAAGAAAAAAAAAAUCAAAGCCCACUUGCAUCAAUCGUACAAUCUGACUACUCUCCCUCCUAUACAUCUGAAAAGACCCUCUUUUCAUCUAAUUUAUAGAUAUGUGAAACAAAUUUUUCAUUGGACCCUCAGAAAAAUAUGCAUCCACGGGAAAAAAAAAUGUUGAUAUACUGACAAUGCUAAUUUAUAAUAACUUUUCUAAUAUAACUAAGUACGAUGUAUUACAUAAUGGGAUGAGAUGCCCAUACUUUUUAAGUUUCUACAUUGAGUUAUGCAAUAUCAAUUUUGCAGACUUUAAUCAUCAAAUUGAUUUGAAAUGCCUGGGUUUGUCAUGUUUGGUGCAUGAGGACCUAUAAACUGCAUAAUGACUUGUCUGCAGUCUCACACUCGGUUCAAUAGAUGUUAAGGCUAUUGUUAAACUUGGAUUACAGUCUUUGCCUGUUUUGUCUAAUUGUAACAUCGGUAAUGCACACAGAGCUGUCUGUACAACGUAGGGAUUUUGAUAUUUAUUCUAGACAUUCCGUUACCAUUAGCACACCCCUCAUUAUAUGCAAGGCAACCCCUUCAUCGUCUCAUGCCAACUCCUAAAGCCUGUAGUUGUUUCAGAAUCAUUUUCGACAAAUGAGAGGACAAGGGUCUCCUUCUGUCUCGCCCCGUCGUUGCUGUUGAAAAACAUACCAAGAAACAUAUAUUUGGGACCAAAAUCAGUCUCUACACAGACUCGAGACGAUGGAGAAAGCAAAAACGGGACACACGAGUAGAAUGUCAUUCCUUGUAUGGGUGAGAUUAGGGACAUAAGGCAAGUUGAGCCCGAAUUAGAGACACUAGCAUCAUACACCGGAUGUAUCUUUGGCCGUCAAACUAGUUAUCGAAGAGGUGGAAAAAUUCACCAGCUUACAAGUCUAAACACAACCAGGCCACAUAGCCCCCAAGGAUGCCAAAAGACUCACGGAAAAAACCUGUCCCUUAAGAACCACGAACAGCCUUCAGUCCAUUAUUAGCAGCACGUUAUUAAGGAAAGAAACCGCACACGCCGCACAAUCGAAUCAAAGCAAAUAUGGCAAGUUCUUCACGCCCCCAACAUCAUUUGGUUGGGAAAUCACAUGCCCCGAUAUCAGAUCAAAUUGUUUAUCAACAGAUUCAACCACCUUUCCUUAUGCCCAAGAGCUGCAAAAUCCAAAGAUUGAAAACAUGAGCAGUCGACUUGAAGGGAUCCACAGAACAUGCAAGUUUAUCGAUAAGCAUACUCGAUUUCACGAAGGAACUCAUGAUAAAACUUCCCAGAACUUCACUUAUCAGAUUUUACACGACGUCCUAUGUGUAGGUAAAGAAAGAAAAUUCAUCUUCAGAGAAUAGUAGCUCCACCACGGUCACACAGCACACGGCAUUCGGCACUACAAGGUCAAUUUUUUCCCCCACAAAAUGGCUGACAUUAGAAACUCAGAGCACUGCAAUCCCAAACUUUCACCACAAGAAGAUUGAAUUGUAAAGCAAAGUUCUACAAGCUAGGCAACUAGGUCCCUCUGCUGUUAAGUAUUGACUAACACUUGACUUGGCUGAAGAGCAUGGCCAAAGGAUGGAUUAGAAAGAAAAACACAUUCCCCGAAGCGAGUCCACAAGGAGAAGAGCUUCUCACAAGAUCACAAAUUGGGGGAGCUCACUCGUCCAUAUCCUCUUCUCUGUCGGCUUCGGCCCCUUCAUCCUCCCUCCUGAGCUGACCGCAUACAUUACACUCCAUUAUAUCAGAAGGAGCAUCAUCCCACGGAGGCAGAGGAGCCAUUGUCCCGCCGCAGUUUUUCCUGUUGCACAUAUACCUGACGAAGAGAUACGCGUAGGGGAAGUCAGUCUCUUUCUCCUCUGCAAUACCCACCUCCGACCCACUCAUUUGUUCAUCGGCAUCCUCAUCCAUCCCUUCACUGUCACCAUCAUCAUCUUUGCCGAUAUCAUCGUGCUCGUUCUCAUCAUCGGACUAAUUGGCCUCGACCUUGCACCGAUCACAGUCGCAGGCGAACCCGUAGUCUUCCAUCAACCUCCUCUGCCUAUUCGCAUAAUUCAAGUUGACAGGAAAAUAACUCAGGCAGAUCUCCCUCCCUUGAGGGACAUCAUGGAUCAUCCGCACGAUUAUAUCACUAUUGCCAUCAGAAGCAGAGUCUACAUAGUCAAAUCUGCAAGCAUUUGGCAGGCAAUCGUGGUUGAAGAAAGAAGCUCUUGGAUAAAUACCGUAAGCUCUCACCGAUCUCUCCCCAUCCACCUCGCCCCCACCCCGCGACAAAACCGGCUCCAUCAAACCGAAAGCAUUGAGCUUGUCCUUCGACAGCAAGGCGACGAUCAAUUCAAGAGAAAACCCCAGAGGAAAAGGCGAACCCGGAGGAGGGGGAGGACAAACCGAGGCGAGCAGCGAAUGCAGGAACCGCGCGGCCGAGACGGUGUCGUCGGCGUGCGCCUCGCGGCCCUGGAGAGAGAGCAGUAGCUGAAAAUUGGAGGGAGAGACGGUGGCUAGAUUGCAAGCGGCGAUCAGGAACCGAGCCUGGACGUGGCGCUCGACAGGCUGGCCGUCGAGCAGGCGGGAAGCGACCAGGCGGGAGAGCGUCUGGCAGACCCAGGGGGUGUGCGACGUCGCGGCGGCGGCGGCGAGGCAGCCGGGGCCGCAGAACGCGUGGCGGCCGCACGCAGGGCACGGGGCCCCUGGCGGCGAGGAGGACGGAGGCAAGAUUCUGAAGCAGUGGUCGCAGUAACAAGCAGCUGAAGAAGAAGAAGAAGAGGAAGAAGGAGGUGGUGGUUUGGUGAGGGGAAGAGCAGAGUAGAGAAGAAUAGGAGAGUCCCUGAGGACGAUUUGGCCGCCGCGCAGCGGCCGCGCCGCCACCAGGGCCAGCCCUCUGCCGUCGAUCUCGGCGAGGUUCAGCAGCGAAGCUGCUCCGUCCGCCAUUUCCAGAGCUUUGUUUGAGCAAGCUUUAGGGUUUCUUUCCGGGUCAAGUGCCCGCGAAAUUCUUUUUUAUUUCCUUCGCCAGCCCAGGAAAAAUGGGAAAUCACAAUAGUGAACUUCUGCCUGGGGUCCCUCGCGGCUCCCGGGUCUCGCUUAACAUGAAUUUGACUAAGCCUAGGCGCCGAAAUGGAAAUUGAACUGAAUCACUUUUCUUUUUUUCAAAAGAAAGUUUCAUUCAUUUGUCAUAAUCAUAGGAACAUAGAAAAGUUCCAAGUUCCAAGCAAAGCAACUCACAAAAGAGCCGCAAGACAAAACGAAACAAAACCCAUAAAACAAAAUAAUACGGCUUAUAGUUAGCUCUCGUCCCAAAAGACUCGAUCUAUUACAGUAUUAAAAAUCAAUUGGCAGUCAAUCACCAAAAUCAUCAGUAAUGGGCAUCCGACAAGAUCUUCCCAUCCAGAAACUGGCAUGGCAUCCUCAACACUAUUGCUAUACUAAAACAACAACAAUAAUAUUUUGAAUCAUCACAAAUCUAACACUUCUAAGAAACUUCUAGAUGUAGAUUAGAACAAGAAAUAAAAGCUCUCAUAUUCAAAUUUACACCUAAAACAAGAGAGAAUAGAUUACACCAAAUCCAAAAAUCAUAAAACCAUGUCCUCAGCAUCCUAUUAGCUAGAUUUGUGACAAUUUUCUCACAAAUUUUUCAAUUACAAGUAGAUUUUUUUCUAUCAGUAACUAUAAGUAGGGGUGUAAGUGAUUUAGUUCAAUUCGGUUUUUUUUUAAACAAAUCGAAAAAAAUCGAACCAAAAGGAAAUUUAUUGAACCAAACCGAAAUCCAAUCAGAACCGAACUGAAAGCCUAGUUCGAUUCGAUUCAGUUUGGUUUGGUUUUCAAUUUUUACUUUUAUUUUUGUUUUUUUCCUACAUGCACCCCCUUCAAUAAAUUUUUUAUUCUUUAAAAAAAAUCGAUUUUUAAAUUAUUUUUAUUCUUUUAUUUUUUCUUCAUUUUCUUUCGUUUUCUUCUUCUUCUUUUUCAUUGGCCAAUCGCCGACUACAUCAUUGAUUGGCAACUAGCCAGCUGGUGAGCUCGAGCCUUGCUAGCUUGUGGCAAGGCUCGAGCCCUGCCUAAGUGGCCAAAUCUGACAAGGCUCGAGCUCGCCAAUGUCAAAUAAGUUUGGCCUCGUCUAAUCAAGCAAGGUGGAGCUGUUGUCCUCAAGCCUUGCCAGCCUGUGGCGAGGCUCUAAUCACCUCUGGCUAGUUGUAAAAAAAAUUAAAAAAUGAAUAAGAAGAUCGCCCAAUGAUGAAUAAGAAGGAAAAAAAAUUAAAAAAAAUGAUUUUUUAACAAAAUAAAAGGAAAAAAUUUUAGAUUUUAUUUGUUUGGUUUGGUUAACCAAACUGAUAAAAACCGAACUGGUUAAAAAAAAUCGACUUUUAAUGAGAAUCAAAUCAAAAAAAAAAAAAUGAACUUUUUUGGUUCCAUUUUUGACACCCCUAGCUCUAAGCAGAUUUAUUCACGACAGUGAGAGAAAAGAGAGCCGUAUUAGACCAAGAGAAAGAAAAAAAGAAAAGAAAAUCGAGGCCCAGAAAAGAAAAGUAUAUCAAAGCAGGCUAAAGUUUAGAGUCUGUAGGUGAAAUUUUUUAAGAGGAAGGAUUUUUUUUGGGGAGAUAGAAAAUUGCCGAGAGAAAGAGAUUGGGGUUGCGUCUAUCUUGUUUGAAUCAUAUAGAGCAUUUCUUUCGUGGAAAGUAAAUGCUAUGGAAUAAAUUUUCCAAAAAAUUAAUCAUUGUAUUGCUUACAAAAAUGAAAGAAUGAAAAAAAAAUCAUCAUUUACAAAAAUAAUUAUAUAUAAAUUAUUUUUAUCAACUGAUUAUUUUAAGCUUUGACAAAAAUAAAAUAAUUAUUUCAAGUGUGAUAAUUUUUUUAACAAUGUUUUUCAAAUAAUUUAUUUUUCGCAAAAAUAAUGUAGUCUAAGUUAGUUCAAUUUGAAACAAAUAGAUUAUCGUCAAAGGAGAGGUAAAUCUUAUUGAAUUAAUUUCAUUGAUUAAUCGUAUGCUUGUCAAAUUUCAAAUUAGAUAUGUGACACCGCAAGUAGAAGCAUCCAUAUGAAUUAUCUCAAAUAGGUGAGAUAUCACUUUCGAUGUUUGAAUUCAUAGAUCCUUUUCAUUCGCAUUAUUAAACUUCUAGUCUGUCUAUUCAAAAUAUCGACUUGGCCUGACUUUUCUAAUCAAGUACAUUAAAUCUAGGGAAAAUCUCAAAUAAGGACCCAGAGUGAGCCUACUUUCUCAAAUAUAGAUCCGAAAUAACCAUUGUUCCAAAUAAGGACCUAAAGUGGCUAACAAGUCUCAAAUAAGGACCUGAACCCACCAACCGGCCAAAAUGUUCAUUGGCUGGUGAGCGUGUGACAUUUCCAGUGGCUGAAAUAUGAGCAAUUUUGUCCCAAAAAAUUAUAGAUAGAAAUUAACAAACCCUAAAAACAAAACCCCCAAACUCUUCACGUUCUUCUUCUUCCGCUCUUCAUCUUUUACGUUAUUUGUCCCCUCAUUUGGAGAACCCAAAUUCUCCGUUGAUGGAGCAAGAUCCCUGUCUCCCUAAGUUCCAAAUGUACAUGCCCUCCCUCUCUCUCUUUCAAUUUGAACGAAAUUGACCUCGGUUGAACGAGAGUGUGAAUGAAAGUGUACGGCAAACCUAGGAAAAGAUAAUGAAGAAUCGAGGCCCUCGUGUUACACACAAGUGUCUCAAUAACGAAAAGGUGGCUUUACUCAAGAUUUGUCUUCUCCAUUGGAAAGAAACGAAGACAGAAAACAAAAGAAGAAGAUGUGAAGAAACGAAGGUAGGGUUUCUUGUUGUGUUUCAAUUCGUGUUCCAUUAACAGAAAAUUUCCGUGCUCCAAGCGAGAGAGGACAAAGAACAGAGAAGAUGAAGAGCAGAAGAAGAAAAAUGUGAGAACAUGAAGAGUUUUUCUUUUUAGGUCAAAAGAACAUGAAGAGAUUGGGGGUGGUUUUUAGGGUUUGUUAAUUUCUAUUUCUAUUUUUUUUUUGGCACCAAAAAUGUCACAGUCUCGCCAGUCGGUGAACAUUUUGGCCGGCCGGCAAGUUCAGGUCCUUAUUUGAGACAAUAGCCACUUUUGGUCAUUAUUUGAGACAAUGGCCACUUCGGGUCCUUAUUUGAGAAAAUAGACUUACUUUGGGUUCUUAUUUGAGAUUUUCCCUUUAAAUCUAAUUACUUGAAAUUAGUGUGUUAUACAGAAUUAGAGGUUGACAAGAAUAAACUGUUUGGAACCAUUUAUUAUUUGCUAAUAAUCUUAAAAAUGAAGGUCGCAAUUGGAUCUCGAGUGACGAGAAAUCUCAACAUGAACACUUUCACUUGAGCUUUUAACUUGAAAACUCUCGUAAACUUACGAUAGACGCAAUUAGUCAAAUUACAAGUUUAGAGAAUUGAUUAAAGAAGAAAAUUCAAAGAUUCGAUUCGAAAACACAAAUGGCCAAGCUAAAAGAUUCAACGUUAUCAUUCUAAUAUCAUUUAUGCAUUACACUCUACUACGACGCAAAGUUCAUAGUUCCACGAGUCAAAAGUUUAAUUUUCAAACGAAACCAAAUCACGAAGCUUAUAAUAUAAAGUCCCCGGGCUCUAUGAAAUACUCGAUACGUUAGAAGUCAGUAAUGCUCUUGAUAUAAAGCUUUUGACUGUUCAAAAGAUUUCGCAAACGAGCACUUGUUAAAUAAUAAAAUUCCGGAAACUUUAGAGUUUCAAAUACAUGGGUUUUGCUCGUGUAAUAUGCAGAAUAAAGGAAUAAGAAAUUUCGCAUAUAUUGAUGUGUGUAAUGAAGAGCACAUCUGCAUAUUUACAGGCUUUAUUAAAUUACUAUCUAAGAUAAUAAAUUAAUCAAGAUAUACGCAUGGUCAAAGAAAAACUUGCUAAUAAAUAUCUAAUUAUUUCAUGCACCAAUCUAACUGAUGGGAUCGAGAUUACUAACAACAUAUGAAGGUUGGGAAUAGAAAUGGUUUUACUUUCUUCAAUACUAGAAAUGGUUUCAUCAGCAGCACUUUUGAGCCCAUUAAUUCAUAAUAGCCAAUAGUAAAUGUAGACUUCCUGAAGAGAAACCCCAAUAAAGCAAACUUAAAUUUUGGUAUGUGAAGACAAAAGAAUUAUGACAGGACUGAACUCUUGAAAACAAAAUGAAAAGCCAUAGAUAGUUUUCCUGUUAGCAAUAGCAUCAUAUAAUCAAAAUUAGAUUAAAUUUAAUCAACAAAAGUAAUCCAACCAACAGUUUUGGAAUAACAAAUAAAUGUAACAGAUAAGCAACAAGCUUUGUAACAGAACUAGCAACAACCUUUUUAGUUUAUUUAAUAGAUCCACUUAGUUGCAAAAUAUUGAAAGAAAAAACCUUAUUAGCAGGUCACACAACCAACAAACCUCCUAGCUACAAAAAAAAAAAAAAAAAAAAAAAAACUCUUAUUGUCGAUCAUGUCUAUGUUAUUAUUUUAUUAAGGCAAGGGAGUUUAAUCGAAACUCUGAUCUAACCAUAGGCGUUGGACUUCAUCUUUGGCCAUGCCAAUCAAUGUUGGCCGAUCUCCGUCUCCACUGAACAACACCUAGUCACUCGUUGGACUAUCACCAAACCAAACUUCGUCGACUACCGCAGGAAAAAGAAAAAACAGAGUAAACCCAGAAUUGAAGAAAGUGGACCUAGUUCAGGCAUUUUGUCAAUGGAUGGUGGGCGACUCAACUAGAUUGUUUAGGCUCAAAAUUUAGACAAUAAAUCACGCUAACUACACAUAAACAUCACAAACAUCACAUAUUUUGGGACACGACACCUCACGGAUUUCAUCCUUAAGUGAAUAGGAGUAGCAUGGCGAUUCUUACCUUUUGUGGGAGAGAAUCCGGUAGCAAUGGCAAGGGGAUACGCUAAUCUGUCUAGUGAAGACACGCGAGCGACCUGUGAAGGCGGAGAGGCUCGAGACCCAGCAGUCACAAGGUUCUUCUGCUUUAGCUUCAAAAUCGCUGGCGUUGUGCCCGAGCCCGAAAUCAAGAAUGAUCCACUCGCGGUUUCUAUUGCCCGAGCCAGAAAAGCAACGACCCCGACAAACGAAGCGAGCGGCGUGUGAAGGCAAAGAGGGCUCAGGACCCAGCACUUGAAAAACUUCUUCCGCUUUGGUGCCAACGCGGCCGAGCCCGAAAAUGAAACCGACCCACUCGCAGAUUAUAUCGCCGGAACCAGAAAGGCGACGAUGGCAACAAACAAAGCGAGCAGCGUGUGAGGGCCGAGAGGAGUCGUGACCUAGUAGCUGCAAUUUCUUCCGCAUUGGUGAGGAUGUGCCUGACCCAAAAUCGAAACCGAGCCACUCGUGGUUUCUAUCGUCAAAGCUCGAAAGGCGACGAUGGUGAUGAACAAAGUCGAAGUGGAAGGAGCGCAAGAGCAAGAGGGCGAGGGCGUGAGGGCUUGAGGUGAGUGAGGACCGGGAAGGAAGACGAAGAGCUCCAUGUUCAAACGUGAAAAGACCUGUGCAAGAGAGAGAGAGAGAGGAGCAGAGAGAAAGAGAGAGACAGAGGAGCCAUUAAUGGCCGCUCAGCCUACUGCCGCCUGCAACUUGCCCUAGAGGAGAGAGAGUAAUUUUUUUAUUCUAACUUUAGAUGACACGUGUCGUUUUAUUAGUGGACCUAAUAGAUAAGUAUAUGCCAGAUUGGUGGAUGACGUGGCGCUUAUGAACCACUGAAUAUUUUAUUAGAACUUUUUUUUUUAUAGUUAAUAUUUUCUUAGAACUUCAGGGACCAUGAAUUCAUCCCUCAGCACUCUUCACUCUUCCAUUCUCUCCCUCUCCCCAUGAAUUCCCCUCUUCUCUCACUCCUUUCAGCUUGAGAGGGGAAAAAAAAAAAAAAGCAAGAGCAAAAGACCCUCCAGAGCAGAAACAAGUGGAACCCGUGAAACUUGUGGAACUAUUUCUCCUGUGGAACCGAUCGAGUCCGACUCGAUUGCCCCACUUGACGAGAGCCUCCAGUUCAUGCCCUCCAACGACGACGAGGAGCAACGGUACUGGAAGAUGCGGUCCAUCUACAGGGUCCCUGCCCACCUCACUGCCCUCAACCGUGAGGCCUACCAGUCGUGAGUUGUCUCCUUCGGCCCCUACCACCACGGCAAGGACCACCUCCUCCCCAUGGAGGAACUCAAGCGCCGUGCGGUCCGCCACAUCCUCAAGCGGUCCAGGAAGCCUAUGGAGCGCUUCUUCGAGUCCCUUAGUGUGGUGGCGUGGGACCUCAAGGAGAGCUACGAUGCGUUGGACCCGAAGUGGAAGGCAAGCAGCGGUGAGGGCGCAGAACCCCUGUUCCUGGAGGUGAUGAUAACUGACGGCUGCUUCAUGCUCGAGAUCCUGAGGUUCUCAGCCAACGAGGUGCACGACUACGCGGCCAACAACCCCAUCUUCAGUAAACAUGGGAGCACCCACAUAAUGUCACACAUUUGGCAGGAUAUGCUGUUGUUAGAGAAUCAGCUUCCAAUGCUAGUGCUGGAUCGGCUGGUGGCUGUCGAGAACGAUGGCGAGAAGGUUACUUUCUUAGAUUUCGGUCGGUUGUAAGACGAGAAAAUAUUGCAAGUAUGCAAACCGCCAUACUAUGUGCACCUAACAAUACAUCUUUGUGAUCUCACACCCUACGAUGGAUCCACCGAAUCUAAUGCUCUAAAUACAUUGAUCGCACAGUUCAAAAUCACCCGAUAAUUUGAUUAGUAAAUCCAUCACAGAAACUUCAUUUAUUUCCCUUUUUCGCAAGUAGUAUCAAUAUGACCACAAUCUCAGAUUCAAUGUACUAAUGUCACUCGAACAACACAAGACGACAAAUUCGUCAGCAGGCUCCUCCUCAAGUUCUUCUCGUUCCAGAGCAAGGCAUCACAAGGAUGGGCAAAUGCUUGCACGUCCUAGACGUUUUCAGGAACAGCAUGCUGAUGGAGCCCGAGAAGAAGGACAAGGAGUUUACUUUCUUAGAUUUUAGUCUAUCGUAAGAGAUAUUGCAAGUAUGCUAACCGUUGUACUAUGGGCAGCUAACGAUACAUAUUGGUCAUCUCACCCUAAGAGGGAUCCACUGAAUCUAAUGCUCCAAAUGCAUUGGAUGCACGGUGUUGCGAAAAGGUGAGCGAUCGAACAAUAAUAUAGACAUAAGAAGAAAAUAAAUUGGACACCAGAUUUACAUGAUUCAGUCAUAAAGACUUACGUUCACAGGGAGAGCAGCAGCGAAUUUCACUAUAGAUCAAGCGAUACAAGAAGAUUACACACUCAAGUCACUCAAACACUCUCUCAGUGUUUCCCAAGCCCCAAUUACACCCAAUAAUGCACGUAGUGUUUAGCCCCGAAAUUCCUCAAUAAAUAAUAUUUCAAUCUCACAAAGGAAUUACACGCAAAUCUUACCAUAAGAUUUAAUUGGCAUGAACACUAAAUUUUCUUGGAUGUAAUUCACAAACAAGAAUGACAGAGAAAAUCCCUCCCAAGCACUCGACGACGAGACGACGCUUCAAGACCAAUUCUUCACGAUCAACCUUCUUCCAUCCAUGGCCACAAGUCUAUAUAUAUAUAUAUAAGUGAUUUGCAACUUCUCAUAAGAUUUUGUUUCAUAUCUUGGAUGAUUUUAUCCAAAACAUAUCUCUGUAUAUUUUAAACAAAAUCCAAGUCCUAGUCAAAGUUGGACUUUCCUAUUUUAGCGGCCAAAUUCUCCAAUGCAUAUUCAAACUUUGGGAAGUUGAUCUUUGGAUCUUCUUUGCUCAAUUUCGAACAUCCGCAACAUAUACAAUUCAGAAUAUUUGGAAUUUCACAUUGAACUCAAACUCAAGACAUAAUUUAACAAUCUCCACCUUGGCUCGAUGUUUGAGCCAAGUCACAAUCGCUUUGCGAAAAUUCAAACUCUGCUGCUAUUCUUCCAUAGCCCCCGAUGGGCUCAACCGCCAUAGAUAUUAUCCAAGUCCAAGCUUCGCUUGAACUUCGCCAUAACUGAGGACCUCAUUAGAAUACCAACUCCACAUGCACCUUUAACUUUAACUGCUCCGCAAGAAUUUUCCAACGCAACCUCCUCAACUGCAAAUAAAGUAAAACCAUUGUUGCAUCCAUAUCUGUUAGAAGAUCGAAUAUGUACCUUGUUAAUUUCAGUAGUUACAGCAACCGUUGGCUCUAUAAGCUCCACCUCGCUACAAGCACCAUCUGUGUCAAUUACUUUGCUAGUACUCAUACUCACCACCUCAGGAGUUUCUUGUCGCAACUUCACCUCAAGCUGAACACCAUCCAGAUCCGUAUUAACACUGCCACAAAUACUCAUAGCCAGAAGUAUUGGAGACUUAUCAAGGAGAACUUCUUUGCUAUUAACAGGUGAAUUUAUAUCUUGGCACCACAACCGAUCGCCCCACUCACCUUGUGCAUAGCCAUGGAAUAUGCACCUUGCCCUCCAAUCGAGCUUACCAUCACUCACUUGAAAAUAACACGAGCAACCAAACAUUCUAAUAAUAGAAUAACCAGCAACGUUACCUGACCAUACUUCUUUAGGAGUCCGCCAUUCAAUAGCAGUUGAUGGGGAUUUAUUCACCAAACAGCUUAUUGUACUAAGUACAUCAGUUAGGAUUCUCCUAGCAAAACCAGCACUAGAGAUAAUUUUUUGGGCCGUCUCUAGUAAUGUUCUGCUCAUCAAUUUUGCAAAUUGUUGUGAUUUAUCGGCACUAGUGCGGUGUUUCACUAUGCUCUCUUUCAUGUAGAAUUUAUUUGCCAGCUUUGAGCAAAACUCCAUGCUAUUGUCAGUCUGCACAUGCUUGAUCGACUUACCAGUCUCCAUCUCGAUCAAAGCUCUUGACUGUAAGAUCCUGACACCGGCAUCAAACUUUUGCCUUGGCACAAACACCCAGGUCUUCCUCAAGCAGUCAAUAAACUCUCGAACAGAUGCAUCCGACGUCUCCGGGGCGAAAUCUGUCAUUGUCUUACCUUGAAGUUUAUACAGGCCUCCGUGCUUGAUUCAUUUCAUUAUCACCAAGGCACCUCGAACAACCUUUAGAACUCCACCUUUUGAAGAAUACCUGCAACUAGCCGAAUCUAGGGCACCCAAGGAAAUUAAGUUCUUUUUCAAUUCUGGAACGUGUCUUACUCCAGUCAAUGUCCUCACAAUACCAUAAUGCAUUUUGAUUUUAACAUCACCAACACCCACAACAUCACACUCACCGUUGUUCCCUAAGUGGACUUUACCACUACCCGUGUACUGAUAAGUGAUAAACCGGUUUCUAUUUAGUGUGACAUAAAAAGAACAACCAGAAUCCAAAAUCCAUCCAUCAAGCGAUGAAUCAUUAGUGACAUACAAGACACAAUCGACAUUAUCAGCUAUAGCUGCAAUAUUAUCUGCAGAAUCAACUAUAAUUCCCUUACCCUUCUCAUUUUUUAACUUAAGACAAUCCCUUCUAAGAUGCCCCCUCUUGCCACAGCUCCAACAGACAACAUCACCAGUCCUAGACUGACUACGCCUGUUCAUAUUAGUACUACUCUUACCCACACGCGUUCUAGAUCUUCCUCUAUUUUCACCUACUAAAGCUGCAGAUACAUCUUCACUAGAUUCUCUUCUACAGAUGUCCUCGCUCAGAAUCAAAUCUCGAAUCCCAUCAAAUGUCAAACUUGUUGACUCAGAGGAAUUACUAACGGCAGUAACAGUAGUAUUACAACUAUCAUGCAAUGAGGAUAACAGAAUCAAAGCACGUACCUCAUCUUCAAAGUCAAUCUCAACUGAACUCAAUUGACUGACAAUCACAUUGAAUUCAUUGAUAUGAUCUGCAACUGACGCACCUUCGCUCAUCUUCAAAUUAAAUAGACGUCUCAUCAAAUCGACCUUGUUGAUCGCAGAGGGCUUCUCAUACAUAUCCGACAGGGCUUGCAUCAAAUCAGCGGUGGUCUUCUCCUUCAAGAUAUUAAACACGACGUUACGAGCCAACGUUAGCCGAAUUACACCCAUAGCUCGUCUAUCCAGCAAAUCCCAAUCAGCUUGCUUCAUCGUCUCUAGUUUCUCCCUAUAUAAGGGCAAGUGUAGUUUCAUCUGGUAAAGAUAAUCUUCAAUCUACAUUUUCCAGAAACUAAAAUCCUUCCCAUCAAAUCUGUUGAUUCUCACUUUUACUUCUUCUAUCGCCAUCGAUUUGCUUCAACUUAGCCAAGCCUGGCUCUGAUACCACUUGUUGCGAAAAGGCGAGCGAUCGAACAAUAAUAUAGAUAGAAGAAGAAAAUAAAUCGGACACCAAAUUACGUGAUUCAAUCGUAAAGACCUACAUCCACGGGGAGAGCAGCAGCGAAUUUCACUAUAGAUCAAGCGAUACAAGGAGAUUACACACUCAAGUCACUCAAACACUUUCUCAGUGUUUCCCAAGCCCCAAUUACACCUAAUACCGCAUGUAGUGUUUAGCUCCGAAAUUCCUCAAUAAAUAAUCUCUCAAUCUCACGAAAGAAUUACACGCAAAUCUUACCACAAGAUUUAAUUGGCAUGAACACUAAAUCUUCUUGGAUGUAAUUCACAAACAAGAACGACAAAGAAAAUCACUCCCAAGCACUCGAUGACGAGACGGUGCUUCAAGACCAAUUCUUCACGAUCAACCUUCUUCCAUCCAUGGCCACAAGUCUAUAUAUAUAAGUGAUUUGCCAACUUCUCAUAGGAUUCUGUUUCCUAUCUUGAAUGAUUUUAUCCAAAACAUAUCUCUGUAUAUUUUAAACAAAAUCCAAGUCCUAGUCAAAGUUGGACUUUCCUAUUUUAGCGGCCAAAUUCUCCAACGCAUAUUCAAAUUUUGGGAAGUCGAUCUUUGGAUCUUCUUUGCUCAAUUUCGAACAUCCGCAACAUAUCCAAUUUGGAAUAUUCGGAAUUUCACAUUGAAUUCAAACUCAAGACAUAUUUUAACACACGGUUCUAGAUCAAUCGACAAUUUGAUGAUUAAAUCUUUUUCCCCCUUUUACUCAAGUACUAUCGAUCCAACCACAAUCUCAGAUUCAAUGUACUGACGUCACUCCAACAACACAGGAUGACGAAUCCGUCAACAGGUUCAUCCUCAAGUUCUGUUCCUCUAGCAAGUGCAUCACAUGGAUGGGCAAAUGCCUGCACGUCCUAGACGUUGUCAGGAACAGCAUGCUAAUGGAGCCCAAGAAGAAGGACGAGGUGAAGAGGGAGGACAGUGGGGACAUUAUACAAUUGGCCUCGGCCACCGAGCUCAGCAAGCAUGGGAUCAAGUUCAAGAGGAGUAAGACCGACAGCAUCAAGGACAUCUCAUUUGCAGGUGGGGUCCUGACGCUUCCCAAGAUCCUUGUGGAUGAAAUCACCAUGUCUGAUUUCUUCAACCUCAUGGCGUACGAGUACCUCCAUGUCGAGACUGAAAACAAGGUUAUGUUCUACAUCUACUGCAUGGACCAAAUAAUCAACAACGGGCAGGACGUCGCGCUCCUCCGCGCCCAGGGUAUCAUCGUGAAUUUUCUGGAGAGCGAUGAGGCAGUAGCCAAGAUGUUCAACUCGUUGGGCAAGGAUGUGGUGAUCAACCACAGCCACAGCCUCUGGGACGUGCUCGAGAAGGUCAACAAGUACCGCAAUAAGCACUGGAACAGGUGGAGGGCUAAUCUCAUCCACACCUACUUCAGGAAUCCUUGGGUUGCAUUGUCUCUCAUUGCUACUGUCUUCCUCUUUGCGCUCACCAUAAUUCAGACUGUAUAUUCCGUGCUCGACUACUACAAAUGAACACUAUGCCUCUUAGUACAACAGUAUAUUGUCUUUUUUCCACUUUUUUGGUUUUUCUCUUGAUGACAGAUGCUCGAUCAUCGUCUCUUGAUCGGUUUGGGUUGUUAUGAAUGAUUUUCAUCCUACUUUCAGUCAUGUUCAUAUCCCUUUUCAAUGUUUUGAAUGAUGGACAUUUUUAUUUAACAUUAUCAAAUGAUGAUUCUCUUGUUUCAUUCUCCUUCAUGUUAGUCCAAUUUGAAUUAGGUAGGGUGAAGGAUGAUCAAAUUUUAGGCAGACGAAAUCUACCUUUGCAACAUUUCUUCUUGAUUAAAAUUUGUUAAGUUUUAGUUAAUUUAAGUGAAAACAAAUAUGGCCUUCAAAGUCAUCUCUAAUCACCAUUUGCUUCAAACAUCCUAAAAGAACCAAGUGUUUGAUGUCGAUACCUAAAUUAUGGUUAAGUAUUUAUGAUAAAAAUUGCAUAAAAAAAUCAGGGACCAACUGGACCUUAACAAAAAGGAUUUUUGCAUCACUUAGGUCUUAGUUUUAUUUUACUAUAUUUUUGGAUUAAAAAAAAAAGUGAGGCCUGUGCAAAUUGGGCCUUCUCGCCCAGCCCCUCCUUUUUUCCCUUCCGCGUGGGCUCGGGUCCAUCUGGCCCCAGCUCCCCCCUCACGGCCCGGCCCGGCCCGGCCCUCUCGUUCAUCUUCUUCCUCCUACCUUCCUUGCGCUGCACGCCACGUGCAUAGGGCAACCUAGACAAAGCAAGAAGGGCCGAGGACGGUGAUGCAUGUGGAGCAACGUGAGGAUCGGCAGAAGACCCGGACAGAUGGGCGGGCGCCUUCAAUGUGGUAGAGGAGGUGGCCUAGCUAGAGCUGCCUCGACGAGUGGGAUGCUAGUUCGGCAGGGGGAGGACGGUUGGAGCGCCGAAGACCGACUAUCGAGGAGCCACCGCCGACCGGCCCCCCUUGGCCUAUGAAUAAGGCGUCGCGUGGAGGCCAAAAAGACACACAAAGAGAGACAUAGAAGUAGCGAGCUCCGACCCCCCCUCCCGAGAGUCAUAUGGGGCAUCCCGAGUGAGCGAAUCCGAGAGAGAGAGAGAUUUGAGUUUGAGAGCUGUGAGUGAGGGUCAAGGGCAAGAUCUGAACUAUAAGAGAGGGAGGAGAGAUUUGAGAAGAAAAAAAAAAUCCAGAUCCGAGGGAGAGAGAGGGAUGCGAGGACCCGGCCUUGCCGCCGCGUGCAGCACUGGCUGCUUGGCCCAAUGUCGCCGCUGUGCAACCAUCGACAAUGAGGCCUGCUCUUGUUGCUCCCAUCGCCGCCCGCCGCCUAUAGCCGUUGCCUUUCUGUCCCACGACGACCCAGCCGCCCACUAGGCUCGACCGAGCCCCUGCAUCUGUCGAACCCGCCGUCGCCUCUUCUGUCGAUCCACCACCCGGUGACUUCCCAGUUGCCCCCAUCGGCAUCGUAGAGAGACAGAGAAGGAGAGAGGUGCGAGUCGGGUCAGAGCUGGAUCGGGCACAGGUCAUAAUCAGGUAGGGCUUUCACUGCUAGGAGAGAGAAAUGGGCUGGGCUUGUGAUUUUUUACUUUGUUUUUGGUCUCGGCCAAAUUCGCGGGCCAAGCCUCACCUUUCAUUUCCUUCACGGCUGAAGGGCACGGUUGGGUUGGGCCCAUUCGCAGAAACCAACCCAGCCAGAGGCUUGCGCGACUCGCUCGGGCCAUGUUCGAUCGGGUCGGACGCAGAGUUCCGACUCGAAUCCAUUUAGAAUAUGAUAUAUUCUUAUUAUAAUAUUAAAAAAUAUUUUAAUAAAGAAGAAAAAUCCAAAAAAUGAUUUACACUUUAAAAAAAAUGGAAAAACCCAAAAAUAUUUUAUAUUUCCCAAAAAUCAGAAAAAUAAAAAAUAAUCUUCAAAAAAAAUCAAAAAUAGCUUAAAAUAGCCUUUGAGUGGUUUUUCUUAAAAUAUUUUAAAAUACUUAACAAAAAAAAUCAAAAAAAUUCCAAUUGCACCCUUAUGAUACAUGGAUUUCUAUUUCCUUAAUUUGAUUAGAAAUUGAAUCCUAAAAUUCGUAAUUAGUAUAAAAUGCUGCAUAAAUGCUUUACUUGAUAUUAAAAUAAGAUUAGGUAUUGGAAGGAUAUUAAUAAUUAACUAAUGUAAUCAAAUCUCUUAUCCUAAUUUCUCUUAUUGUGCUGGAAUGAAAUAAAUCUAAAUUGAUUAAUGACGACUUCAUAAUGAAAUCGACUUACAAGUUAAAAAUUUGAACCAUAAGUCAUAAAUCGGUAGGCUUGGGAGAGCCUGCACUAAACCCUAUGCUUAGCGAGCCAUUAACCUCCGCUCUCACCAGCGCGUAAGAGGUGCUAAAAAGGGAGGUCACGACAUUUUAUUGUUGAUCUCAAUGUAUAAUUUGUUGAAAUGAUUUCCACAAUAUUAAAGAUAUUACAAAGCAUUACACUUCAUAAGGAAACAUACAAUAAUAUAAAUAAUAAAGCUGUAAAUCCCUUGAUUUUAAUAUAUUCGAGAAUCUGCUUGUGAUUUUCAUUGACAUUUUCAUAUUCUUCUCUCUUGAUUGAUAAAUCAAUGCCUUAACUCCCCCUUCAAAUUGGGAAUGGGACAAUCCCAAAUUCUCAAUUUGCAACGUAAGUUUCCAAAUGCGUUUUUAGAAUAAUAGCUUCGUGAAGAGAUUAACAAUUCGAUGCACAAACAAAACAUACAUAGUCACAAAAGUUCCACGAGUCACUUUUCCUCUCACAUAAUGAUAAUCUAAUUCGAUAUGUUUAGUUCUUGCAUAUAACACAACAUUAAUUAACAUAUGAAUUGCACCGAUAUUAUCACAAAAUAAUAUUGAUGGACUUAAGAGAUGAAUACCUAAAUCUCUUAAAAGGAAAGAUAUCCAAACAAUCUCAGCUAUUGUCAACCAAUUGCAUGAUACUCUAUAUUGGCACUAAAUCGAGCAAUCGUUCAUUGCUUCUUAGCACUCCAUAAUAUAUAGUUACUAUAGGCACAAAAUAUCAUAGUCAACCGUCAAGUCAAGUAGCAAUUUGCCCAACUUUCAUAACAAAAGGCAUACAACUCUAUAGUUAACUUGGACAAGAUCCGCAUUUCUUGAUUUAUUGUGCCAUUGACAUAGCGCAAAUGUGCUUCACAAUUUGAAAAUAAGUCACAGUAGGCCAAUGCGUGAAUUGAGAUAUAAAAUUGACCGCAUAUGAAAUAUCUAGAUGUGUGAUGGUGAGAUAUUAAAGAGUUCUGACAAUACUUUGAUAUAAUGUGGGAUCCAAAAAUAAUUUUGCAUUUGAGAGAAUUGAGUGCAAGUGGCUAUAGGCGUGGAUCUUGGCUUGCAAACAUCCAUUUGAGCACAUUUUUUUUUUUGGUCGAAUCCAUUUGAGCACAUUCAAAAAUUGACAAAGCAUAUGUGGUUGGCACAAAUAAAGAUGAUCAAAUAAUAUUCUAACCUCCACAACCAAAAAGUAAUAUAAUGGCUCUAUAUCCUUUAUUGUAAAUUCACUACUCAAUGAAGAAAUAAAUCCAUCAAGCAAGUUUGGAUCAUUACUAAUGAUAAUCAUAUCGUCCACGAAUAAAAGUAGAGCUUGAAUGCCAUGAUCUGAUUUUUGAAUGAUCAAGGAAGGAUCUACAUUGCUGCAAAAGAAACCGAAUGCUAAAAGAAACAAGCUAAAAUGAUCAAACCAUGCUUUUGAUGCUUGCUUGAUUCCACACAAAGCUCUCUCAAGUUUGCAAACACAAUACAAGUUUUUUGGUCCUCAAAACACGGCAGUUGCUCCAUAUAAAUAGAUUGUGACAGAAAUAAAUAUCUAUAUUAAAAAUAAAAAAUAAAAAUUGACCAAAAAAAUAUUAAAAAUGAAAAACAACAAAUGGGGAGUAGAUUAAAAAAGAAAAAAAAAUCAAAGCCCACUUGCAUCAAUCGUACACUCUCACUACUCUCCCUCCUAUACAUCCGAAAAGACCCUCUUUUCAUCUAAUUUAUAGAUAUGUGAAACAAAAUUUUCAUUGGACCCUCAGAAAAAUAUGCAUCCACGGGAAAAAAAAAUGUUGAUAUACAGACAAUGAUAAUUUAUAAUAACUUUUCUAAUAUAACUAAGUACGAUGUAUUAUAUAAUGGGAUGAGAUAACCAUACUUUUUAAGUUUCUACUUUGAGUUAUGCAAUAUCAAUUUUGCAGACUUUAAUCAUCAAAUUGAUUUGAAAUGCCUGUGUUUGUCAUGUUUGGUGCAUGAGGACCUAUAAACUGCACAAUGACUCGUCUGCAGUCUCACACUCUGUUCAAUGGAUGUAAAGGCUAUUGUUAAACUUGGAUUACGGUCUUUGCCUAUUUUGUUGUAUUUUAUUAAUUAAUCCAUGAUGGGGUGCGAUUGGCACGCACCAUUUCGACUUGAUAUGCUACAAUGAAGGGGUGUGAUGGGGUCAUAUAAAAGACCCCUGAAGACAACCGUUGGAUGGCUUGAACGAACCUACGUUCAGAAAGUUUUCUUCCUUUCUCUCCCCUUUCCAUCAAGACGUUCCAUUCCUUCUUUACGAGAACAAUUUGCAUUUACGCCGUGAAAAUCGGGUGCUUUCCUUAUGAUCGCAUCCAGACCAAUGUGAGGUAAUAUUAUUCAUAUUUUAUCAGCAAUUCAAUGUUCGUUCCGGGGCUAAUUGUUGUUUGCGCAUCGGAUAAAGGUAAGUCGUCUUCCGCCGACUCGAAUUCCAACAUUGGUAUUAGAGCCCGGUCGCGAUUUCUGCCUUGUUUUUUCAUUGAGUUUUCUCGUUUACCAUUUGAUAUUGAGAUCAAGAGUAUAAAAUAUAACACUGUUUGGAUGUCUAAUGGUCGGAAUUGCCAUCUGAAAACUCGAAAUCGAAUCGAAACGAAGAACGGGUUUGAGGUUGUGUACACCCGUACGAUUUUCGCCUUUUUUCGAAAUAAUUUUUUGGCCAAAAUUAAUUUUUGAAUAUACAUGGUGAAAGAGCUCGUCGAGACGAGUCCGACGAUGGGUCGAGCGCCGCCAAAGGACGUCGAAUGCGCCUACACGCACGGCCAGAAGCCGCUACGCGUGGGCGUCAUGCGCCUAAAGCACUGGGACGACCGGCGCAUGCGCAACACGUGCCGGUUGGCGAACUAGCGCGUGUGACCGGCGCGUACGCAACACUCGCCGGACGACGAACCGGCGCGUGAUGACAUCUUUGUGACGUCAUCCAAUGGUUAGGAUGACGUCAUCGCCGGUAGCGGUUGGCCGGCCGGUCAUCGGCCAACGACUGACCCGACCCGAGGUUGACUCGACCCGACUCGACCGUUGACAGUUAAUGGUCGGACCAGUUAACCAGUCCAGCAGUCAAACCGAUCGGACCGGUCAACCGGUUCGGCGGUCAAAUCGAUCGGACUAGCUAGGAGCCGUUUAGCUCACUGGCGCGUGCGUCAGGCUGCGUGUGGAUGCGUGCGAGCUCCGAUUGGAGCGUGGUCGGUGGCGUUUGGUUCGUAUGGAUGUUCUCUAUACUGUGGUAUAAUUAUUUUUCAAUUUGGAAUUUUAUAAAUGUAUAAAAAUGUGUAGGAAACCCUAAGUACGUGUAUUUUUUUGGGAUUUAAUGUAUAGUUUAUUCAUUUGUAACUUGUAUUUUCUUGUGGUUUAGGAAAUACAGUAACUAGCUUGUGUACAAAUGAUGUCAUAUAUGCUAUGUAGAGCUUGGUUCGAUAAUAUCAUGAAUAUACUUGCAAUUUUCUAGUUGCUAGAAAAUUCGAACAAUGGUAGGAAAUUUAUUACAUGUUGAAUUGCGAUUUUAAUUAUAGUUGAAGCAUGAUUGUUGUUUGUACAUUGGUUCAUAUCAUGCUAUGUUUUUAUGUUAAUGGAAAAAUAUAGAAAUUACAUGAGGUCAUGUAAUUAUUUUAUCUAAUGGGAGUUCGUAAGUUGGUAGAAUUCGAAGGAGUUCUCACCUAGAACUUAAAAUUUGUGCAAAUUAAACUAAUUAAUGAUAAUAGAACAAUUGUACAUAGAAGUUGAUUGGGAACAUAGUGAACUUUUGCUUUUGUGUCUUUUGUUGAAUUAUCAUUAAUUUAGUUUGUCUUUACUGCAAAUUAAAUAUGUGUGUUACUCUGUAAAGUGUGCUAGUAUUGAUUCUGUGUUUAUUAUAUCAAUGUGUUAUAGCAAUUGAUUAUAGCUUCAGCAUCCAAGACCAUUGUGGCUGACCUUAAUAAGGGUGAGAAGUUGAACGGUGACAAUUAUGAUAUUUGACACCGAAAGGUUCAGUACAUUAUUGAGGAGCAAGAGGUUUUGGAAACCCUCAACCAUACCAUGGAUGAAUCUGAGUGUGGAAUUUCAGCUUAACAUGGGAGAGAUCUAGAAGCUUAUCAAGCUUGGAAAAAGAAAAAUAGCAUUGCUCGCAUCACGUUGUUGAGCUGUAUGCAAGAUAAUCUCAUGUGUGAGUUUGAAAGUUAUGAUAAAGCUCAAACUAUGUGGGUUGCCUUGAAAGAUAAGUUUGGGGGUACUAAGCUGAGAAGACUAAGCUGAGGAGACUCACCAUCAAGUUUGACACAUUCCGAAAGUGCCCAAAUGUAACGAUGAGGCAGCAUCUUCGGGAGAUGUCAAAUAUGAUUCGUGAGCUGAAGUCAGCAGAUCACUACCUUACUGAUGAACAGCAAGUUUAGGCUGUUAUAAGGUCUCUUCCUAACAAUUUGGAGCAUAUGAAAAUAAUAUGACGCAUAAUGAGAAUAUUGUCACUUUUAAUGAUAUUGCGCGUCACUUGGAAUUAGAGGAUGAGCGUUUAGAGGUUGCGAGAUCCUCUACCCAUACUUAUGUUGCUAAAUCGAGUUCACGCAAAGCUUCGGGCUUCAAGCGCAAGAGGAAUUUUCAGUUUAACAAUAAAGGGAAGAAGACUGAUCAUGCAUCAAAAAGGGCUAAGACCUUCCGACGCAAAAAGCGUGGUGGGAAGAAUGACAAGGCCAAGAUGGAGUGCUACAAUUGUGGCAAGAUGGGUCACUUUGCUCGUGAAUGCACUAAGCCGAAAAAGGCACCCUAUUACUCCAUUACUUUGAGUAAUGCUUUUGUUUCUAGUACUAUAAUGCUUGCUGAAUCUCAUCUAAUGUAGACUGUAGACUUAGGAGCAACAAACCACGUAGCUAGAGACCGAGAAGCAUUUGUGGAGUAUCGUCGAAUACAGUCUGGAAGAAGAUGGAUAUAUGUUGGGAAUAACUUAAAAGUUGAAGUGAAUGGUAUCAACACAUGUAAAUUAAUCUUACGUGGUGGUCGAAACAUAUUCCUGCAUGAUGUUCUUUAUGCUCUUGAUAUUCGACGAAACUUGGUCUUUGUAGUUGUUCUUCUUAGCUUAGGUUAUGUAUCGAAUUUCUAUGGUGAUUAUGUUGACAUUUUGUAUUGAACAGUUUAUUAUGGUUCAGGUCAUAUAUCGAAUGGUUUUAUGGCGUUAGACAUUGACUAUGAUCAGUACAAUGUUAAUGUCGAUGGUUAUUUUUCUUUAAUUGUAUCUUCUAAUAAUGUUGAGAUUGAUGCAAGUACUUGGCAUGCUAAAUUAGGUCAUAUUGGAUUGCAAAGAGUGCAAAGAUUAGCUAGAGAAGGCCUUUUAGGGUCACUCACUAAUGUUAGUCUAUCCGUAUGUGAACAUUGUCUAGCGGGAAAAGCAACUAGAAAACCAUUUGGUAAAGGGACUAGAACUGAAUUUCUAUUGCAUCUCAUACAUUCUAACAUUUGUGGUCCUUUGAAUGUGAGGGCGAGGCAUGGAGCCUCAUAUUUCCAUCACUUUCAUAGAUGACUUCACACGUUUCGGUUAUGUCUUUCUGAUCUCCCAUAAGUCAGAAGCAUUAGACUGCUUUAGACGAUAUAUAGCGAUGGUAGAGAAUCAAUUGAACAAAACAAUAAAGGUAUUGAGAACCGAUCGUUGACGUGAGUAUUUAUCGGAGCAAUUCAAGGCUCUUUGUGAUGAAGGAGAAUUGUACAACAAUUGACUAUUCUUGGUACUCCACAAUAAAAUGGGGUGGCUGAGAGAAGGAAUAAAACCCUAUUGGAAAUUGUUAGGUUUAUGAUGGCGCAAGUAAAUCUACCUAUCUCCUAUUGGGGAGAUGCGUUAUUGACUGCUGCCUAUAUACUUAACCGAGUGCCCCCAAAAUCAGUCACUUUCACCCCUUAUGAAUUAUGGACUGGUAGGAAACCAGACUUGAGUAAUCUAUGUCCAUGGAGAUGUGCAACUUAUGUUCAUGAUUCUUUCCAUAAAUAUGACAAAUUAGGACCUAGAGGGAAGAAAUGUAUCUUUAUAAGAUAUCCAGAACACUCCAAAGGGUACGUGUUUAUAGGUGAACAAGCUGAUGGAAGUGUGACCGAAAUGAAGUCACAAGAUGUCACGUUCUUGGAUAACGAUUUUCCUAGUAGAGGUGAGAUUGAUAAGGACUUCCAAUUAUAUGAGAUGGAAGAUCCUAAUAACACACCCACUGAUGUUGUAAAGGGAAAUGAAGAUUUACCUCAACAUGCAAGAACUAGUGGGAGUGUUGCAUCGCCUACCUAAUUGAAUUUCUUUACGAAUUGAAUUAUAGAGAAAUUCAAUUGCGUAAAAAUAAUCGUAAAAGUAUUCCCCGUCGUCGUUUAGAGAUUGAAAAUGAAGUAUUUAUGAUUGCUCAAAAAGACGAUGCCAAGCCUAAAACUGUUCAAGAGGCUCUCUUAUCCUCUGAUAAGGAAAAAUGGAGAAAAGUUUUGGAAGAUAAGAUGGAAUCAAUGAGGACAAAUCAUGUCUGGGACUUGGUUGAUCUACCACCCAAUCGUAAGGCCAUUGGAAACAAAUGGGUCUUCAAGACUAAGCGAAGAGCGGAUAGAUCUAUUGAAAAAUAUAAGGCUCACCUUGUGGCGAAAGGUUAUAUUCAACAAGAGGGUAUAGACUAUGAGGAAACUUUUUCACCAGUUGUAAGGUUUGCCUCAAUACGCCUUAUUCUAGCCAUCGUUGCACAGUUGAACCUUGAAUUACAUCAGAUGGAUGUAAAGAUGGUUUUUAAUGGAGAACUAGAUGAGGAAAUCUAUACGAAACAGCCAAUAGGUUUCGUAGCUAAAGGUUAAGAGCAUAAAGUUUGCAAACUUCAUCGCUCAAUAUGUGGCCUUAUGCAAUCAUCUAGAUAGUGGUAUAUUCGUUUUCAUCAAGCCAUAACCACUUUUAGUUUCACGAUGAUCGAAGAAGAUCACUGUGUAUAUGUCAAGCGGUUCGAAGAUAAAUUUGUGAUUUUAUCACUUUAUGUGGACGAUAUUUUAUUGGCUGGAAAUGACAAGGUUUUAGUUAUCACCAUAAAAGAAUGGUUGUCUUCUAAUUUUGAAAUGAAAGACAUGGGAAAAGCUGCUUAUAUAUUAGGAGUUAAAAUCAAAAGAGAUCGAUCAAGGAAACUCCUUACUUUAUCACAAGAGUCUUAUAUUAUGAAGAUUCUUGAGCGUUUUAACAUAUAACAUUGUAAUCCCAUUGAUACCCUUGUCAUGCAAGGUGAAGGCCUAAGUACUAAGAUGUGUCCUAAGACUCUAGAAGAAAUCAAAGUGAUGGAAACUGUUCAUUACUCUAAUGCAGUCGGAAGUUUGAUGUAUGCUAUGAUGUGUACUCGACCCGACAUAUAUUAUGCCAUGGGAUUGGUGAGCCGAUAUCAAUCAAAUCCUGGUCAAGCACACUGGAAAGCAGUGAAGAGAAUCCUGAGAUACUUGAAGGGUACCAUGGACAUCGACUUUGUUACCAAGGGAAUGAUUUACGCUUAUUAGGCUAUUCAGAUACCGAUUGGGGUGGAGACCUGGAUAAGCAUAAAUCAACUUAUGGAUAUGCGUUCUUGCUCAAUGGAGGUGCAAUUUCUUGGAAUAGCAAGAAACAGACAUGCACGGCCUUAUCUACGAUGGAGGCAGAAUUUAUUGCAUGCUCUGCCGCAGUGCAAGAAGCAGUAUGGCUAAAACGUUUCUUAGAAAAUUUAGCCACUGUCACUAAGGUUCCAAGACCGGUGAUAAUUUAUUGCGAUAAUCAAGCAGUGAUUGCCUAUGUGAAAGAUCCCAAGUAUCAUGGAAGGACAAAGCAUAUUGACAUAAAAAAACAACUUCAUAAGAGAUAUAAUAGCGUAGAAAUAAGUGAUCCUACAAUAUGUUUCAACCAAUAGAAUGGUUGCCGAUCCAUUUACGAAGGCUAUUCCUAAAGACAUAUUCUUGACCCAUAGGAUGUCAUUAAGAUUGCGUAGAAUGUGAUAUGUGUUAUUGUAGAGGAUCAUUGGUUUAUGUAUUUGUGAACAUAUGUAUUGUACUUGUUUGUUUAUUAGUGUCUUGAUAUUUUUAUCAAUAAGUACGAAUACAGUAUGAGACAAGCACUACACACACAUAUUAUUGAAAAGUAUGUCAACAGGCAAUGAUUGGCUCACUCACACGAGCAAUCGCCUCAAGUGCUUUAGAUAGCACAUUGAGAUGAGACGUUAUGUCCAAAUAAAUGAUGAAGAGCAAUUCUAGUACAUAAAAUAUGUUGCCUUGAUUGUAGUCAAUAUGAGGUCUGUGAUUUGUUUAUAACAAGACCGAAUAUGAUAGUCUCACAAUCAUGUAUACCUAAAAGAUGCUAGAUGCGAGUACUUAAUUGGGAGUUAUAGAAAGCGAGCUGAUAUAGCAGUCAGGCUAAACAUGAGUACGUGAGAAGCACAUGACUAUGUUUGGGCUAAGAUCUGUAUAAUGGAUAUUUUGAUAAAUGACAUACGCUUUUAUAGAAAGAGUAAUCCACUAUAACAUGUAAUUCAUACUACAUGUGCAUUGUACGACCAAUAAGGGAAGAUGAGUAAAAUUAUCCUUAUUUACUCAUCGUGUAAGCCUUUGAGGUAAUUUAUAAUUUACCUCAUUAUGUGCCCCAUGUUACUUUUGAUUAUGUUCUCAAAGUAAAAGAUCAAUGUUGCUACUUUAGCAUGUUAUCGGCAGUCAUGAAUAGAUAUGGCCUUAUGGGAUGUGUCUAGGAAAGCAGUUGUUUUGAAAUGGAGAAAGACAUGAGUGCGAAGGAAAACUAUUGUUGUUUUACAUCUAUUACAUGUAUUUACUGGUUGACCAAUUAUAUCGCCUUAUGUGGUUGCGGAUAUAAUUGUAAAUACAUGAUGUGUUUUUGAGGAUAGUCAAGUAUAGCCUUUAAGGGAUAGGUAUACUUGGAUUGAUAUAACAAAAUAUGUCUAGGGCACUGUGAGACAUCAAUUGUUUAUUUCUUUUCAGGAUUGCAACCAUUAUGUCAUCCCUAACAGGUGCAUAAUUUGAGCUCCCAAGUGCAUGUGUACUCACUGGUCGCACGGCUUACUUGCUAGUAUGAAUUAUUUUGUAAAGUUGAUGAAUGUUGAACGCCCCAUAUUCUUGAAAGAGAGCUAUCAAGCCUAUCAUGUCCGAGUGGGAGAUGUUGUAUUUUAUUAAUUAAUACGUCCAUGAUGGGGUACGAUUGGCACGCACCAUUUCGACUUGAUAUGCUACUAUGAAGGGGUGUGAUGGGAUCAUAUAAAAGACCUCUGAAGACAACCGUUGGACGGGUUGAACGAAUGUACAUUCAGAAAGUUUUCUUCCUUUCUCUCCCCUUUCCAUCAAGGUGUUCCAUUCCUUCUUUACGAGAACAGUUUGCAUUUACGCCGUGUAAAUCAGGUGCUUUCCUCGUGAUCGCAUCCAAACCAACGUGAGGUAAUAUUGUUCGUGUUUCAUUGGCAAUUCAACGUUCGUUCUGGGGCUAAUUGUUGUUUGCGCAUUGGAUAAAGGUAAGUCGUCUUCCGCCGACUUGAAUUCCAAUAGUCUAAUUGUAACAUCGGUAAUGCACACAGAGCUGUCUGUACAAUGUAGAGAUAUUGAUAUUUAUUCUAGACAUUCCAUUACCAUUAGCACACCCCUCAUUAUAUGCAAGGCAACCCCUUCAUCGUCUCAUGCCGACUCUUAAAGCCUGUAGUUGUUUCAGAAUCAUUUUCGACAGACGAGAGGACAAAGGGUCUCCUUUUGUCUCGCCCCGUCGUUGCUGUUUAAAAACAUACCAAGAAACAUAUAUCUGGGACCAAAAUCAGUCUCUACACAGACUCAAGACUAUGGAGAAAGUAGGAAGGGGACACGUGGGUAGAAUGCCAUUCUUUGUGUGGAUGAGAUUAGGGACAUGAGGCAAGUUGAGCUCGGAAUCGAGACACUAGCAUCAUACACCGGAUGUAUCUUUGGCCAUCAAACUAGUUAUCUAAGAGGUGGAAAAAUUCACGAGCUCACGAGUCAAAACACAACCAGCCUACAUAGCCCCCAAGGAUGCCGGGAGACUCGCGGAAAAAACCUGUCCCUUAAGAACCACGAAAAGCCUUCAGUCUGUUAUUAGCAAUACGCUAUUAAGGAAAGGAACAGCACACACUGCACAAUCGAAUGAAAGCAAAUAUGGCAAGUUCUUCACCUCCCCAACAUCAUUUGGUUGGGAAAUCACAUGCCCCACUAUCAGAUCAAAUUAUCAUCAACAGGUUCAACAAUCUUUCCUAAUGUCAAAGAGCUUCAAAAUCCGUAGAUUGAAAAUAUAAGCAGCCUGGUUGACUUGAAGGGAUCCACAAAAACAUGCAAGUUUAUUGAUACGCAUACUUGAUUUCGCGAAGGAACUCAUGGUAAAAUUUCCCAGAACUUCACUCAUCAGAUUCUAUGCGACGUCCUAUAUGUAAAUAAAGAAAGAAAAAUUCACCUCCAGAGAGUAGUGCUUGAGCACAGUCACAGAGUACAUGGCGUUCGGCCCUACAAGGUCAAUUUUUUCCCUCAAAUUGGGUAACAUUAGAAACUCAGAGCAAUCGCAAUCCACAACCUUCACCAAAAGAAGAUUGGAUUGUAAAGCAAAGUUAUACAAACUAGCCAACUAGGUCUCUCUCUGAUGUUAAGUAUUGACUGGCAGCUGACUUGGUCGGAGAGCAAGGCCAAAGGAUGUAUUAGAAAGAAAACCAAAAUUCCCGGAAGUGAGUCCAAGAGGAGGAGUUUCUUACAACAUCACAAAUGCGGGGAGCUCACUCGUCCAUAUCCUCUUCUCCAUCGACUUCCGCCUCUUCAUCCUCCCUCCUGAGCUGACCCCAUACAUUACACUCCAUUAUAUCGGAAGGACGGAUGGAGGCAGAGGGGCCAUUGUCCCGCCGCAGUUUUUCCUGUUGCACAUAUACCUAAUGAGGAAAUACGCAUGGGGGAAGUCGGUCUCUUUAUCCUCUGCAAUACCCACCUCCCACCUGCUCAUUUGUUCAUCGGCAUCCUCAUCCGUCCCUUCAUUGUCACCAUUGUCAUCAUCGCUGCUAUCAUGGUUCUCAUUCUGGUCAUCGGAGCAAUUGCCUCGACCUUGCGCCGAUCUAGCCAAAUUCAAGCUCACCAAGCCUUGUUGACCUCUAGCGAAGGUUCAGCUAAUUGGAAUCUGGCGAGCUCAACCUUGCCUGUAGCAGGCGAUCGGCCGAAAAAGAAGCAAAAAGAAAAAUAAAAAUAAAAAUAAAAAGUAAUUAAAAUUUUCAAUCAAUUAAAAAAAAGAAAAAAUAAAAAUAAAAAUAAAACAUUAUUAAAAUGAGUGCACUGAGGUCCAUAUCAAACGGUGGAAAAUGUUUUCUAGAUCUUUUUAACGUUUUAGCCAACCACUGGAAAAUAUUAUUAUUUUUCUAAAAAAAUGACUCCUUAAAAAACACUUUUUAGAUAUGUUAAAAAAAAUUAUUUUUUAAGUUUAUUUUUGGAUUUCAACCAAACAGAGCCAAUGUAACAUUGACUCAAUCUAUUAAAAUAAGUAGGUAAUCACUUCUUCAUUUGGACAACAUUUAAAUGGUCUCAUAAUUACAACUCAUGAGUGGUAGAUACACUUAAAAUAGAUAAAUUCACAAUGCAUUUGACUCGUGCUCCUAAAUUUUCUCUCUUUUUUUCUCCCCUUCUUGCACACAAUAUGUGUGCCCUAAUGCUAAUGAAUUUACUUUAUAUCUUUUACACCCUAGCUUCGCAAAGAUUCUUCUCAGAGCAAAAGUAGUGUGCCUUUAAGGGCGCGCAUGACAAAAUUUAUGUUUCUUGAUUUCUCUGUUUCUCUGUUCUCCGGAACAGGUUUGGAACAAAAAUCCGUUUGGUAAUGCAAUUUGAUUUCUCUAUUUCUGAAACAGAUUUCUAUUCCAGAAAUAGAGAAAUUGAAGAAAUCAGAAGCUAAAAUUUUUAACUUCUCAGUUUCUGAAAUAGAAAUCAGAAACUAAAAUCAAACCAUAUAAAAGAACCUUGCACUUUCUUGCUAACUUAAUUCACUCUUAACCACAACUUCACAAAUUAUUGCUAAUUUUCUUUUUCUUAUUUUGCUCGUGUUUUUUUUUUUUUUUUUGCAUUUUUUUUCAAUUUUUUUUAUAACUUCCUCUUUAGGAUGAAAGGCAAUUGAAUGGGUCCCCAAUUUUCAAAAACGACCAAAGUUCUUAAAUGCUUACUUAAAAACAAUGAGGCUCUUUCCUCCUAGAAAAGACACGCGCAUGGCUAGUUGAAGAAAAAGUUCUUACAUAAUAGAUGAAUAAAAAACUUGCCUAGAAAUUUAACCUUAUUUUUUUAUGGAUUCAAAAUUCUUGCAAAAUCAAAAUAAUUAGAUUGUUACACAAUUUUGAAUUUUAAUUCGAAGACAAGAGAUUCAAGAGAAUCUCUCUCUUUGCUAUGCAAGGGUCAUUAAAGGUUCAUUGAGCAACAAUAAAGAAAUUAGGGAUGAGUAAUUGGACUGAUUCAAUUUGAGAAUCAAAAUAAACCGACCUUCCCCCGAUUGUUUCCUAACCAUAAACAUUACUUUAAGGUAGAAUUCUCAUAUAUUCCUUUACACCAUUAAUUUUAUUUUGUUGAUAAUAUUGUAUAAUACUAGUUUUUGAUAAAAUGACAAGGCUGUAUAGGCGCCAUUAAUGGCACCCAUAUUCAUGCUUCCGCAGUACUUGUCUGAACCUACGCAGGAUGAGCUUGCAAAUGAUACAUUGACCGAGGAGGGAAACCAAAAAAAUAUGCUUAGAAAAACAAUUGCUAAUAAAAUAGCAAGGGAUAAUAAUAUGCCAGAAAUUCCAUGAAAUUGUAUUUUCAACUUUUGUAAUGUAUUAGUAUUAUUUCGACUAUUAUUUUGUAUUUGAGGAUUUCCUAUGUUGUUAUCUAAUCAAUUUCUAUUCCUAGAAAUAGAAAUUUUGUUUUGUUAUCAAACGGAAUUCUGUUUCAGAAAUAGAAAUUUUGAGUCGUUAUCAAACAGGUUUCUUUGCUCAGAAACUUGUCCGGGGAAUAGAAAUUAAGGGCCUAUUUGGCAACGUGCCAAACAGUGCCAGAUUCUGAUUUUUUGUUCCCAGAAUCAGUUUGGGACGAGAAUCGCGUUUGGUAAAAUUUUUGUUCCCGGGAACGAUUUUGGACAAGAUUUGAGAAUAAAAAAAAAUUUGAUUCUACGUCCGAGAAUCAGAAAAAGAAUCAAAACGAUAAAACCCUUAUUCUUCUCUUUCAUCAUCUCAGUUGCCAUCCGCCGUCGCCCGCCGCCGUCCGCCACCGCCCGCCGCCACCCGCCGGUCGCCGGUCCGCCGCCGGUCGCUGGAGGCUCGCCAGGCCAGGGCAAGGUCCGGCGAGCUCGCCGGAGGAAAGCCCAGCCACCAGCAAGGCUCGGCUGAUGAAGGCCGACCUCGCCGAGGGCCGGCGACGCUCCGGUGAGCGUCGCCGGCCCUCAUUUGGCUGGUCACCGGUCCGGCGACCGGCCAAAUGAAGAAGAAGAAGAAGAAUAGGAAAAAAGGGAAAAAAAAAAAAAGGAAAAAAAGAGAAGAAAAAAGUAAAAAAGUAAAGAAAUUAUUUAAAAUCUAUUUAAAAAAAAAUGGAACAGAAUCAAUUAAUACGGUACCAAACGCAAUUCUAUUCCAGAAUAAAAAAUUUUGAACAGUUACCAAACGCGCUUUUUUACUCAGAAUCAGCUCCCGGAAACAGAAUCGUUGCCAAACGUGCCAGAAAUUAAUUUCUGUUUCAAAAAUUUUGUCAUGCGCAGCCUAAUCAGUUCUUUUUUUAAUCAGUCUUUGAGCAAGAAAGGAAUGUGCCCCUGUUGACUUAUUUGGGACUAAAACUGAAUGUGUUGCCCGCGUGAAAGGGACCCGGAAUGAGUUCAUCAAUAUGCGUAAUUAGGGCUUAACCAAUUCAUCAAAUGACGUAUUAAUCUGAUCGGGUGAUGGAAUUAGUCACUUUCGGAUUUAAUCGUCCUUGCAAUAUAUUUGAGUUUAGAGUUUACUAAUUAUUGCAGUUAUAUAGGAUCCAAGUGCUUCUCGAUUGGCACUCAUAAGCAAUUAUGAUGGACUCGAGCUCUUCUUGAUGGGAGCUCAUAAAUGCCUGCAACCAGUGGAAGUAUUUGAGUUUCAUACAAGACGGUUACAAUCCGUCUUAUGUGCCAUAUGAAGUUAAUUAACAAGAAGUUAUAUGAUUGUCAUGAGCUAACGGUACACACAUAAUAUCAUUACAUCACUAUACAUGCGAUGUAUGCAUAAAAAUAAAUGCAUCGAAUACUAAAUAUGAGACUCAAGUAAAAGAUCUGGAAUAUCUCAAAUAUAUAAUAUAAAAAAUUACGACAAAAAAGAAGUACUAUUUUAAAUCCAGCAUGACAUCAAAUAUGCAAAGCCGGUGUCCAAAUUGUCAUUACAUGUAUUCAAUCCAUAGGAGCCCUUCGACUUAGGGAGACACUCGGGCGUUGCGUGCGUGAAAUACCAAUCCUCGUGCGCAAAAAGUGAGCCACGCGUACAUGACUUGUCCCGUGAUGGUUGGCCCGGGUUCCAACCACCCCCAACCUCCCCGGGUCCCCCGGGCGGGGUGCGAAGUCGUCGACCCCGAGUCAAUGCAAGGCAAGACCUUCAAAAACCUCACUCCCCUCCUUCCCACACCUCCGAUUCCGAGCUCUUCCGAUCGGCGAAUCGAUCGUGGCCUGGUUGGUCUACAGCUCCGCGUCUCCGAUGAUUUAAGCUCCGGGCUUAAGGGCGUCAGAAUUGUCGAGGCCUCGGGUCACGAUCACUCUCGGUCGUUCUGGUCAGGUAUGUGCCGCUUUAGCUCCUUGGCGUCCUCGUAUGAGAUCUUUGGAUCAACUGACGUUUGUUUCAGCUGGACUCAUUGGCUCAUUGGUUCGCGGAUUCCGCGGUAGCUUAAGUUUCGUUGUUCGGGCCUGUAUCGACUGCGAUGAUAUGGUUUUGUUCGAUCGGUUAUGAUGAGGCGUAAGGUUGAUACGUGCUCUGCUUUUCUGGAGAAAUAUGUUUGAUUCCGUGAUCAGUCGAACCCCGAGGGAGGCUCUACCGUCGGAUAACUGAGCUUGUUCUUUGCAUUUUUAGCAGCGGUUCCAUCACCUGGCCGUGGGAUUGGGCCUGUCACGGUCGAACAGAAACUUGUGGGACCUGUGAAACUUGCGGAACUACGCCUCCUAUGGAACCGGACGAGUCCGACUCGAUUGCCCCACUUGACGAGAGCCUCCAGUUCAUGCCCUUCGACGACAAGGAGCAAUGGUACUGGAAGAUGCGGUCCAUCUACAGGGUCCCUGCCCACCUCACCGCCCUCAACCGUGAGGCCUACCAGCCGCGAGUUGUCUCCUUCGGCCCCUACCACCACGGCAAGGACCACCUCCUCCCCAUGGAGGAACACAAGCACCGCGCGGUCCGCCACAUCCUCAAGCGGUCCAAGAAGCCUAUGGAGCGCUUCUUCGAGUCCCUGUGGGAGGUGGCAUGGGACCUCAAGGAGAGCUAUGACGCGCUGGACCUGAAGUGGAAGGCAAGCAGCGGCGAGGGCGUGGCACCCCAGUUCCUGAAGCUGAUGAUGACUGAUGGCUGCUUCAUGCUCGAGAUCCUGAGGUUCUGGGCCAACGAGGUGGACGACUACGCGCCCAACGACCCCAUCUUCAGUGACCAGGGGAGCAUCUACGUAAUGUCAGGCACUUGGCAGGAUAUGCUGAUGUUGGAGAAUCAGCUUCCAAUGCUAGUGCUGGAUCGGCUGGUGGCUGUGGAGAGCGAUGGCAAGAAGGUUACUUUCGUCGGUUGUAAGAUUAGAAAAUAUUGCAAGUACGCAAACCGCCAUACUAUGUGCACCUAACAGUGCAUCUGUGUGAUCUCACAUGAACCCUACGAUGGAUCCACCGAAUCUAAUGCUCUAAAUACAUUGAUCGCACGGUUCACAAUCAACCGAUAAUUUGAUUAGUAAAUCUAUCACCGAAACUUCAUUUAUUUCCCUUUUUUCGCAAGUAGUAUCGAUACGACCACAAUCUCAGAUUCAAUGUACUGACUUCACUCCGACAACACAGGACGACGAAUUCGUCGGCAGGCUCCUCCUCAAGUUCUUCCCGUUCCCCAGCAAGGACAUCACAAGGUUGGGCAAAUGCUUGCACGUCCUGGACUUCUUCAGGAACAGCAUGCUGAUGGAGCCCGAGAAGGACGAGGAGGUUACUUUCUUAGAUUUCUGUCGUAAGAGAUGCUAUGCAAGUAUGCUAACCGCCGUACUAUGGGCACCUAACGGUACAUCUUGGUCAUCUCACCCCACGAGGGAUCCACCGAAUCUAAUGCUCCAAAUGCACUGGAUGCACGGUUCUAGAUCAAUCGACAAUUUGAUGAUUAAAUCUAUCAACGCCAUAGGAAGGUAUAUUUUUCCCCCCUUUUACUCAAGUAGUAUCGGUCCAACCACAAUCUCAGAUUCAAUGUACUGACUUCACUCCAACAACACAGGACAACGAAUCCGUCAACAGGUUCAUCCUCAAGUUCUGCUCCCCCAGCAAGGGCAUCACAUGGAUGGGCAAAUGCCUACACGUCCUGGACGUUGUCAGGAACAGCAUGCUGAUGGAACCCAAGAAGAAGGACGAGGUGAAGAGGGAGGACAGUCGGGAGAUUAUACAAUUGGCCUCGGCCACCGAGCUCAGCGAGCAUGGGAUCAAGUUCAAGAGGAGCAAUACCGACAGCAUUAAGGACAUCUCCUUUGCGGGUGGGGCCCUGACGCUCCCCAAGAUCUCGGUGGAUGAUAGCAACAUGUCCAUUUUCUUUAACCUCACGGCGUUCGAGUACCUCCAUGCCGGGAAUGAUUACGAGGUCAUCAUGUCCUACAUCUACUGCAUGGACCAAAUAAUCAACAAAGGGCAGGACGUCGCGCUGCUCCGCUCCCAGGGUAUCAUCGUGAAUUGUUCGGAGAGCGAUGAGGCGGUAGCCAAGAAGUUCAACUCGCUGGGCAAGGUUGUGACGAUCAAGGUCGGCCGCAGCCUCGGGGACGUGCUCGAGAAGGUCAACAAGUACUACAAUAAGCGCCGGAACAUGUGGAGGGCUAAUCUCAUCCACACCUACUUUAGGAAUCCUUGGGUUGCAUUGUCUCUCAUCGCUGCCGUCUUCCUCUUCGCGCUCACCGCAAUUCAGACUGUAUAUUCCGUGCUCGGCUACUACAAAUGAACACUUUGCCUCCCAGUACAACAAUAUACUGUCUUUUUUCCACUUUUUUUGGUUUUUCUUCUGAUGACGGAUGUUCGAUCAUCGUCUCUUGAUCGGUUUGGGUUGUUAUGAAUGAUUUUCCUCCUGCUUUCAGUCAUGUUCAUAUCCCUUUUCAAUGUUUUGAAUAAUGGACAUUUUUAUUUAACAUUAUCAAAUGAUGAUUCUCUUGUUUCAUUCUCCUUCAUGUUUGUCCAAUUUGAAUCGGGUAGGGUGAAGGAUGAUCAAGUUUUAGACAGAUGAAAUCUACCUUUGCAACAUUUCUUCUUGAUUAAAUUUGUUAAGUUGCAGUGAAUUUAAGUGAGAAAAUAAAUAUGGCCUUAAAGUCAUCGCUAAUCACCAUUUGCUUCAAACAUCCUAAAAGAACCAAGGUGUCUGAUGUUGAUACCUAAAUUUUGGUUAAGUAUUUAUGAUAAAAAUUGCAUAAAAAAAAAAUAGAGACCAACUAGACCUUAACAAAAAGGAUUUUCGCACCACCUAGCUCUUAGUUUUAUUUUACCAUAUUUACGAAUUAAAAGAAAAAAAAAAGUGAGGCCUGCGCAGGUUGGGCCUUCGCGCCCAGCCCUACCUUUUUUUCCUUCCACGUGGGCCUGACCCAUCUGACCCCAGCUCCCCCCUAACGGUAUGGGUGCGCAAAAUACCCGAGAACCGCCCGGAACUGGGGGUUCUUGAGGGAACCGGUCCGAUUCCCGAUUCCAAUUUAUGGGGGAACCGGUGGGUACUGGUCCGGUUCCCGGUUCCAUGGGUGGAUCCGCUCGCCCGUCCACCCAGACCGGACCUGAACCCUUUUAAUAUUUUUUUAAAAAAAAUUACUAAAAGAAACCCUAGUCUCAUCUCUCUCCCUUCGUCUUUGGUUCUCUCUCUCUCUGUCUCUUCCUCGGUUCCUCCUUAGGCUAUCACCAUUUUGAUUCCUCCCCGAGUGUCGACGCCGUUGCCACUGCUAUCCGCCCCUCGCGCUGGCCGCCACCUGCCACAGCCGCUACUCCUCCGCCUCUGUUGUCCGCCCCCUCGCUGCUAUCCGCCCCUCGCUCCGGGCCCCCUCCGCCAGCAAUCCGACACCGUUGCAGCCCUUACAGCCAUGACGACCGACGCCAGCAGAUCCUGAACCGGUCGCUAGCAGAUCCCGAACCGGUCACUAUUAGGGGUGAGCAGUGGUCUAGGGUCGACCCUGGACCGACCCUGGACCGGCCCAACCCUGCCGGUCCUGGUCCGGUUCCCAAGGGGACUGGGUCGGUCUUUGGUCCUGAAAUUCCAGGACCAAUACUGUGCGGGUUGGUCCUCGGUCCUAAGAGUUUUGGGUCGGUCCAACCCUGGACCAACCCUGUAUAUUAUAUUAUAUUAUUUAUAAUUCUUUUAUAUAUUCAAAUCUAAGUAAAAUGUCUGUUAUAUUAUAUUAUAUUGAGAUGUUCUAUCAAUAGUACUAAUAGUCAUUUCAAUUUAAAACUUUUGUUGAGUAAUAAUUAUAUGUCGUUUGUUUUGUUUUUAGGUGUUUAGAAGUUCAAGUAAAUUAACAAAAUGUGAAGUUAUAUAUUCAUGGUUUAUAUUCAGCAUUUUGAACUUUUUAUAGUUUAAUUGUAUUUUAUUAAUGAAUUUCGGCUGCACUAUGUUUUUCAAUUUGUGUCAAAUGGUAGAAGUUUUUGAAGAGUAGAAUAGUACUGCAGUUGCUACGGUGAUUUGCUAGUCAAGUGAUGUGAAGCUCAUUUUUUGGUUGGAUGGACUCUACAUGAUCAAAUGCAGGAAAACGCUUUUGCAUAUGGUAUUAUGAAUAUUAAAGAUAGAUGAUUACAAUAACUUUCCAUCUUGUUCCAUAUCUCGAUGAGCGGUUAGUAGGUACGAAAUUUCUAUUAUUAUGUCAUCUUAAAUUUACUAAAUAUGUAUUAGUAUUUAUAGUUUAGCUGCAUAAUACUGCAUUAUCGAUGAAUGUGUAAUUUGAAUUUAUAGGUUUGCUUUUUUAUGGAGUAUAAAAAAUAAGACGAAAAAAAUUAUCGAUCGGUCCCGGGUUAACCCUGGAACCGGACCGAACCCAUUGGGUCGGUCCGGUCCUUGGUCCCAAGCUCAAUAGGGUCGGUCCUUGGUCCCAAAAAUUGAGGACCGACACUGUACGGGUUGGUCCUAGGGUUAGGGGGUGGCCCGGACCAACCCGGACCAUGCUCACCCCUAGUCACUAUGCCUCCAUCACUGCUUACGACCACUUCCUCACCAUCGGUGCCUACAAAUCUCCCUGGUGAACAAGAUAUAGAGGGCCUACACCGCCCUCGGUGACCACGAUGACUCCAGCGCCCUCCCCACCCUCUGGGACUCCCUCCCCACCAUCGCCGUCGGCGGCGGCCAGGUCUCUCUCUCUCUCUCUCUCUCUCUCUCUCUCUCUCUCUCUCUCUCUCUCUCUCUCUCUCUCUCUAGCUGCCGUUGGGUGACAAGCUUUGUUUCAACUUGUAGCUCAUCCGGUUGAGCUGCGUUUCCCUUACGCUGGCGAUUUCAUUUGCUUGUGGUCUGGCGAUGCUUCCUCGCCCUUGUUUGUCGCACUAAUCGCUCACUCAUGUCGCAGGGCUUCUUCUGUCAAGCCAUUCGCUUCUGCUUUUUGUAUUCAUUUGAAUUCACGCGAACGCUGUUUCAUAGAAGGGCUUGACUUUAGCUUCAAUUUGAUGUGUGAAGAGCUGGUUUCUCAGUCGUUUCAUAGGCGAUCUGUGGCCCGAGUUUAAUGAUUCCUUGUCUGCAUGUCUCGUGUGUUUUUGGUCGCUGCUGUCGAGUGCUGGCUAGGAUUGUAGAAAAUGAUGUCCGAUGAAGUUGGAGUUUUUAGUCGAGAUUUCUUCUUGUCCGAAGUAGGAACUAGGAGCUAUACUAUACUACCUGAUAAAUUUUUCCUUACUCUUACCUGUUGAGAUCUAUGAAUUACUAGAAGUAUAGCAAAUCUUCCUAGUCUUUGCAGAUUGCGUAGAAAUUGUCCCCUUCCAUAUUUUGCAUGUUUGCUAGGUGCCAAUCUUGUUUCUUCCCUUGUGGUUCUAAUCAUCUGGUACUCACAAGAUUUCACUUUUGGCUAUUGUUUAUUUAACUUGUGUUGGCUUGAACAUAGGGACAUGGAGCUUGUGAUUUCUUUCAAUGGGCAGAUUCUCUGGCAGAAAAUGUGGCCUCCAAAGAUGUUGCGACUUCUAUUGUUGCACCUCUGGAAGUCAUGGAAAUUGAGUCAACAAUGGCAGAUGCUGGUGAAGAUUACGAGGUAGAUCCAUUAUCGAUGAUGGAUAGUGGAGAGAUUAAAGGAGUCAUUUGCAGAUUCUCUGCACCAGAAUGUGAUGUGAGGGGUUUGGAGAGUGAGAGUUUAACUCCCGAGGGUGAUUUGGAUACUCAAGAGUUGACUGUGGAGGAUGUGGAUUUGGGGGAGUCUACUCUAGAGCAAAUGCAGCUUGUUUCCUGUCUAACAUCUCCAGCUAGUCUCAGACAACAAGAAUACUUGAGGCGGAUAUCAGCUGCUGGUGGCAUGCUUGCUGGAAGUAGAGGUACCCUAUGAGUCAUCUUGAGGGUUUUUUCCCCCACCGCACUUGGUUUUUUUUGUCAUUCACGUGUAGCUAUAUAAUGUUGAGCAAUCAUCUAUUAAUUAUUGUUUUACUUCUCCCGCUGUCCACAUCUCCAGAACUUAAAUUUGGUUUUUCUUUCUUUGGCUUGCUUUGAUGUCACGUAGUCGUUCUAUGUUGAAAACCAAAAUUAUUUUGCGUCAAGAUCGAUUCCAUGGAUCCACCCGGGAACCAGACCGGACCGGACCGGCGGUCCGGUUCCCGGGUGGAUCCAUGCAACAAACGGGUGGAUUCCGGUUCCAAUUUUUCGGAACCGGUCCUUAGUGGGCGGUUCCUGGUUCUAGGUCGAGAACCGCCCGCCUAGACCAUGCACACCCCUACCUAACGGCCCGGCCCUGCCCUCUCAUUCAUCUUCCGCCUAACUUCCUCGCGCUGCGCGCCACGCAUGUAGAUAGAGAAAGAGUGGGAGAGGAUGGCGAUGCAUGUAGAGCAGCGCGAGGACCGGCGAGAGACCUGAACGGAUGGGCGGGCGCCUUCAAUGUGGUAGAGGAGGCGGCCUAGCUAGAGCUACCUCAACUGGUGGGAUGCCGGUUCGGCUAGGGGAGGACGGUCGGAGCGCCGAAGAUCGACUAUCGAGGAGCCACCGCCGACCAGCCCCCCUUAGCCUAUAAAUAAGGCGUUGCGGAGGCUAAAAAGACCCACACAAAGAGAGACACAGAAGUAGCGAGCUCCAACCCCCCCGAGAGUCAUCUGGGGCGUCCCGAGUGAGCGAAUCCGAGAGAGAGAGAGAGAGAGAGAGAGAGAGAGAGAGAGAGAGAGAUUUGAGUUUGAGAGAGAGAGCAGUGAGCGAGGGUCGAGGGCAGGAUCAGAACUGUAAGAGGGGGAGGAGAGAUUUGAGGAAAAAAAAAAUCCAGAUCUGAGGGAGGGAGAGGGUCGCGAGGACCCGGCCUCGCCGCCGCGGGCAGCACUGGCAGCUUGGCCCGAUGCCACCGCCGUGCAGCCAUCGACGAUGAGGCCUGCUCUCAUCGCUCCCAUCGCCGCCCGCUCCUAUAGCUGUUGCCUUUCUGUCCCACGACGACCCAGCCGCCCACUGGGCUCGAUCAAGCCCCUGCAUCGUCGAACUCACCGUCGCCUCUUCUCUCGAUCCACCUCUCGGUGACUUCCCAGCCGCCCCCAUCGGCGCCGUAGAGAGACGGAGAAGGAGAGAGGCGCGAGUCGGGUUAGAGUCGGGUCAGGCGCAAGUCAUAAUCGGGUAGGGCUUUCGCUACUAGGAGGGAGAAAUGGGUUGGGCUUGUGUUUUUUACUUUGUUUUGGGUCUCGGCCAAAUUCACGGGCCAAGCCUCACCUUUCAUUUCCUUCGCGGCUAAAGGGCACGGUUAGGCUAGGCCCAUUCGCGGAAACCAGCCCAGCAAAAGGCCUGUGCCAUGCACCCGGGCCAAGUUCGACCGGGUCAAACGCGGAGUUCCGACUCAUAUCCGUUUUUAGUAUAUGAUAUAUUCUUAUCUUAAUAUUACAAAAUAUUUUAAUAAAAAAUAGAAAAAUCCAAAAAAAUGAUUUACACACUUUCAAAAAUAAUGGAAAACCCCAAAAAUAUUUUAUAUUUCCCAAAAAAAUCAGAAAAAUAAAAAAUAAUCUUCAAAAAAAUAAAAAAUAAAAAAAAUCCUUUGAGUGGUUUUUUUUUUAAAUAUGUGAAACUACUUAACAAAAAAAAAUUUGUGUUUAAAUUCAUGGAAGCAAAUAUUGGCUAAUUCCAAUUGCGCCCUUAUGAUACAUGGAUUUCUAUUUCCUUAAUCUGAUUAGGAAUCGAAUCCUAAAAUUUGUAAUUGGUACAAAAUGCUGCAUAAAUGCUUUACUUGAUAUUUAAAUAAAAUUAGGUCUCGGAAGGAUAUUAAUGAUUAACUAAUGUAAUCAAGUCUCUGAUCCUAUUUUCUCUGAUUGUGCUGGAGUGAAGUAUAUCUCCCAAUAUUUCACUUGGGUUUCUAAUCGACUCACCUCAAAUUAAUUAAUGACAACUUCUUAAUGAAAUUAACUUGCAUGUUAAAAAUUCAAAUCAUAAAUCAUGAAUUGGUGCGCUUGGGAGUGCCCACACUGUGGCACCCCUCGACAGCCCCCGAUCCGAUUAGGGUCGCCACAGUUCACUUACCAUUCACUUUUCCUAAUAACACGUCACUCUGAUACCAUUUCAAUUGCAGCGGGUCCAUACAACCUGGGGGUUUACAUCUUUUAGAUCGGUCCCUUGCGCAAUUUAUAUACGGAAGCACAUCCAACAACUCCCUUCCCUAUGUUCAGAAAACGAUGCACACCAACUAAACAUUUAUAGGUAAAAGCCGUACACUUUUAUUCACUUAAACCAUAUGGACAUCAUUCAUCGGUAUAUCAAAAUGCCAUAGUUUUUUAUACUUGGCUAUACUUCAAAAGAUGACCGGCAUCUCUUCCAACAGUCGUAUACUUAAAGUCCAUCGAUCAGUGUCGGCGUCCAAAAGUUCCUUCCUUUGCUAUCCUACUCCUCACGAUCAUAUCCAACCACUUGAUCCAUCUACUAGUAGCAGUGGCAAUAGAGGUAUCUUAUCUAUUCUGAAAUGUUAUUCCCCAAAAUGGGUGAGUACAGCCACUCAGCAAGUAAAUGACCCAAUAAACCACUCAAUGCAUCACACACAUACAGUCACAACAAUCAUAGCAUAACACAUGUCAUUCAAGCAUCCAUGCAUAAUUUACCUUGAAAUCAUGCACAUGUCAUCAUACCACAUGUACACACAUCCUCAUGUAAUCAUCACCAUCAUGUCAUACAUGUACCAUCAUGCCAUAGGUGCACAUACAUCCAUGCACUUACCAUCAUCAUAUUACAUGUACCAUCAUGUCAUAGGUGCACAUACGUCCAUGCACUUACCAUCAUCAUGUCACAUAUACCAUCAUCAUAUUACAUGUACCAUCGUGCCAUAGGUGCACAUACAUCCAUGCACUCACCAUCAUCAUGUCACAUAUACCAUCAUGCCAUAGGUGCACAUACAUCCAUGCACUUACCAUCAUCAUGUCACAUAUACCAUCAUGCCAUAGGUGCACAUACAUCUAUGCACUUACCAUCAUCAUAUUACAUGUACCAUCAUGCCAUAGGUGCACAUACAUCCAUGCACUCACCAUCAUCAUGUCACAUGCACUCAUCAUUAUCAUAUCACAUGUACCAUCAUCAUUACCAUGCAUCCAUGCACAUAUCAUCGUCAUGUCAUGCAUAUACCAUCAUGCAUAAUUCAAUUUCAAUUUCUCGAUUUCAUCCUUUCAUUUUGGACCGUCACAUUUCCCUUUCCCGGGACCAAUGUUUGCAUCCCACAUUCAUCACUCGCACCCCACCUGGCAUCGUGAGAACCAUCCGGCACAAUACCUGCCGAGCAUCCGGCACAAUACCUGUCAGACAUCUCGUAUCCCAACUAGCAUCACGAGGCAUCCCCCUGGCACAAACCUCCAGGGCUUCUGGAAUUACGUACCGACAUACCACCAGCAUCCCCCCCUCUGGAAUUACGUACCAUAUACCACCAGGCAUCUCGAAACUCCCGAGGACCCUCUGGAAUUACGCCACUAGGCCACCGGGCAUCCGACCGUACCCUUCUAGUCAGGCAUCCCGACACUCCCGGGGCAUCGUCGGCUCACACCUUCGACGGCCUUCUCACUUAUCUCAAUUCACAUCUUCAAUUAUAGUUCAAUUUUAACAUGGCAUGUGAUGUGAUGGAAAUCAAGAUCAUUUUCAUCCUUUGAUUCGUACAUGCAUCUCCAAUCAUUAUCAUACAUGCAGCAAGACACAAUCAUUCAUAACAAUACAAUUCAUGGAGUCCAUACAAUUUAGAAUAGUCCAUUUAUCAUGCCUUUUUGAAGUUUACAAAAUUCCAUCUUGUACCCUUUUUGAAAACAUUUAAAUUAAAUAUCCAUAUGAUUCUCAAAAAUCAUGAAAUCAAGACAUGUGAUAGACAAGACAAUAAGAUAACAAUUUCAUGAAGAACACAUGCCCAAAAGAGUUCCACACAAGAAGAUAUAACUCACACAAAUACAGCAGGCAAUUUCGGAUAGAAUCAGAUUGCGCAGUUUUUGAAAUAAUUCGAUUAAAAUACACGAAUGACCUCUGAAAAUUAUGAAAUUUUAUCAGGCUAUAGUUAAGACACUAAAGUAUAUUUUUCAUGAAGACAUCUAGGCCAUAUUCGUUCUAGAUAAUUUUAUAUAGUCGUCCGAAUCUUCUGAUUCUAGCACCGAAAACGUCCAGUAUAGCUAUCUCCGAAAUAUCAAGUUUUUACCCACUUAUUCUUCUUCGUUUCCUCUUAAAUUUGGAUUUGUUUUACUUAAAGAGAUCCCCUACAACUUUCAUCAAGGGAUCUAAGUGAAAUUUCCAAAGAAUAGUCACCAUAUGGGUCCAAGAAGUCUCGGGUGUCCAGUACCGUGUUUCCAGAUUUACCGUCUUAAAGAGAAAGUCGAUUCACUAGGUUACACUUGCUCAUUUUACCUCAAAUUUGAUUAUGUUAGUAUUGAGGAUGUUCUCUACAAGUUUCAUGAAGAAGUAAAAGGGAAAUUCUCGGUAAAAAGCAACAUGCAACCCACAAAACUACCAGAAGGUCAGCAAAGCAGUUCCAGAUCUAGUGUCUUCGUAGGAAGAGGGUUUUGCCCCUUAAAUAUCAACCAUUUUGUCCCAAAUUUUAGUAUGUUAUAGUUUGAUAUUUUUUCUACAACUUUCAUGAAGGAGUCGAAGUCAAAAUCCAACUCGAAACACGCAUGCAAGCCUCCACAAGUUUCUGGGUCGGGCGGUAUACACGAAAUCAGCAAGCAUUUUCAAGAACAAACCACACUAGCUUCGGUUCCUUACUUCUAAACACCCAAGAAUUCAACCACACAUGCAAGACACACAUGCAAGAGUAGAAAUUGAUCCUAACUUGCCUCCAAAAUCGAACAAAAGACGGCACACGGACGGCGACAAACGAGCGGAUGGAUGGCGACGGACUAGCGGACCUCCUCCCUCGCUCGGCUUCUCCCUCUCUCUCUUGGCUCCUCACUCUCUCGCAACUCUCUCUCUCUCUCUCUCUCUCUCUCAAAACCAGCCACUCCCUCUCUCUCUCUCUCUUUUGGUUGCUUAUAUACUUGCAUGCACCCUCAUUUUGCAUGGCCGAAGACACUUGGAGGAAGCCAUGCGGCUCCUCCUUCCCCCUCCAUGCGUCAACAGCCCAAUGGGCUUCAUGGGCCGGGCCUAUUGGCCCAAUUUAGGCCCAUCUCACUUGGGCCUAAAGUCCAAACUUAAAUGGCCCAAGUUUAUUUUUUUAUAAUACAUCUUAAUCCUCAUUUAAAUAAAUAUCUAAUUGCAUAAUAAAAUGGCCAAAAGACUUUGUGACAUUAAUCCAUUAAAUCUAUAAAGUGCAUAGUCAAGAACAAAGUCUUCUUUAUCAAAUCGUCCUAUGUCCAAUUUAAAUAGCCCAUAGAAAAAUAUCGAUAAUAAGCCCAUAAUUCCUACACCACUUUAGGGCAUUUGAUUUUGAUUUUUAUUUAUAGAAAUCAAUUAACAUUCUCAUAAUCAAUUAAUAUUUUCAUAAGGGGUUCGGUCCAAGAGAUAAAAUAUUGUGGCCGAUGAUGUAAUUGUCCCUAUGGCCAUUCAAAGACAAAUAUCGUUUCCCUCAAAAUCAAUAUUUCGGGUUGAAAUUCCCGGAUGCCACACACACUAAGCCAUAUAUGCUUAGCGAGCCAUUAACCCCCACCUUCGCUAGCGCGUAAGAGGGUGCUAAAAAGGGAGGUCACGACAUUUUAUUGUUGAUCUCAACAUAUAAUUUGUUGAAAUGAUUUCCACUAUAUUAAAGAUAUUACAAAGCAUUACACUUUAUAAGGAAACAUACAAUAAUAUAAAUAAUAAAGUUGUAAAUCCCUUGAUUUUAAUAUAUUCAAGAAUCUACUUGUGAUUUUCAUUGACAUUUUCAUAUUCUUCUCUCUUGAUUGAUAAAUCAAUGCCUUAACUCUCCUUCAAAUUGGGAAUGGGACAAUCCCAAAUUCCAAAUUCUCAAUUUGCAACAUAAGUUUCCAAAUGCAUUUUUGGAAUGAUAGCUUCUGAAGAGAUUAACAAUUAGAUGCACAAACAAAACAUACUUAGUCACAAAAGUUCCACGAGCCACUUUUUCUCGCACAUAACGAUAAUCUAAUUUGAAAUGUUUAGUUCUUGUAUACAACACAAGAUUAAUUAACAUAUGAAUUGCACUGAUAUUAUCACAAAAUAAUAUUGAUGGACUUAAGAGAUGAAUACCUAAAUCUCUUAAAAGGAAAGAUAUCUAAACAAUCUCAGCUAUUGUCAACCAAUUGCACAAUACUCUAUAUUGGCACUAAAUUGAGCAAUCAUUCAUUGCUUCUUAGCACUCCAUAAUAUACAGUUACUAUAGAUACAAAAUAUCAUAGUCAAUCGUCAAGUCAAGUAGCAAUUUGCCCAAUCUUCAUCACAAAAGGCAUACAACUCUAUAGUUAACUUGGACAAGAUUUGCAUUUCUCGAUUUAUUAUGCCACUGAUAUAGCGCAAAAUGUGCUCCACAAUUUGAAAAUGAGUUGUAGUGAGCCAAUGCGUGAAUUGAGAUAUAAAAUUGACUACAUAUGAAAUAUCUAGAUAUGUGAUCGUGAGAUAUUAAAGAAAUCUAACAAUACUUUGAUAUAACAUGGGAUCCAAAAAUAAUUUCGCAUUUUAGAGAAUGAGUGCGAGUGGCUAAAGGCGUGGAUCUUGGCUUGCAAACAUCCAUUUGAGCACAUUCAAGAAUUGACAAAGCAUAUGUGGUUGGCACAAAUAAAGACUAUCAAAUAAUAUUCUAACCUCCACAACCAAAAAGUAAUAUAAUGGCUCUAUAUCUUUUAUUGUAAAUUCACUACUCAAUGAAGAAAUAAAUCCAUCACUAAUGACAAUCAUAUCGUCCACGAAUAAAAGUAGAGCUUGAAUGCCAUGAUCUGAUUUUGAAUGAACAACAAGGAUCUACAAUGCUGCAAAAGAAACCAAAUGCUAAAAGAAACAAGCUAAAAUGAUCAAACCAUGCUUUCGAUGCUUGCUUGAUUCCACACAAAGCUCUCUCAAGUUUGCAAACAUAAUACAGGUUUUUUUGGUCCUCAAAACAAGGCGGUUGCUCCAUAUAAAUAGAUUGUGACAGAAAUAAAUAUCUAUAUCAAAAAUAUAAAAAAAUUUGACCAAAAAAAUAUUUAAAAUGACCAAAAUUUGACCCGCCAGUGGGCAGCUGAGUUAGUUUGGCUUUGGGCAUUUCAUCGCAGAGGUCCCAGAGUUAAAACUCCGCAGCUGCUAACACGUCUUAAGUGGGAAGCCAUGGUGGUGGGGUCAUGUGCUAGUCUCCCCCGAAGUAUAGGGACCGUCUAGGCACGGGGGCCCGUGGUGGAGUUCUCAGUUAUAAAAAAAAAAAAAAAAAAAACAAAUGGGGAGUAGAUUUUAAAAAAAAAUCAAAGCCCACUUGCAUCAAUCGUACAUUCUCACUACUCUCCCUCCUAUACAUCCGAAAAAACCCUCUUUUCAUCUAAUUUAUAGAUAUCUGAAACAAAAUUUUCAUUGGACCCUCAGAAAAAUAUGUAUCCACGGAAAAAAAAAAAACAAAUGUUAAUAUACUGACAAUGCUAAAUUAUAAUAACUUUUGUAAUAUAACUAAGUACGAUGUAUUACAUAAUGGGAUGGGACGAGAUGCCCAUACUUUUUAAAUUUCUACAUUGAGUUAUGCAAUAUCAAUUUUGCAGGAUUUAAUCAUCAAAUUGAUUUGAAAUGCCUGUGUUUAUCAUGUUUGGUGCAUGAGAACCUAUAAAUUGCACAAUGACUCGUCUGCAGUCUCACACUUUGUUCAAUGGAUGUUAAGGCUACUAUUAAACUUGGAUUACGGUCUUUGCCUGUUUGGUCUAAUUGUAACAUCGGUAAUGCACACAGAGCUGUCUGUACAAUGUAGGGAUUUUGAUAUUUAUUCCAGACAUUCCAUUACCAUUGGCACACCCCUCAUCAUAUGCAAGGCAACCCCUUCAUCGUCUCAUGCUGACUCUUAAAGCCUGGAGUUGUUUCGGAAUCAUUUUCGACAGAUGGGAGGACAAAGGGUCUCCUUCUAUCUCGCCCCGUCAUUGCUGUUGAAAAACAUACCAAGAAACAUAUAUCUCGGACCAAAAUCAGUCUCUACACAGACACGAGACGAUGGAGAAAGCUAAAACGGGACCCGCGAGUAGAAUGCCAUUCCUUGUAUGGGUGAGAUUAGGGACAUGAGGCAAGUUGAGCUCGGAUUAGAGACGCUAGCAUCAUACACCGGAUGUAUCUUUGGCCGUCAAACUAGUUAUCGAAGGGGUGGAAAAAUUCACUAGCUCACAAGUCAAAAGACUCACGGAAAAAACCUGUCCCUUAAGAACCACGAACAGCCUUCAGUCCGUUAUUAGCAACACGUUAUUAAGGAAAGAAACCGCACACGCUGCACAAUCGAAUCAAAGCAAAUAUGGCAAGUUCUUCACGUCCCCAACAUCAUUUGGUUGGGAAAUCACAUGCCCCGGUAUCAGAUCAAAUUGUUUAUCAACAGAUUCAACCACCUUUCCUAAUGCCAAAGAGCUGCAAAAUCUGAAGAUUGAAAAUAUGAGCAACUUAGUCGACUUGAUGGGAUCCACAGAACAUGCAAGUUUAUCGAUACGCAUACUCGAUAUCACAAAGGAACUAAUGAUAAAACUUCCCCGAAAAUUCACCUCCAGAGAGCAGUAGCUCCACCGUAAUCAGAGAGCACACAGCAUUCGGCACUGCAAGGUCAAUUUUUUCCCUCGAAUGGGGCAACAUUAGAAACUCAGAGCACUCGUAAUUUACAACCUUCACCGAAAGAAGAUUGGAUUGUAUAGCAAAGUUCUACAAGUUAGCCAACUAGGUCCCUCUGCUGUUAAGUAUUGAUUAGCAGCUCACUUGGUUGGAUAGCAAGGCCAAAGGAUGGAUCAGAAAGAAAAACAAAAUUCUUGGAGGCGAGUCCAUAAGGAGAAGAGCUUACAACAUCGCAAAUGGGGGGAGCUCACUCGUCCAUAUCCUCUUCUCCAUCGGCUUUGGCCUCUUCAUCCUCCCUCCUGAGCUGACCACAUACAUUACACUCCAUCAUAUCAGAAGGAGCAUCAUCCGACGACGGAGGUAGAGGAGCCAAUGUCCCACCUCAGUUUUUCCUGUUGCACAUAUACCUGACGAAGAAAUAUGCAUCCGACCCCCUCAUUUGUUCAUCGGCAUCCUCAUCCAUCCCUUCACCGUCACCAUCAUCGUCUUCGCUGAUAUCAUCGGACCAAUUGGCCUCAACCUUGCACCGGUUGUGAAGAAGAAGAGUACAAAGAUGAAGAAGAUAACAGAGAUGAGGAAUAGAAAAGAAAGAACAGAGAGAAAUGCAAAGCUUCUGUAUUCAACAAUGAUUGGAGAGAGAUUACAUCUGAGAGCCUAACUCACGUUUUCCUUUCAACUCUGUAUUUAUACUACAAGUUGACGAAGAACAACCAACUGACAAAACAAACUAACAGAAACACUAACAGAAAGUAUUCAGUUACAACUUACAACUGAAUAUCUAUUCUUUAAUGAGCACGUGUUGUUGCUGUAGAUCCCAUCAUCUUCAUUCCAUUUGUCUCUGUUCAUCUAGAUAUGCUCCUAGACUAAUUGAGGAUUAGGAAGAAAAGGCUAAGAGGUUUCUGAAAUGGUGGAGAACUGAUAUUAGGAAACAACUUGUGCCUUUGAACAUAAGAGAUUAUCAUGAGAUUUAUGAAAGGGCACAGUUAGUGGAGCAGGAGCUGGUGAGAGACCGAUCAGAGUUUAAGAAACAGCUGAACUUUAAUGAUGUGAGAAGGGAUAAGAGACCCUAUCCUGGUCAAGGUCAGACUUGGAAUGUGAAAAAAAAAAAAAAAAGAGAGCAAUUUUAGAAAUUUCGGGAGAGCAAAAGAUGGCCUAAAUAUAGGGAAAGCACCCUAUCGGCCUGAUGUUUGUCAAAGGUGUGAUGGGCGACAUGGCCUGGGACCUUGCAAUGGACGACUGAGAUGUUUUGGUUGUGAACAAGUGGGCCACCUUAGGAGAAGUUGUCCACAAGAAAGGUCGCAAAUGAGUGUUGGCUCGGUGCGACAGAUACAACAACGUACUGCUGGACCAAACUUACCAAGGAAUCCUCAGAGGCCACCAACACAAGGAAUGGUAUAUGCGGUCACCCAAGAGGAAGCGGAAGCUUCCAAAAAUGUUAUCUCAGGUACGAUCCUUAUAAAUGGAAAAAAGGCAUAUGUAUUGUUUGAUACAGGUGCUAUGCAUUCAUUUGUGUCUGAAAGAUAUAGGCAUUUGAGUAAAAUAGAAACUACAUCUCUUGAGACACCUCUUUGUGUUUCUACGCCUUUAAAGAAUAUGGUAUUGUCUACGCUGGUGUGUGGAAAUUGUAAGAUAACAAUGGGAGGAAAGGAUAUGGAAAUAGGCUUGGUCGUAAUGGCUAUGUAUGAUUUCGAUGUUAUCAUAGGAAUGGAUUGGCUUCGUAAGUAUCGGGCCAAAAUGGAUUGUUAUAGAAAAGUGAUCCAAUUUAUCUUACCUGCUCAGUCUAGUUGUGAAUUUUUGGGAGGUCAGACCCACCUAUCUAUAGCACUUAUUCAGAAAUAGAAGCCCGUGCGUUACUUGAUAAAGGAUGUCACGGGUACCUGGCCCUGAUCAACGACUAUACUAGGGAAGAGCCUAAGCUUGAUGAAAUUCAAGUGGUUAAUGAAUUUCAAGAUGUAUUUCCUGAGGAAUUGCCUGGAUUACUGCCAGAACGAGAAAUUGAGUUCAAAAUUGAAUUAAUGCCUGGAACAGGACCAAUAUUGAAAGCCCUGUAUAGGAUGGCCUUAGUUGAGUUGAAGGAAUUGAAGGUGCAACUACAAGAGUUGCUUGACAAAUGAUUCAUUAGGCCAAGUGCUUCACCUUGGGGUGCACCGGUUUUGUUUGUGAAAAAGAAAGAUGGGUCAAUGCGCUUGUGCAUUGACUAUAGGCAAUUGAAUCAAGUGACCAUUAAAAAUAAAUAUCCUUUGCCUAGAAUUGAUGACCUAUUUGACCAACUCCAGGGAAGUUCGGUCUUCUCUAAGAUUGACUUAAGGUCGGGAUACCAUCAGCUAAGAAUUAAGAAAGAGGACAUUCCUAAGACUGCGUUUAGGACUCGUUAUGGACACUACGAGUUCCUUGUCAUGCCAUUUGGAUUGACAAAUGCACCGGCUGCAUUUAUGGAUCUAAUGAAUAGGGUAUUUAAGCCUUAUUUAGAUCAGUUUGUAAUUGUCUUUAUUGAUGAUAUCUUGAGAUAUUCAAGAUGGCCUAAAGAGCAUGAACAACACUUGAGGAUAGUUUUGCAAACUCUGAGAGAUCAUAAGCUAUACGCCAAAUUUAGCAAGUGUGAAUUCUGGCUGGACUAGAUAAUAUUUUUGGGGCACGUAGUAUCAAGAGGAGGAAUUGCAGCGGACCCAGCGAAAGUUGAGAUGGUAAUAAAUUGGCCAAGACCGACGACACCUACUGAAAUACGGAGUUUCUUAGGACUGACUGGUUAUUAUAGAAGGUUUAUUGAAGGAUUCUCACGAUUGGCAGGUCCUUUAACAAAAGUGACUCGAAAGAACAUGAAGUUUGAAUGGAAUGGGGAAUGCGAAAGGAGUUUCCAGGAGCUUAAAAGAAAAUUGACCUCGGCUCCAAUUUUGACUAUACCGACAGGAUCGGAUGGUUUUACGGUGUAUAGUGAUGCAUCUCACAAAGGACUGGGAUGUGUUUUGAUGCAGCAUGGCAAGGUCAUAGCCUAUGCAUCUAGACAAUUGAAACCCCAUGAACUAAACUACCCCACGCAUGAUUUAGAAUUAGCAGCUAUAGUGUUCGCUUUGAAGAUAUGGAGGCAUUAUUUAUAUGGGGAAAAGUUUGAGAUUUAUACAGAUCAUAAGAGCUUGAAGUAUCUGUUCUCACAAAAGGAGUUGAACAUGAGACAAAGGAGGUGGAUGGAGUUGUUAAAGGAUUAUGAUUGUGAGAUACGAUACCACCCAGGGAAGGCGAAUAAGGUAGCGGAUGCUCUUAGUCGUAAGUCAGCUGUGGAGAUGGCCAGUUUAAGAAUGGCGGAAUGGAGCUUGUUAAAGUCCGUAGCGGACUCAGAGUUUAAAUUAAAAGUGGAUUGUCUUACCAAUAUGCUUAGUGCAUUAAGGAUGCAUUAAGGAUUGAACCUGAAAUUAUUCAGAAAGUUAAGAUCUUACAAGAGUCUGACCCGGAAAUUUUGAAAGUGAAAGAUGCAGUGUCUUUAGGAAAAAGACCGGAAUUUCAAGUCUCUGAAGAUGGUGUGGUAAGAUGCCAAGGACGACCUUGUGUUCCCGACAAUGAAGAAGUAAAGAAGGAAAUUUUGUCGGAGGCACAUAGGAGUAAUUACAAUGUUCAUCCGGGUAGUACAUAGAUGUACAGGAAUUUGCGUCAGCAAUUUUGGUGGAAUGGUAUGAAAGCAAAUACGACUAAGCACGUUUCUCAAUGUUUGACGUGCCAACAAGUAAAAGUGGAACAUUGCAAACCUGCAGAACUCUUGAGACCGUUAGACAUACCAUAAUGGAAAUGGGAGCAUAUAACAAUAGACUUUGUACAAGGAUUGCCAAGGACAUCAAGUGGUCGUGACUCUAUCUGGAUAAUAGUGGACCGUUUGACUAAGUCUGCUCAUUUCCUAGUAGUUCGCAUAGACUACCCAAUGGACAAAUAUGCGGAUAUAUAUGUAAGUCAAGUAGACGCUUACAUGGUGUUCCAGUAACUAUUACCUUAGACCAAGAUUCGAGAUUUACUUCGAACUUUUGGCGGAGUCUUCAAAUUGCCUUAGGAACUAAACUCCAGUUUAGUACUGCUUUUCACCCUCAAACAGAUGGACAAACAGAAAGAGUAAUCCAGACAUUAGAGGAUAUGUUGAGGGCUUGUGUGAUUGAUUUUAAAGGAAAUUGGGAUGAAAGAUUGCAUUUGGUGGAGUUUGCUUAUAAUAAUAGUUUUCAGAAGAGUAUAGACAUAGCUCCCUAUGAAGCAUUAUAUGGAAGGAGAUGUAGGACUCCUGUCUGUUGGAAUAAAGUAGGUGAAAAGAAAUUGACAGGACCUGAACUGGUACAAGUUACCACUGAAGCUAUCGAGAUUAUCAGGAAAAGACUUAAAACAACUCAGAGUAGACAGAAAGACUACGCAGAUAGGCAUAGAAGGCCUUUGGAGUUUAAUGUGGGAGAUCAUGUAUUCCUUAAAGUAUCUUAAAUGAAAGGAAUAUCUCAAUUUGGAAUGAAGGGUAAGUUAAGCCCUAAAUUUGUUGGACCUUUUGAGAUAUUUGAAAGAAUAGGAGAUGUAACUUAUCGUUUGGCACUGCCUCCUAAAAUGGGAAAUUUACAUGAUGUGUUUCAUGUGUCGAUGUUGAGAAAGUACCAGCCGGAUCCUGGUCACAUACUCGAUCAUGAAGCCAUUAAAGUGGAUGAGAAAGUGAGGUACAUCGAAGAACCUGUGCGAGUACUGGAUCAAAAGGAACAAAUUCUUAGGACUAAGAAGAUUCCUUUGGUCAAAAUAUUAUGGCGACAUCAUGAUAUGGAAGAAGUCACAUGAGAAAGUGAAGAUCAGAUGAAGGAAAAGUACCCCUACUUGUUUCAAGAGACAUGAGUGAUGUCUAAUUUUGAGGAUGAAAUUCUCUAAGGAGGGGAGAAUUGUGGCAUCCUAGAAUUUCAUGAAAAUCCCUAAAUAUGCCAUGAGCCAUGGAUAGGCGAUGGAAAUACCGUUAUUGUAUUUUUGUAGCUUUUUAAUCCAUGAUUCGCGAUACGAUGUAUGGCCAAAUUUUAAUGGAUGGAUUUUGGGAAAGAGAGUUCUAUCUUAGGCCAUAUGUAUGAUAAAUUGGAACUUAUGGAUUUAUAAUUGCAAGUGUAUAGUUAAUUAAAUUUGCAAUUUAGUACUUUGAUUUAAUAGGGAUUUAAUUAGUUUUUUUUAAGGGUUAAUCUUAAGUUAAUUAAGCUUGGGUCUUAGGCCCAAGAGGGAUGGGCCUAAGAUGGGCUGAAAUGGCCGGCCCAUAGAGCUCAUGAAGGGCUGUCGACCGUGCAAAGGAGGGGGGAAUCCGGUUGCAUGCCUCCCCCAUUUGUCCCAAAGAAAUCGCCAAGUGUCCUACAUGCAUAUAGUAAUGAUAGCUAAUGAUGAUGGGAAGAAAUUAGGGAAAAGAUGAUACUGGUUUAAGCGAGAAUGAGAGGGAGAGAGAGAAGGAUUCGUUCGAGAGAGAAAGAGAGGAGAGGAAGAGAAGAAAGAAAGGAAGAAAGGGAGAAAGGAAGAGAGGAAGGAGGAGAGCCGUUCGUCGACCGUCCGUCGUUCAUCGUUGUGUCCCGUCGCCGUGGUGCUUGCUGUUUGCUCGGUUUAGAGGUAAGUUGGGAUCCUUCUACUCUUACAUGUUGUGCCUAGAGUGUGUGAGUGAGUGGUGAUAAAUUUCGGAUGUUUAGGAUGAGAAAAACGGAAGUUUUAAGAGUGGUAUUCAAAACUAGUAAACUGUUCUUGAGAAAAGCAGCUCGACCGUGAAUGUUCUAGUGGCUUACAUGUGAUGUUCGAGUUGGAUUUUGGCCUUGAAUUCUAAAUGAAAGUUGUUAAGGACUUCUUUUAGUAUAACCUACUCAAAUUUGGGACAAAAAAAUCAAGUAUAAGUGGGUGAAAUAUUUAUUUUUUGGAGAGACUGGAUCUGGAGAUUUCGGUAACUACCUUUGAUGAAUGCAUGGACUGUAAGGCUAUCUUUUUGUUGAAAUAUCACUUUUAUUUCUUAACAAAAGAUGUAAAGGACAUCCUGAGGUUUAACAUAUCAAAAAUUUAGAGAAAAAUAACAAGAAUAGAUAGACGAAAUCAUGUUUUUUCAGAAGUAGUCAGAUUUGGAAAUUUCGGUAUUGAAACAGAAGCUUUAACCGCCUAUAUUUAAUCACCUAGAACGAAUUUGACUUUUAUUUCUUCAUGAAAAACCUACCUUAGGAUAUUGACUACAACAUAGUCGAAUUUCAUAAAUUUUGAAGGUCAUUUGGGUAUUUAAUCGGAAAUGUUUCUAAAACCGUGUAAUCUGAUAUAUUCUGACUUGGUCAGUUGCAAUGCAUGGACAAUAUCGUUUUUCAUGAGGUUCUUUCAGCAAUGUGUUCUUCAUGAAACAUCUCUCUGUAUGUCUUCCCUACAACAUAUUCAAAUUUCGUAAUUUUUGAAGUUCAUUUGACUAAUUAACCAAAAACGUUUCAAAAACUGUGCAAGCUGAAUUGUUAGAAUAGUAGUGCUGUGAUGCAAUGGUCUAUACUGAAUUGUAUGAGGGUCUUUUGGUGUAGUAUCCUUCAUGAAAUAUCUGCCUUUAUGUCUUGAUUAUCACAUUUUUGAAUUUCAUAAUUUUUUAAAGUCAUUUGGGCAUUUAAAUAAAAUGUUUUCUAAUACUGUGCAAGCUGGAUUGUGCGAAUUUCAAAGGCUGGAUGCAUGACUAUUCUGUUUUGGAUGAGCCCCAUGAAUUAUAUUGUUUCAAGUGAUUAAAUCUUACUGCACAUGUGAUGAUUCUUGGCAUUACAUAUAGAAUCAAAGUUGAAAUUGACCUUGUUGCCAUCACAUCAUGUGCUAUGUUGAUUGUGAGACAUGAAUUUGUGAAUAUGAAUUAUGAUGAAAGAGAAGACUGUUGGAGGUGAGUCGACAAUACCCUGGGAGUGUCAGGAUGCCCGGAAUGUGGGGGUGCCAGAUGUCCUCGGGAGUUUCGAGAUACCCGGAAUGGUUGGGUGUCGGAAGCCUCAGAGGUUUGUGCCUGGGGGAUGCCUCGUGAUGCCAGUUGGGAUAUGAGAUGCCCGAAAUGUGGGGGUGUCGAAUGCCUGGUGGUGUGUGCCGGAGGUUUCUCGCGAUGCCAGGUUGGGGUGCGAGUGAUAAAAUGUGGGAUGUAAUUACUGGUCCCGGGAAAGAAAGAUGUAGUGAUCAAAUUGAAAGAUAAAAUGUUGAAAUUGAAUCAUGCAUGGUAUGGUGACAUGUAUGCAUGGUUGUAUGAUAUGAUGUGUAUGAGUGCAUGAUGGUAUGUGCACAUGAGGCAUAGAUAUGCAUGAAUGCUUGAUGAUGAGUGCAUGGUUAUAUAUGCACCUAUGGCAUGAUGGUAUAUGUAUGAAUACUUGGUGAGGAGUGCAUGAUGGGGUAUGCACAUAUGGUAUAAUGACAUAUGCAUGGCUGCAAGGUAAGUUAUGCUUGAAUGCAUGGAUGAUAUAUUCUGCUAUGAUGUUAUGAUUGUAUUGUGUGAUGCAUUGAGUAGUUUAAUGGAUCUUUUACCUGUUGAGUGGCUGUACUCACCCCUUUGGGGACCAACAUUUAAGAUUAGGAAGAUGCCUCUCCCUCCGGUCACGCGGGGUACCUUUUACGGCCUUCCAUCUAACGUGGAGGUCGAUUGUAUGGAGCUCGAUAGUGUUACCAUCCCUGGUCUGACAUUCAUACGGGUUUGGGUGUUGGUGAUGUAUGAUGUGGGCCUGGUUGGGGGUCCGGUCAUCCAGGAGUUCUUGUCGGUCCACGUCCGCCAAGAAGGAGUGAUGCGGGGGAUGUUGCCGCCGCCACCGCGAUGCACCAGGAUGGGUGUGAUGGCCCACGUGAGGAGUGAGAGCUAACACUUUUUGAGGAUAGCCGACACUUGUAGAUGGAGGAUGACACGUGAACGAUAUAGGGGGUCGAGAUCUCUUUUGAGCUGUGGCCAAGUUUAGUUAAAAGUCUUGGCUUCUCUUUUUGGUUGUACCGACCCGAGAAAUCCAUCAUGAAAAUAUAAAUAAAAGUGGCUCGGCUUUAUGUUUUCCUUUGAGGUGUAGCUGGUGUGCAUUGUACCAUCAUCAAGAGAGAGUAGAGGGAUGGCGAGACUCGUCUUUAAUUCCGCUAUGAGCUGCGCUAAACAAAAAUAAAAAAAAUGCCUAAGGACCUCGGUCCUUCUUUAAACCCCUUUAUAUCAAAGACAAGUAACGGGUAUCCUAUAGAGAUAAAGCGAUUGGUGAACUGUGGUGACCUCAGGUGUUUAGGGGUGCCACAGAAACAUACCAAGAAAUAUAUAACUGGGGACCAAACUCAGUCUCUACACAAGCUCGAGACGAUAAAAAAACGAAAACAAGACGCGAAUGGGGUGCCAUUCAAUGUUUCCUUAUAUGGGUGAGAUUAGGGACAUGAGGCAAGAUCGCUGAGCUCGGAUUGGAGAAACUAGCAUCAUACACCCGACGUCUCCUUGGCCGUCGAACUAGUGAGGGAAGAAGCAAUGGAAACUCGCCAGCUCACAAGUCCAAACACAACCAGGCUAGUAUGGCCCCAAGGAUUCCAAAGAGACAGAAAAAGACCUGUCCCUUAAGAUCCACAAACAACCUUCCAAUUGAAUCAAAGCAUAUGUGGCGAGUUUUUCCACCUCCCAACAUCAUAGGUGGGGAAAUCAUAUUCUCAGAUCAAAUCUCUUAUCAAUAGAUUCAACCACCAUUUCUAAUGCCAAAGAGCUGCAAAAUCUGAGGAUUGACAAAUACGAGCAACUUAGUUAACUUAAAGGAUCCGCAAAACAUUCCAGUUAAUCAAUACACGUACUCAAUGAUUCCACGAAGGAACUCAUGGUAAAUCUUCCCGGAACUUCACCUUAUUAGAUUUCAAAUGAUAUCUUGAAGUAAAUAAAGAAAGAAAAAUCACCUUCAGAGAAUUGCAGCUACACCAUCGUCACAGACAGAGCACAUGGCAUUCGGCAUCACAAGAUCAAUUUUUCCCACCAAAUGGCUGAAAUUAGGAACUUAGUACUCGCAACCCACAACUUUCACCACAAGAGGUUUGGAUUGUAAAGCAAAGUUCUACAAGCUAGCCAACUGGGUCCCUCUACUCUUAAGUAUUGACUAACAGCCGAUUCGAUUGAAGUGCAAGGCCAAAGGAUGGUCCAGAAAAAAAAAAAAAACAAAAUUCCCAGAAGUGAGUCCAUAAGAAGAAGAGCUUCUUACAACAUCGCAUCUCCGUCGGCUUCCGCCUCUUCAUCCUCCCUCCUGAGCUGACCGCAUACAUUAUUACAUUCCAUUAUAUCAGAAGGACAGCCAUCCGAUGGAGGCGAAGGAGCCACUAUCCUGCUGCUGUUUUUCCUAUUGCGCAUAUACCUGACGAAGACAUACGCAUGGGGGAACUCGGUCUCUUUCUCCUCCGUGAUACCCACCUCUGACCUGCCCAUUUGUUCAUCGGUGUCCUUCUCCAUCCCUUCAUUGUCACCAUUGUUGUCUUCGUUGCUAUCAUGGUUCUCAUUUUGGUCAUCGGACCAAUUGGCCCCGAUCUUGAGCUGAUGUGAUUAGACUCGAGCUCACUUAGCAUUGCUGACCUUUGGUGAGGCUUGAGCUCACUGGAAUCUGGUGAGCUCAACCUUGCCUGUCGCAAGCGAUUGGCCGAAUAAGAGGCAAAAAAGAAAAAUAAAAAAUAAAAAGUAAUUGAACAUUCGAUUAUAAAAUGUAACGAAAAAAAUGAAAAUAAAAAUAAAACAACAUCAAAAGGAGUGCACUAAGGCUUAUACCAAGCAGUUGAAAAUAUUUUCUAAUUUAUUUUCUCAUUUCAGCUAAAUACCUGACAAAAUUUUUAUUCUAGAAAUUGAUUUCUGGCCAGAAAUUGAUUUCUCAAUUUCUAUUCCCCGGACAAGUUUUUGAGCAAAGAAACCCAUUUGAUAACGACUCAAAAUUUCUAUUUCUGGAACAGAAAUUCGUUUGAUAACAGAAUAAAAUUUAUAUUUCUAAGAAUAGAAAUUGAUUAGAUAACAACAUAGGAAAUCCUCAAAUACAAAAUAAUAGUCGAAAAAUACUAAAAUAACAUAGGAAAUCCUCAGAUACAAAAUAAUAGUCGAAAUAAUACUAAUACAUUACAAAAGUUGAAAAUAUAAUUUCAUGAAAUUUCUGGCAUAUUAUUAUCCCUUGCCAUUUUAUUGGCAAUGGUUUUCCUAAGCAUAUUUAUUUGGUUUCCCUCCUCGGUCAAUGUAUCGUUUGCAAGCUCAUCCUGCGUAGGUUUAGACAAGUACUGCAGAGGCAUGAAUAUGGGUGCCAUCAAUGGCGCCUAUAUAGCCCUGUCAUUUUAUCAAAGCCUAGUAUUAUACAAGAUUAUCAACAAAAUAAAAUUGAUGGUGUAAAGGAAUAUAUGAGAAUUCUACCUUGAAGUAACAUUUAUGAUUAGGAACCAAUCGGGAGAAGAUCAGUUUAUUUUGAUUCUCGAAUUGAAUCAGUCCAGUUGCUCAUCCCUAAUUUCUUUAUUGUUGCUCAAUGAGCCUUUAAUGGCCCUUGCAUAGCAAAGAGAGAGAUUCUCUCGAAUCUCUUGCCUUCGAAUUAAAAUUCAAGAUUGUGUAACAAUCUAAUUAUUUUGAUUUUGCAAGAAUUUUGAAUCCGUAAAGAAACAAGGUUAAAUUUUUAGGCACAUUUUUUAUUCAUCUAUUGCAUAAGAACUUUUUCUUCAACGGGUCAUGCGCGUGCCCUUUCUAGGAGGAAAGAGCCCCAUUGUUUUUAAGUAAGCAUUUAAGAAUUUCGGUCGUUUUUAAAAAUUGAGGACCCAUUCGAUUGUCUUUCAUCCUAAAGAGGAAGUUAUCAAAAAAAAUUGAAAAAUAAAAUAAAUAAAAAACACAAGCAAAAUAAGAAAAAGAAAAUUAGCAAUAAUUUGUGAAGUUGUGGUUACGAGUGAAUUAAGUUAGCAAGAAAGCACAAGGUUCUUUUAUAUGGUUUGAUUUCAGCUUCUGAUUUCUAUUUCAGAAACUGAGAAGUUAAAAAUUUCAGAUUCUGAUUUCUUCAAUUUCUCUAUUUCUGGAAUAGAAAUCUGUUUCAGAAAUAGAGAAAUCAAAUUGCGUUACCAAACGGAUUUUUGUUCCAAACCUGUUCCGGGAAACAGAGAAACAGAGAAAUCAGAAAAUAGAAAUUUUGUCAUACGCGCCCUUAUUCUCCUAGAAAAACUAUUUAGUGGAAAUAAAAUUUCGGAUGCAUCACACUUCUAUUAUUUUAUUAUUUUUUAAGUUUAUUUUCGGGUUCCAACCAAACGGGGCCAAUGUAACAUUGAACAUGAUCUAGUACAGUAGGUAGGUAAUCACUUCUUCAUCUGGACAACAUUUAAAUAGUCUCACAAUUACAACUCAUGAGUGGUAGAUACACUUAACAUAGACAAAUUCACAAUGCAUUUGACUCAUGCUCCCAAAUUUUAUCUUUUUUCCUCCCCUUCUUGCACACGAUGCGUGUGCCCUAAUGCUAGUGAAUUUAUUUUAUAAGGAUUCUUCUCAAAGCAAAAGUAGUGAACUGCCUUUAAUCAGUUCUUUUUUUUAAUCAGUCUUUGAGCAAGAAAGGAAUGUCCCCCCACUUGGCUUAUUUGGGACUAAAACUGAAUGUGUUGCCCGCACGAAAGGGACCCGGAAUGAGGUCAUCAAUAUGCGUAAUUAGGGCUUAACCAAUUCAUCAAAAUGACAUACUAAUUUGAUCGGGUGAUGGUCCGACAAUAUAUUAGUGUUCAGAGUUUACUAAUGAUAGCAGUUAUAAUGGAUCCAAGUGCUUCUCGAUUGGAGCUCAUAAGCAAUUAUACUGGGUUGGAGCUCUUCUUUAUUAGAGGUCAUAAAUGCUUGUAGCCGAUUUAGUAUGAAACAGGCGGAAGUAUUUGAGUUUCACACAAGAUGGUUUUUACUAGUCUUAUGUGCCAUCUGAAGUAAUUUAACAGGAAGUUAUAUGAUUGUCGUGAACAAAUCCUGCACACAUAAUAUCAUUACGCCAUUAUUUGUGGCAACGUUUUUUUCUUUUAUAGUUGUGCAGUGUAUGCAUGAAAAAAAGUGCAUCGAAUACUAAACUUGAGACUUGAGUAAGAGAUCUGGAAUAUCUCAAAUGUAUAAUGAAAAAAUGACAACAAAAAAUAAGUAUUAUUUUAAAUCUAGUGCCACGUCAAAUAUGUAAAGUUGCUGUCCAAAUUGGCAUUACAUGUAUUCAAUCCAUAGGAGCCCUUUGAUUGAGAGAGACACACGGGAGAUUCAUCGAAUUCACAGGCUAAUACACGAUCGGGGGAUUACGGGCGUUGCGUGCAUGAAAUUCGAAUCCUGGUGCAGGAGAAGCGAAUCACAUGUACAUGGCUUGUCCCGUAACUCAUCUUGAAGUAUUAGUUGGGCCUGGGCACCCCCAAACUUUCAUCCCCCAGCCCUCUUCACUCUUCCAUUCUCUUCCUCUCCCCAUAAAUUCACCUCUUCUCUCACUCCUUUCAGCUUGAAGGGAAAAAAAAAAAACAAGAGCAAAAGACCCUCCAGAACAGAAACUUGUGGAACUAUGUUUUCUAUGGAACCGAACAACUCCGACUCGAUUGCCCCACUUGACGAGGUGCAACGGUACUGGAAGAUGCGGUCCAUCUACAGGGUCCCCGCACGUUUCACCGCCCUCAACCGCGAGGCCUACCAGCCACAAGUUGUCUCCUUCGGCCCCUACCACCAUGGCGAGGCCCACCUCCUCCCCAUGGAGGAACACAAGCGCCGCACGGUCCGCCACCUCCUUAAGCGGUCCAAGAAGCCUAAGGAGUGCUUCUUCGAGUCCCUGAGGGAGGUGGCGUGGGACCUCGAGGAGAGCUACGACGCGCUGGACCCAAAGUGGAAGGCAGGAAGCGGCAAGGACGCGGCACCCCAGUUCCUGGAGCUGAUGAUAACUGACGGCUGCUUCAUGCUCGAGAUCCUGAGGUUCGCAGCCAGCGAGGUGGACGACUACGCGCCCAACGACCCCAUCUUCAGUUACCACGGGAACAUCCACAUAAUGACAGACAUUUGCAAGGAUAUGCUGAUGCUGGAGAAUCAGCUUCCGAUGCUAGUGCUGGAUCGGCUGGUGGCUGUGGAGAGCGAUGGCAAGAAGGUUAGUUUCUUAGAUUUCGGUCGGUUGUAAGACGAGAAAAUAUUGCAAGUACGCAAACCGCCAUACUUUGUGCACCUAACAGUACAUCUUUGUGAUCUCACAUGAACCCUACGAUGGAUCCACAGAAUCUAAUGCUCUAAAUGCAUUGAUUGCACGGUUCACGAUCAACCAAUAAUUUGAUUAGUAAAUAUCACCAAAACUUCAUUUAUUUCCCUUUUCCGCAAGUAGUAUCAAUACGACCACAAUCUCAGAUUCAAUAUACUGACGUCACUCCAACAACACAGGACGACGAAUUCGUCAGCAGGCUCAUCCUCGAGUGCUUCUUGUUCCCCAGCGAGGGCAUCACAAGGAUGGACAAAUGCCUGCACGUCCUGGACGUUUUCAGGAAAAAAAUGCUGAUGGAGCCCGAGAAGGAGGACGAGGAGGUUACUUUCUUAAAUUUCAGUUUGUCGUAAGAGAUGCCAUUGCAAGUAUGCUAAUCAUAUGGGCACCUAACAGUACAUCUUGGUCAUCUCACCCCACGAGGGAUCCACCGAAUCUAAUGCUCCCAAUGCACUGGAUGCACGGUUCUAGAUCAAUCGACAAUUUGAUGAUUAAAUCUAUCACCGCCAUAGGAAGCUAUAUUUUUCCCCCUUUUACUCAAGUAGUAUCGAUCCAACCACAAUCUCAGAUUCAGUGUACUGACUUCACUCCAAUAACACAGGACGACGAAUCCGUCAACAAGUUCAUCCUCAAGCUCUGCUUCCCAUGCAAGGGCAUCACAUGGAUGGGCAAAUGCCUGCACGUCCUGGACGUUGUCAGGAACAGCAUGCUGAUGAAGCCCAAGAAGAAGGACAAGGUGAAGAGGGACGACAGUCGGGAGAUUAUACAAUUGGCCUCGGCCACCGAGCUCAGCGAGCAUGGGAUCAAGUUCAAGAGGAGCAAGACCGACAGCAUCACGCACAUUUCCUUUGCGGGUGGGGCCCUGACGCUCCCCAAGAUCCGGGUGGAUGAAUGACCAUGUCCAAUUUCCUCAACCUCACGGCAUUCGAGUACCUCCAUGUCGAGACUGAAAACGAGGUCAUGUCCUACAUCUACUGCAUGGACCAAAUAAUCAACAACGGGCAGGAUGUCGCGCUUCUCCGCGCCCAAGGUAUCAUCGUGAAUCAUCUGGAGAGCGAUGAGGCGGUAGCCAAGAUGUUCAACUCGCUGGGCAAGGUUGUGACGAUCAAGCCCAGCCACAGCCUCAGGGACGUGCUCGGGAAGGUCAACGAGUACCGCAAUAAGCACUGGAAUAUGUGGAGGGCUAAUCUCAUCCACACCUACUUCAGGAAUCCUUGGGUUGCAUUGUCUCUCAUCGCUGCCGUCUCCCUCUUUGCGCUCACCACAAUUCAGACUGUAUAUUCCGUGCUCGGCUACUACAAAUGAACACUUUCCUCUCAGUACAACAAUAUACUGUCUUUUUUUCCACUUUUUUCGGUUUUCUCCCGAUGACAGAUGCUCGAUCAUUGUCUCUUGAUCGGUUUGGGUUGUUAUGAAUGAUUUUCCUCUUGCUUUCAGUCAUGUUUAUAUCCCUCUUUCAAUGUUUUGAAUAAUGGACAUUUUUAUUUUAACAUUAUCAAAUGAUGAUUCUCUUGUUUCAUUCUCCUUCAUGUUUGUCCAAUUUGAAUUGGGUAGGGUGAAGGAUGAUCAAGCAGAUGAAAUCUACCUUUGCAACAUUUCUUCUUGAUUAAAUUUGUUAAGUUGCAAUGAAUUUAAGUGAGAAAACAAAUAUGACCUUCAAAGUCAUCUCUAAUCACCAUUUGCUUCAAACAUCCUAAAAAAAACCAAGGUGUUUGAUGUUGAUACCUAAAUUUUGGUUAAGUAUUUAUGAUAAAAAUUGCAUAAAAAAAAUCAGGGACCAACUGGACCUUAACAAAAAGGAUUUUCGUAUCACCUAGCUCUUAGUUUUAUUUUACCACAUUUUCGGAUUUUAAAUAAAUAAAAAGAGUGAGGCCUGCGCAGGUUGGGCCUUCGCGCCCAGCCCUCCCUUUUUUUCCUUCCGCGUGGGCUCGGGCCCAUCUGGCCCCAGCUCCCCCUUCACGGCCCGGCCCGGCCCUCUCGUUCAUCUUCUUCCUCCUACCUUCCUCGCGCUGCACGCCACGCGCGUAGGGCAACCUAGAUAGAGCAAGAGGGGCAGAGGACGGCGAUGCAUGUGGAGCAGCGCGAGGACCGGCGGGAGUCCCAGACGGAUGGGCGGGCGCCUUCAAUGCGGUAGACGAGGCGGCCUAGCUAGAGCUGCCUCGACUGGUGGGACGCCGGUUCGACCGGGGGAGGACGGUCGGAGCGCCGAAGACCGACUAUCGAGGAGCCACCGCCGACUGGCCCCCCUUGGCCUAUGAAUAGGGCAUCGCGCGGAGGCCAAAAAGACACACACAAAGAGAGACACAGAAGUAGCGAGCUCCGACCCCGCCGAGAGUAUUCUGGGGCGUCCCGAGUGAGCGAAUCCGAGAGAGAGAGAGAGAGAGAUUUGAGUUUGAGAGCUGUGAGCGAGGGUCGAGGGCAAGAUCUGAACUGUAAAAAAGGGAAGAGAGAUUUGAGGGGGGGGGGGGGGCCGGAAAAGGUCCAGAUCCGAGGGAGAGAGAGGGUCGCGAGGACCCGGCCUCGCCACCGCGUGCAGCGCUGGCUGCUUGGCCCGCUGCGACCGCCGUGCAGCCACCGACGAUGAGGCCUGCUCUCGUCGCCCCCACCGCCGCGCGCGCCUAUAGCCGUUGCCUUUCUGUCCCACGACGACCCAGCCGCCCACUGGGCUCGACUGCCUGCAUCGUCGAACCCGCCGUCGCCUCUUCUGUCGAUCCACCGCCCGGUGACUUCCCAGCCGCCCCCAUCGGCGCCGUAGAGAGACAGAAGGAGAGAGGCGCGAGUCGGGUCAGAGCCGGGUCGGGCGCGGGUCCAUAAUCGGGUAGGGCUUUCGCUGCUAGGAGGGAGAAACAGGCUGGGCUUGUGUUUUUUACUUUGUUUUGGGUCUCGGCCAAAUUCGCGGGCCAGGCCUCGCCUUUCAUUUCCUUCGCGGCCGAAGGGCACGGUUGGGCUGGGCCCAUUCGCGGAAACCAGCCCAGCCAGAGGCCUGUGCCACGCGCCCGGGCCAAGUUCGACCGGGUCGGACGCGGAGUUCCGACUCGGAUCCUUUUUUAGAAUAUGAUAUAUUCUUAUUUUAAUAUUAAAAAUAUUUUAAUAAAAAUCGAAAAAAUGAUUUAGACUUUCAAAAAAAAUACAAAAACCCAAAAAUAUUUUAUAUUUCCCAAAAAAACCAGACAGAUAAAAUAAUCUUCAAAAUAAUAAAAAUAAAAAAAAGCUUAAAAAUAGCCUUUGAGUAGUUUUUCUUAAAAUAUGUGAAAAUACUUAACAAAAAAAAAUCAAAGAAAAAAAAUCAUGUUUAAGUUCUUGGAAGCAAAUAUUGGCUAAUUCCAAUUGCACCCUUAUGACACAUAGGUUUUUAUUUCCUUAAUCUAAUUAGGACUUGAAUCAUAAAAUUCAUAAUUGGUACAAAAUGUUGCAUGAAUGCUUUACUUGAUAUUUAAAUAAAAUGAGGUACCGGUAGGACAUUAAUGAUUAACUAAUAUAAUUAGGUCUCUGACUCUAGUUUCUCUGAUUGCGCUAGAGUGAAGUAUAUCUCAUAAUAUUUCACGUGGGUUAUCGACUCACCUCAAAUCGAUUAAUGACAAUUUCAUAAUGAAAUUGACUUGCAAAUUAAAAACUCAAAGUCAUGAAUUGGUGGGUUUUGGAGAGCCCAUACUAAGCCCUAUGCUUAGCAAGCCAUUAACCUCUGCCCUCGCUAGCACGUUGAAAAGGGAGGUCACGUCAUUUUAUUGUUAAUCUCAGUCUAUAAUUUGUUGAAAUGAUUUCCAUUGUAUUAAAGAUAUUACAAAGCAUUACACUUUAUAAGGAAACAUACAAUAAUAUAAGUAAUAAAGCUGUAAAUCCCUUGAUUUUCAUAUAUUCGAGAAUUUGCUUGUGAUUUUCUUUGACAUUUUCAUAUUCUUCUCUCUUGAUUGAUAAAUCAACGCCUUAACUCCCCUUCAAAUUGGGAAUGGGACAAUCCCAAAUUCUCAAUUUGCAACGUAAGUUUCCAAAUGCUUUUUUGGAAUAAUAGCUUCGUGAAGAGAUUAACAAUUCAAUGCACAAACAGAACAUACUUAGUCAUAAGAGUUCCACGAGCCACUUUUUCUCGCACAUAAUGAUAAUCUAAUUUGGUAUGUUUAGUUCUUGCAUAUAUUAACAUAUGAAUUGCACUGAUAUUAUCACAAAAUAAUAUUGAUGGACUUAAGAGAUGAAUACAUAAAUCUCUUAAAAGGAAAGAUAUCCAAACAAUCUAAGCUACUAUCAACCAAUUGCACGAUACUCUAUAUUGGCACUAAAUCGAGCAAUCGUUCAUUGCUUCUUAGCACUCCAUAAUAUUCAGUUACUAUAAGUACAAAAUAUCGUAGUCAAUCGUCAAGUCAAGUAGCAAUUUGCCCAACCUUCAUCACAAAAGGCAUACAACUCUAUAGAAAGAUCUGCAUUUCUCGAUUUAUUGUGCCACUGACAUAGCGCAAAAUGUGCUUCACAAUUUGAAAAUGAGUCAUAGUAGGCCAAUGUGUGAAUUGAGACAUAAAAUUGACCGCACAUGAAAUAUCUAGAUGUGUGAUGGUGAGAUAUUAAAGAGUUCUGACAAUACUUAAAUAUAACAUUCGAAAGUAAUUUCGCAUUUGAGACAAUGAGUGCGAGUGGCUAUAGGCGUGGAUCUUGGCUUGCAAACAUCCAUUUGAGCACAUUCAAGAAUUGACAAAGCAUAUGUGGUCGGCACAAAUAAAGACUAUCAAAUAAUAUUCUAACCUCCACAACCAAAAAGUAAUAUAAUGGCUCUAUAUCCUUUAUUGUAAAUUCACUACUCAAUGAAGAAAUAAAUCCAUCAAGCAAGUUUGGAUCAUUACUAAUGACAAUCAUAUCGUCCACGAAUAAAAGUAGAGCUAGAAUGGCAUGAUCUGAUUUUUGAAUGAACAACGAAGGAUCUACAAUGCUGCAAAAGAAACCAAAUGCUAAAAGAAACAAGCUAAAAUGAUCAAACCAUGCUUUUGAUGCUUUCUUGAUUCCACACAAAGCUCUCUCAAGUUUGCAAACAUAAUACAGGUUUUUUGGUCCUCAAAACAAGGCAGUUGCUCCAUAUAAAUAGAUUGUGACAGAAAUAGAUAUCUAUAUUAAAAAUAAAAAAUAAAAAAAUUGACCAAAAAAAUAUUAAAAAUGCAAAACAACAAAUGGGGAAUAGAUUAAAAAGAAAAAACUCAAAGCCCACUUGCAUCAAUCGUACACUCUCACUACUCUUCUCCUAUACAUCCGAAAAGAACCUCUUUUCAUCUAAUUUAUAGAUAUGUGAAACAAAUUUUUCAUUGGACCCUCAGAAAAAUAUGCAUCCACGGGAAAAAAUAAAUGUUGAUGUACUGACAAUGCUAGUUUAUAAUAACUUUUCUAAUAUAACUAAGUACGAUGUAUUACAUAAUGGGAUGAGAUGCCCAUACUUUUUAAGUUUCUACAUUGAGUUAUGCAAUAUCAAUUUUGCAGACUUUAAUCAUCAAAUUGAUUUGAAAUGCCUGUGUUUGUCAUGUUUGGUGCAUGAGGACCUAUAAACUGCAUAAUGACUCAUCUGUAGUCUCACACUCUGUUCAAUGGAUGUUAAGGCUAUUGUUAAACUUAGAUUACGGUCUUAGACUGUUUUGUCUAAUCGUAACAUCGGUAAUGCACACAGAGUUGUCUGUACAAUGUAGGGAUUUUGAUAUUUAUUCUAGACAUUCCAUUACCAUUAGCACACUCCUCAUUAUAUGCAAGGCAACCCCUUCAUCGUCUCAUGCCGACUAGUUGUUUCGGAAUCAUUUUCGAAAGAUGAGAGGACAAAGGGUCUCCUUCUGUCUCGCCCCAUCGUUGCUGUUGAAAAACAUACCAAGAAACAUAUAUCUCGGACCAAAAUCAGUCUCUACACAGACUCGAGAUGAUGGAAGCAAAAAUGGGACACGCGAGUAGAAUGCCAUUCCUUGUAUGGGUGAGAUUAGGGACAUGAGGCAAGUUGAGCUCGGAUUAGAGACACUAGCAUCAUACACCGGAUGUAUCUUUGGCCGUCAAACUAGUUAUCGAAGAGUUAAAAAAAUUCACCAGCUCACAAGUCAAAACACAACGAGGCUACAUAGCCCCCAAGGAUGCCAAGAGACUCACGGAAAAAACCUGUACCUUAAGAACCACGAACAGCCUUCAGUCCGUUAUUAGCAGCACGUUAUUAAGGAAAGAAACCGCACACGCUGCACAAUCGAAUCAAAGCAAAUAUGGCAAGUUUCCAACAUCAUUUGGUUGGGAAAUCACAAGCCCCUAUAUCAGAUCAAAUUGUUUAUCAACAGAUUCAACCACCUUUCCUAAUGCCAAAGAGCUGCAAAAUCUGAAGAUUGAAAAUAUGAGCAACUUAGUCGACUUGAUGGGAUCCACAGAACAUGCAAGUUCAUCGAUACGCAUACUCGAUAUCACAAAGGAACUAAUGAUAAAACUUCCCGGAACUUCACUUAUCAGAUUUUACACGACGUCCUAUGUUUAGAUAAAGAAAGAAAAUUCACCUCCAGAGAGCAGUAGCUCCACCGUAAUCACAGAGCACACGGCAUUCGGCACUACAAGGUCAAUUUUUUCCCUUGAAUGGGGCAACAUUAGAAACUCAGAGCACUCGCAAUCCACAACCUUCACCAAAAGAAGAUUGGAUUGUAUAGCAAAGUUCUACAAGUUAGCCAACUAGGUCCCUCUGCUGUUAAGUAUUGACUCGCAGCUGACUUGGCUGGAUAGCAAGGCCAAAAGAUGGAUCAGAAAGAAAAACAAAAUUCUUGGAGGUGAGUCCAUAAGGAGAAGAGCUUCUUACAACAUCGCAAAUGGGGGGAGCUCACUCGUCCAUAUCCUCUUCUCCAUCAGCUUCCGCCUCUUCAUCCUCCCUCCUGAGCUGACCACAUACAUUACACUCCAUUAUAUCAGAAGGAGCAUCAUCCGAUGACGGAGGCAGAGGAGCCAAUGUCCCACCGCAGUUUUUCCUGUUGCACAUAUACCUGACGAAGAAAUAUGCAUGGGGGAAGUCCGUUUCUUUCUCCUCUGCAAUACCCACCUCCGACCCGCUCAUUUGUUCAUCGGCAUCCUCAUCCAUCCCUUCACCGUCACCAUCAUCGUCUUCGCCAAUAUCAUCGUGCUCAUUCUCAUCAUCGGACCAAUUGGCCUCGACCUUGCACCGGUCGCAGUCACAGGCGAACCCGUAGUCUUCCAUCAACCUCCUCUGCCUAUUCGCAUAAUUCAAGUUGACAGGAAAAUAACUCAGGCAGAUCUCCCUCCCUUGAGGGACAUCAUGGAUCAUCCGCACGAUUAUAUCAGCAUUGCCAUCAGAAGCAGAGUCUACAUAGUCAAAUCUGCAAGCAUUUGGCAGGCAAUCGUGGUUGAAGAAAGAAGCUCUUGGAUAAAUACCGUAAGCUCUCACCGAUCUCUCCCCAUCCACCUCGCCCCCACCCCGCGACAAAACCGGCUCCAUCAAACCGAAAGCAUUGAGCUUGUCCUUCGACAGCAAGGCGACGAUCAAUUCAAGAGAA
This 162647-nucleotide long non-coding RNA is filed under the name Eucalyptus grandis. Its description in RNAcentral is "long non-coding RNA (EGRA_LNC005987)". Lineage: Eukaryota; Viridiplantae; Streptophyta; Magnoliopsida; Myrtales; Myrtaceae. The record is from RNAcentral.